ACAUAUAAUAUUACACAUUAAGGGUCUCACGACCCAUCAUAGCAGUCAUUCAGCUACAAGCCAGCGGAAGUGUUUAAAGCUGUCUGAGUACAUACGGGUGCAACUAGAAGGCACAUGGCCUGACUAUACUACAGACCCAACCUAGGGCCAGAUCGUAGCUAGCACACGAGCUACUCGUCGUCGUCGAUGUCUAUGAAGAACCCUCCGUUAGGGUCAUUUGCAGCCUCUGCAACAUUUAUUAAGCAAACAUAAGUACGGAGGUUCUCAGCAAGACUUUAGGAUAACUAUCUACUCAUGCAAUGUAUCAAUAAGGUAUUGUGGGGUUUCAUGCGGAAAGCCAGCAUUUGACUCGUGGCUAGACAACUUGCAUUUUAAAAUAAUUUUGACAACUUGAUUUCUCGCANNNNNNNNNNNNNNNNNNNNNNNNNNNNNNNNNNNNNNNNNNNNNNNNNNNNNNNNNNNNNNNNNNNNNNNNNNNNNNNNNNNNNNNNNNNNNNNNNNNNGGGUUGGAGCGUUAAUUUAGUGGUUUCAUAUUGUGUUAGCUAGCUAAUAGAGAGAAGUGUCCUCUGUUUCUCCAUGCUUGGUCGAACAACAAGUUUUUGUAUAUCUAUCCGACGCUAUUACAUAUAUACAAUAUAACAUCUUUUACAAUUAAUCCAAAACAUCAACUAAUUAAUAACCAAUGACAAAUCCACAUGGCAUUCUCCGUCUUUAGGUAUGACGUGAUCAACAAAGAAUCCCGCAAAUUCCUCUUGAAUUGCUCGUAUGCGAUCAUAUGGUAGGAGUUGAUCCCGCAUCUCGUAGAUCUAAUUUAAAGAAGGGGGUCAAUACAUGUAUAUAUAUGAAUAAAACUCAACACAAUUGUGAAUAUUAUUUCCAUACUUGAAAUUGUUUCUCAUAGAAGACGCGCUCAGAGGUCGAGUGGCGAAUGAACUCACAUAUGUAGUAUGCACAUAAAACAGUGCCUUCUUUCUGGUACAUACACUUUACGAGAAUAGAGUUCAAUCAAACUGAUAAGCAAGCAUGGUAAUGAUAUAUUGAUGAAAAUUUGAAUCAAUUAGAGAUGCGCGGAACUAGCUAGUACUACUUACUUUGGGGUGCCUAAAUCGCAACUCUUUGUUUAGACCGGGAACCAUAUUAGCGAAAUUCGUCCAAACCCUGCCAGGCAAAGAAAAUGAUUACUUGAUAUCAGGAAAUUAACGAAAGUUGCAUGCUGAUAUGGUCUCGGUAUAUUGACUGAACUUACUUCUUGAGCAUUGUAGUAAUUUCCUCAUAAUCCUCUUCGGCUUUAUGUCUUGAGUCUAAGACAUUUACUACUACCCUUCCAACGUGAAUGGAUAGCAGAAAAAGUGGUCUCUGCGCACACAUAUAUAACUCAUCAAUUACAUUACUUAAUUAACCUCGAGUAAGCGAAACCGAGUUUACACAAAAGACAACAACACUCACUUGAAGUUGUAAGGAAAGAUUAUUUCCACUUUUUUAUAUAUAAGGAACGAGUUUAGAAAGUUCUCCUCCGUCUCUUUGAUUGAGUUUCGUACCGUCAAUUCAUUUACGACAUAUGGGCUAAUGAACCCAACGUCGAUGAUUCCUUCUUUUUUUAAUUCGACGAUCUUCAAUCUGCAUAAUAUAUAUAGUGAGGAUAAUUAUAUAUACAUGCAAUGAACGAGCUGAGCUAGAGACUUAACUAUAGAAGUAAUACUUACAAACAGUAGGAAGCCAUGAGUUGUUUGUCGAGGGCCAGUUGAUUGUAUAACUGAAAUAACUCCUCAAAUUGAAUAGUAAUCAUGGGAAGUCCAAUGAAUUCAUGCUCUGGUNNNNNNNNNNNNNNNNNNNNNNNNNNNNNNNNNNNNNNNNNNNNNNNNNNNNNNNNNNNNNNNNNNNNNNNNNNNNNNNNNNNNNNNNNNNNNNNNNNNNAGGACAUAAUCCUUCUUCCCAGCUUGUAGGAUCAACUUAAGAUUAUGAGCCGAGUCUACAAAGUUGCUUCCAUCAUCUUUCAACUUAGCUUUCUCUAGGAACGUAUUAAAAUUCAGGGUGACUGUCGCGUGAGCCAUGAUCUACAACACAAAUAUAUUCAAAGUGGACGCUAGACUAUGUUCAAGAUAAUUNNNNNNNNNNNNNNNNNNNNNNNNNNNNNNNNNNNNNNNNNNNNNNNNNNNNNNNNNNNNNNNNNNNNNNNNNNNNNNNNNNNNNNNNNNNNNNNNNNNNNNNNNNNNNNNNNNNNNNNNNNNNNNNNNNNNNNNNNNNNNNNNNNNNNNNNNNNNNNNNNNNNNNNNNNNNNNNNNNNNNNNNNNNNNNNNNNNNNNNNNNNNNNNNNNNNNNNNNNNNNNNNNNNNNNNNNNNNNNNNNNNNNNNNNNNNNNNNNNNNNNNNNNNNNNNNNNNNNNNNNNNNNNNNNNNNNNNNNNNNNNNNNNNNNNNNNNNNNNNNNNNNNNNNNNNNNNNNNNNNNNNNNNNNNNNNNNNNNNNNNNNNNNNNNNNNNNNNNNNNNNNNNNNCAAGCUUAACCCGAGUGUACCGCGUGCGCAACUGUUUUGCACCCAUUGUAUGUGAACGUUGAGUCUAUCACACCCGAUCAUCACGUGGUGUCUCGAAACGACGAACUGUAGCAACGGUGCACAGUCGGGGAGAACACAAUUUCGUCUUGAAAUUUUAGUGAGAGAUCACCUCAUAAUGCUACCGUCGUUCUAAGCAAAAUAAGGUGCAUAAAAGGAUUAACAUCACAUGCAAUUCAUAAGUGACAUGAUAUGGCNNNNNNNNNNNNNNNNNNNNNNNNNNNNNNNNNNNNNNNNNNNNNNNNNNNNNNNNNNNNNNNNNNNNNNNNNNNNNNNNNNNNNNNNNNNNNNNNNNNNNNNNNNNNNNNNNNNNNNNNNNNNNNNNNNNNAGUGACAUGAUAUGGCCAUCAUCACGUGCUUCUUGAUCUCCAUCAUCAAAGCACCAGGACGAUCUUCUUGUCACCGGCGCCACACCAUGAUCUCCAUCAACGUGUCGCCAUCGGGGUUGUCGUGCUACUCAUGCUAUUACUACUAAAGCUACAUCCUAGCAAAAUAGUAAACGCAUCUGCAAGCACAAACAUUAGUAUAAAGACAACCCUAUGGCUCCUGCCGGUUGCCGUACCAUCGACGUGCAAGUCGAUAUUAUCUAUUACAACAUUAUCAUCUCAUACAUCCAAUAUAUCACAUCACAUCGUUGGCCAUAUCACAUCACAAGCAUACCCUGCAAAAACAAGUUAGACGUUCUCUAAUUUUGUUGUUGCAUGUUUUACCUGGUGACCACGGGUAUCUAGUAGGAUCGCGUCUUACUUACGCAAACACCACAACGGAGAUAUAUGAGUUUCUAUUUAACCUCAUCCAAGGACCUCCUCGGUCAAAUCUGAUUCAACUAAAGUUGGAGAAACCGACACUUGCCAGUCAUAUUUGAGCAACGGGGUUACUCGUAGCGAUGAAACCAGUCUCUCAUAAGCGUACGAGUAAUGUCGGUCGAAGCCGCUUCAAUCCAACAAUACCACGGAAUCAAGAAAAGACUAAGGAGGGCAGCAAAACGCACAUCACCGCCCACAAAAACUUUUGUGUUCUACUUGAGAAGACAUCUACGCAUGAACCUAGCUCAUGAUGCCACUCUUGGGGAACAUCGCAUGGGAAACAAAAAAUUUCCUACGCGCACGAAGACCUAUCAUGGUGAUGUCCAUCUACGAGAGGGGAUGAGUGAUCUACGUACCCUUGUAGACCGUACAGCAGAAGCGUUAGUGAACGCGGUUGAUGUAGUGGAACGUCCUCACGUCCCUCGAUCCGCCUCGCGAACAAUCCCGCGAUCAGUCCCACGAUCUAGUACCGAACGGACGGCACCUCCGCGUUCAGCACACGUACAGCUCGACGAUGAUCUCGGCCUUCUUGAUCCAGCAAGAGAGACGGAGAGGUAGAAGAGUUCUCUGGCAGCGUGACGGCGCUCCGGAGGUUGGUGAUGACCUUGUCUCAGCAGGGCUCCGCCCGAGCUCCGCAGAAACACGAUCUAGAGGAAAAACCGUGGAGGUAUGUGGUCGGGCUGCCGUGGAAAAGUCGUCUCAAAUCAGCCCUAAAACCUCCGUAUAUAUAGGUGGGAGAGAGGGGACCUUGCCUUGGGGCUCAAGGAGCCCCAAGGGGGUCGGCCGAGCCAAGGGGGGAAGGUCUCCCCCCCCCAAACCGAGUUGGACUUGGUUUGGUGGGUGGGAGUCCUUCCUUCCCUUCCCACCUCCUCUUUUUUUUCUUUCUCUUUGAUUUUUCUUCCAAUGCGCAUAGGGCCCUUUUGGGCUGUUCCACCAGCCCACUAAAGGCUGGUGCGCCACCCUCAAGGCCUAUGGGCUUCCCCGGGGUGGGUUGACCCCCCCCCCCCUGGUGAACUCCCGGAACCCAUUCGUCAUUCCCGGUACAUUCCCGGUAACUCCGAAAACCUUCCGGUAAUCAAAUGAGGUCAUCCUAUAUAUCAAUCUGCGUUCCCGGACCAUUCCGGAAACCCUCGUGACGUCCGUGAUCUCAUCCGGGACUCCGAACAACAUUCGGUAACCAACCAUAUAACUCAAAUACGCAUAAAACAACGUCGAACCUUAAGUGUGCAGACCCUGCGGGUUCGAGAACUAUGUAGACAUGACCCGAGAGACUCCUCGGUCAAUAUCCAAUAGCGGGACCUGGAUGCCCUUAUUGGAUCCUACAUAUUCUACGAAGAACUUAUCGUUUGAACCUCAGUGUCAAGGAUUCAUAUAAUCCCGUAUGUCAUUCCCUUUGUCCUUCGGUAUGUUACUUGCCCGAGAUUCGAUUGUUAGUAUCCGCAUACCUAUUUCAAUCUCGUUUACCGGCAAGUCUCUUUACUCGUUCCGUAAUACAAGAUCCCGUAACUUACACUAAGUCACAUUGCUUGCAAGGCUUGUGUGUGAUGUUGUAUUACCGAGUGGGCCCCGAGAUACCUCUCCAUCACACGGAGUGACAAAUCCCAGUCUUGAUCCAUACUAACUCAAAUAACACCUUCGGAGAUACCUGUAGAGCAUCUUUAUAGUCACCCAGUUGCGUUGCGACGUUUGAUACACACAAAGUAUUCCUCCGGUGUCAGUGAGUUAUAUGAUCUCAUGGUCAUAGGAACAAAUACUUGACACGCGGAAAACAGUAGCAACAAAAUGACACGAUCAACAUGCUACGUCUAUUAGUUUGGGUCUAGUCCAUCACGUGAUUCUCCUAAUGACGUGAUCCAGUUAUCAAGCAACAACACCUUGUUCAUAAUCAGAAGACACUGACUAUCUUUGAUCAACUUGCUAGCCAACUAGAGGCUUGCUAGGGACAGUGUUUUGUCUAUGUAUCCACACAUGUAAAUGAGUCUUCAUUCAAUACAAUUAUAGCAUGGAUAAUAAACGAUUAUCUUGAUGCAGGAAUUAUAAUAAUAACUAUAUUUAUUAUUGCCUCUAGGGCAUAAUUCCAACAGUUGGCUAGCUCAUUGAUCAAUACAUGAUCAUGGACAUUGGAUGUCAUUGAUAACGGGAACAAAUCAUUAGGAGAAUGAUGUGAUGGACAUGACCCAAUCCUAAGCAUAGCACUAGAUCGUAUUGUUCGUCUGCUAAAGCUUUUGUAAUGUCAAGUAUCAUUUCCUUAGACCAUGAGAUUGUGCAACUCCCGGAUACCGUAGGAGUGCUUCGGGUGUAUCAAACGUCACAAAUUAACUGCGUUAUUAGAAAGGUGCACUACAGGUAUCUCCGAAAGUGUCUGUUGAGUUGGUACGAAUCGAGACUGGGAUUUGUCACUCCGUGUGAGGGAGAGGUAUCUCUGGGCCCACUCGGUAAUGCAUCAUCAUAAUGAGCUCAAUGUCACUAAGGAGUUAGUCACAAGAUGAUGUGUUAUGUAACAAGUAAAGAGAGAUGCCGGUAAUGUGGUUGAACAAGGUAUAGGGAUACCGAUGAUCGAAUCUUGGGCAAGUAUCAUACGGGUAGACAAAGGGAAUUGCGUACGGGACUGGUUGAAUCCCCGACAUCGUUGUUCAUCCGAUGAGAUCAUCGUGGAACAUGUGGCAGGAAACAUGGAUAUCCAGACCCUAAUGUUCGUUAUUGACCGGAGAGGUAUCUAGGUGAUGUCUGCAUGGUUCCCGAAGCCGUAGGGUCUACACACUUAAGGUUCGAUGACACUAGGGUUGUUAUGGGAAUAGUAUACGUGGUUAUCAAAGGUUGUUCGGAGUCCCGGAUCAGACCCCGGACGUCACGAGGAGUUCUAUAAUGGUCCAGAGGUAAAGAUUCAUAUAUAGGAACUGAAGUUUUGAUCACCGAAAGAGUUUCGGAGAUCGUCGGUAUUGUACCGGGACCAUCGGAAGGGUUCCGGGGGUCCACCGAAAAGGGCCACCAGCCCCGAAAGGCAACAUGGGCGAAGAGUGGAAGGGAACCAGCCCCUAGAAGGGCUGGUGCACCUCCCACCCCAGCCCAAGUCGCAAGAGAGGGCUAAGGGGGCCACCCCUAGGGCGUGGGGACUGCCUUGGGCGGCAAGCCCACCCCUAGGGCACCGCCCUCCUCCACUUGGUCGUCGGCCCUGCACAUAUAGGGUUGUCGCACCACGUAGGGUGCAAACCCUAGGCGUGGUGCACCCUCCUCCGUCUCCUCCUAUAUAAACCCAAGGGUUUUGGGGCUGUGAUACGUCCCCAACGUAUCUAUAAUUUUUAUGGUUCCAUGCUAUUAUCUUGUCAACUUUGGAUGCAUGAUUAUGCUUUUUAUAUCUUUUUUGGGACUAACCUAUUAACUCAGUGCCAAGUGCCAGUUUCUGUUUUUUCCAUGUUUUUGGCCCAUUUUCAGACGGAGUCCAAAUGGAAUGAAACUUUACGAUGAUUUUUUUGGACCAAAAGAGGCCCCCGAAACUUUGGAAGUAGGCCAAAAGAGCCACGAGGAAGUCACAAACCCUGAUGCCGCCACCACCCCCCUAAGUGGCGCAGGGCAGGCUUGUGACCUCCUCCUGGGCCCAACCGACGUAAUUCCACCGCCAUAAAUUCCUAUAAAUUCAGAAACCCCCAAAAAGAAACCUAGAUCGGGAGUUCCGCCGCCGCAAGCCUCUGUAGCUACCAAAAAACAAUCUGGAGCCCGUUCCGGCACCCUGCCGGAGGGGGAAUCCAUCUUCGGUGGCCAUCUUCAUCAUUCCGGCGAUCUCCAUGACGAGGAGAGAGUAGUUAUCCCUCAGGGCUGAGGGUAUGUACCAGUAGCUAUGUGUUUGAUCUCUCUCUUGUGUUCUUGAGAUGUCUUGAUCUCGAUGUACCGUGGGCUAUGCUACUAUAGUUGGAUCUUAUGAUGUUCUUCCCCCUCUCCCUUCUUGUAAUGAAUUGAGUUUCCCCUUUGGAGUUAUCUUAUCGAAUUGAGUCUUUGAGAACACUUGAUCUAUGUCUUGCACGUGUCUAUCUGCUGUGAUCAACUUGCGGGUUUGUGACAAUUGGGAACCUAUGCAUAUGGGUUGGCACACGUGGAUUCAUGUGAGUACUUGAUGUAUGUUUUGGUGAUCAAGUUGCGGGUUCGUGACAUUGGGAACCUAUGCACAGGGGUUGGCACACGUUUUGAUUCUCUGGUAGAAACUUUGGGGCACUCUUUGAAGUUGUAUAUGUUGGUUGAAUAGAUGAUUCUGAGAUUGUGUGAUGCAUAUCGUAUAACCAUACCCACAAAUACUUGAGUUGACAAUGGAGUAUCUAGGUGACAUUGGGGUCUCGGUUGAUAUGUAUCUUAAGGUGUUAUUCUAGUACGAACUCUUGAAUAGAUCGAUCAGAAAGAAUAACUUUGUGGUGGUUUCGUACCCGACAAUAAUCUCUUCGUUUGUUCCCCGCUAUUAGUGACUUUGGAGUGACUCUCUGUUGCAUGUUGAGGGCUAGUUAUAUGAUCCAAUUAUGUUAUCAUUGUUGAGAGAACUUCACUAGUGAAAGUAUGAACCCUAGGCCUUGUUUCCACGCAUUGCAAUACCGUUCGUGCUCACUUUUGUUACUUGUUACCUUGUUAUUUUUGUAAUUUCAGAUUACAAAAACCUAUAUCUACCAUCCUUAUUGCACUUGUAUCACCAUCUCUUCACCGAACUAGUGCACCUAUACAAUUUACCAUUGUAUUGGGUGUGUUGGGGACACAAGAGACUCUUUGUUAUUUGGUUGCAGGGUUGCUUGAGAGAGACCAUCUUCAUCCUACGCCUCCCACGGAUUGAUGAACCUUAGGUCACCCACUUGAGGGAAAAUUGCUACAGUCCUACAAACCUUUGCACUUGGAGGCCCAACAAUGUCUACAAGGAGAAGGUUGCGUAGUAGACAUCAAGCUCUUUUCUGGCGCCGUUGUCGGGGAGGUUAGCUCUUGAAGGUAUAUCUUUAGAUCUUGCAAUCGAAUCUUUUUGUUUCUUGUUCUUUCGCUAGAAAAUUACAAAAAAAUGGAAUUGAGGAUGCCUCAUAUGCUCCAUCUUUUCAAUGUCUUUCGUGAGCAUGAUGGGAAGGAAAAUUGUGCUCAAGUGCUGAAAGAAGAAUUACAUAGAAUGCUUGGCAUAGAAUAUGUGAACGAUGAGCAUGAUUGCAAUGUUCUUAGCAUGAAUUCUUUGAAUACCCAUGAUGCUAAUGAUAUGCAAAGCCACAAGCUUGGGGAUGCUAUAUUUGAUGAAGAUGAUCUUUUUAGUACUUCCACUUUGAAUGAUCAAAAUCAUUUUGAUGAAAGCAUGCCCCCUAUCUAUGAUGAUUAUUGUGAGGACACUUAUGCUUUGAAGAAAAGGGAUGAUAAAACUUGUCAUACUUUCGGAAACCCCUUUGCUAAACCUUGCUUUUUUUCAUUGUGGACACAAUUUGUAGUGCUCAAGUCUUUUACGAUACUCCCACUACUAUUCUGGAGAAUAGAUUUCUUUAUGUGGAGAGUAGUAAAAUUUCUAUGCUUGUAGACCAUGAAAAAAAUGCUUUAGGUGCUGGUUAUAUGGUUGAAUUCAUUCAUGAUGCUACUGAAAAUUACUAUGAGAGAGGAUCCUAUGCUUCUACUUAUUGUAAUAGUAUCAAGCUUCCUCUCCAUAUGUUGAAAUUUUUGAAGCUAUGCUUGUUUUGCCUUCCUAUGCUAGUUGAUACUUGCUCCAAUAAAUUGUUUGAUCACAAAAUCCCUAUGCAUAGGAAGUGGGUUAGACUCAAAUGUGCUAGCCAUUUGCUCCAUGAUGCUCUCGUUGUGUUUCAAUCCUUACCUUUUAUGUGAGCAUCAUUGAAAUCAAUGCCUAGCUAAGGGCGUUAAACGAUAGCGCUUGUUGGGAGGCAACCCAAUGAAUAAAUUUUUCUUUGAUUUUUGCUUCCUGUUUUGUUUUCUCCACACCAUCAUAAUUCUGUUAUGAUUGUGUCCUUUGUGUUUCUUUUUGUGUUUGUGCCAAGCAAGACCGUUAUGAUUAGUCUUGGUGAUGAUUGUUUGAUCAUGCUGGAAAAAGACAGAAACUUUCUGCUCACGAAAAAAAAAAAUUUAUUAUGUAAGAGCGUUUGAGUUGAUUUUUUUUCUUCUGAUUUCUACGCAAUUUCUUCAGACUGUCGUAAUUUUUCAGAUUUUUUGAAGUACCAGAAGUAUACGAAGUAUACAGAUUUCUACAGACUGGUCUGUUGUUAACAGAUUCUGUUUUUGUUGAGUUGGUUGCUUAUUUUGAUGAAACUAUGGAUAGUAUCGGAGGGUAUUAGCCAUGGAAGAUUGAAAAUACACUAACCCAACGUCAGCAUAAGUAGAAUUUAAGAUUGCUACAGUACAUAAGGAAGUGGUGGUUUGCUUUCUCAUACUAAUGUUAUCACGAGUUUCUGUUUAAGUUUCGUGUUGUGAAGUUUUCAAGUUUUGGGUGAAGUUCUUAUGGACAAAGAGAUAGAGAGUGCCAAGAGCUCAAGAUUGGGGAUGGCCAAGGCACCCCAAGAGAUUCAAGGAUGCCGUAAAAGCCUAAGCUUGGGGAUGCCCCGGGAAGGCAUCCCCUCUUUCGUCUUCAAUCCAUCGGUAACGUUACUUGGGGCUAUAUUUUUAUUCACCACAUGUUAUGUGUUUUUGCUUCGAGCGUCUUGUAUCGUAGGAGUCUUUCAUUUUUGUUGUGUCACAAUCAUCCUUGCUGCACACCUAGAGAGAGAGACAUGCACUCAUCGUGAUUUUGUCGAGCUUCACUUAUAUCCUUUGGUAGACAAUUCAGCUCACAUGUGCUUCACUUAUAUCUUUUGAGCUAGAUACUUUUGCUCUAUGUGCUUCACUUAUGUCUUUUAGAGCGCAGCGGUGCGUGGCUUGGUAGUUGAUCUAUGCUUUGAAAGUAGUCUCAAAAGGGGUAGUUAUCCAAAGGGGUACGAAAACUUCCACCUUCAUGUGCAUUGAAUAGUUAGAGAAGUUUGAUUCAUCUCAAUUAGUUUUGAGUUGUGGUUUUGGUAAUAUUGAAGUCAUGCUAGUAAGGUGUUGUGGAUCUAGAAAUACUUGUGUUGAAGUUAGUGAUUCCCGUAGCAUGCACGUAUGGUGAACCGCUAUGUGAUGAAGUCUGAGCAUGAUUAGUCUUUUGAUUGUCAUCCUUUGCGUGGCGGUCGGGAUCGCGUGAUGGUUUAUACGUACCAACCCUUCCCCUAGGAGUAUGCGUUGAAUGCUUUGUUUCGAUUACUAAUAAAUUUUUUACAACAAGUAUAUGAGUUCUUCAUGACUAAUGUUGAGUCCAUGGUUUAGAUGCACUUUCACCUUCCACCAUCACUAUCUUCUUAGUGCCGUGCAACUUUCGCCGGUGCACAAAACCCACCAUUAGCCUCCCUCAAAACAGCCACCAUACCUACCUACUAUGGCUUUUUCAAAGUCAUUCCAAGAUAUAUUGCCAUGCAACUACCACCAUGACAUGUGCCACCACAUCUACAUUACCAUUGCACGACCGUAAGAUAGCUAGCAUGAUGUUUCCAUUAAUGUCUAUACCAUGCUAGAUCAUUGUCACGGUACACUACCGAAGGCAUUCCAUAUAGAGUCAUCGUUGCUCUAAGUUUUGAGUUGAAAGUGUGAUGAUCAUCAUUGAUGGAGGAUUGUCCCAUGUGAGGAAAUAAAAGAGGCCAAAGAUGCCCACCAAAAUAAAUAAAUAAAAAGAGGCCAAAGAGCCCACCAAAAAAAUGAGAGAAAAAGAGAGAAGGGACAAUGCUACCACCGUUCCACACUUGUGCAUAUUAAGCACCAUGAUCUUCAUGAUUGAGAGUCUCUCGUUUUGUCACCACCAUAUAGCUAGUGGCAAAUUUUCAUUAUAUAACUUGGCUUGUAUAUUCCUAUGAUGAGCUUCCUCAAAAUUGCCUUAGGUCUUCGUGAGCAAGCAAGUUGGAUGCACACCCACUAGUUUUCUUUAAGAGCUUUCACAUACUCCUAGCUCUAGUGCAUCAUUUGUAUGGCAAUCCCUACUCAUUCACGUUGAUAUCUAUUGAUGAGCAUCUCCAUAGCUCAUUGAUAGGCCUAGUCAAUGUGACCAUCUUCUCCUUGUUUGGCUUGCAACCUCCACCACACUCCACACCACUUCUAGUGCUAAAACCAUGGCUCACGCUCAUGUAUUGCGUGAGAGUCGAAACAAUUUGAGAAAGUAAACGUGUGAAAACAAUUACUUGGCCAAUACCGGGAUUGUGCAUGAUUUAAAUUUGUUGUGCAAGGAUGAUAGAGCAUAGCCAGACUAUAUGAUUUUGUAGGGAUAACUUUCUUUUUGCCUUGUUAUUUUGAAAGUUCAUGAUUACCUUGCUAGUUUGCUUGAAGUAUUAUUGUCUCCACAUCAAUAACAAACUAUUGUUUUGAAUCUAACGGAUCUAAACAUUCAUGUCACAUAAGAGGAGUUACAAAGGACAUCUAUGCUAGGUAGCAUGAAAGCAUCAAAAAUUCAUUCUUUAUCACUUCCCUACUCGAGGACGAGCAGGAGUUAAGCUUGGGGAUGCUUGAUACGUCUCCAACGUAUAUAUAAUUUUUUAUGGUUCCAUGCUAUUAUCUUGUCAACUUUGGAUGUUUUAUAUGCAUGAUUAUGCUAUUUUAUAUCUUUUUUGGGACUAACCUAUUAACUCAGUGCCAAGUGCCAGUUUCUGUUUUUUCCGUGUUUUUGGCCCAUUUUCAGACGGAGUCCAAAUGGAAUGAAACUUUACGAUGAUUUUUUUUGGACCAAAAGAGGCCCCUAAGCUUUGGAAGAAGGCCAGAAGAGCCACGAGCGAGUGGCAAGCCCUAACGCCGCCACCACCACCCUAGGUGGCGCAGGGCAGGCUUGUGACCUCCUUGUGGGCCCAACCGACGUAAUUCCACCACCAUAAAUUCCUAUAAAUUGAGAAACCCCCAAAAAGAAACCUAGAUCGGGAGUUCCGCCGCCGCAAGCCUCUGUAGCCACCAAAAACCAAUCUGGAGCCCGUUCCGGCACCCUGCCGGAGGGGGGAUCCAUCUUCGGUGGCCAUCUUCAUCAUCCCGGCGAUCUCCAUGACGAGGAGGGAGUAGUUAUCCCUCGGGGCUGAGGGUAUGUACCAGUAGCUAUGUGUUUGAUCUCUCUCUCUCGUGUUCUUGAGAUGUCUUGAUCUCGAUGUACCGUGGGCUUUGCUACUAUAGUUGGAUCUUAUGAUGUUCUUUCCCCUCUCCCUUCUUGUAAUGAAUUGAGUUUCCCCUUUGGAGUUAUCUCAUCGGAUUGAGUCUUUGAGAACACUUGAUGUAUGUCUUGCACGUGUCUAUGUGUUGUGAUCAACUUGCGGGUUUGUGACAAUUGGGAACCUAUGCAUAUGGGUUGGCACACGUGGAUUCAUGUGAGUACUUGAUGUAUGUUUUGGUGAUCAACUUGCGGGUUCGUGACAUUGGGAACCGAUGCACAGGGGCUGGCACACGUUUUGACUCUCUGGUAGAAACUUUGGGGCACUCUUUGAAGUUCUAUGUGUUGGUUGAAUAGAUGAUUCUGAGAUUGUGUGAUGCAUAUCGUAUAACCAUACCCACGGAUACUUGAGGUGACAAUGGAGUAUCUAGGUGACAUUAGGGUCUCGGUUGAUAUGUACCUUAAGGUGUUAUUCUAGUACGAACUCUUGAAUAGAUCGAUCAGAAAGAAUAACUUUGUGGUGGUUUCGUACCCGACAAUAAUCUCUUCGUUUGUUCCCUGCUAUUAGUGCCUUUGGAGUGACUCUUUGUUGCAUGUUGAGGCCUAGUUAUAUGAUCCAAUUAUGUUAUCAUUGUUGAGAGAACUUCACUAGUGAAAGUAUGAACCCUAGGCCUUGUUUCCACAUAUUGCAAUACCGUUCGUGCUCACUUUUGUUACUUGUUACCUUGCUGUUUUUGUAAUUUCAGAUUACAAAAACCUAUAUCUACCAUCCUUAUUGCACUUGUAUCACCAUCUUUGCCGAACUAGUGCGCCUAUACAAUUUACCACUGUAUUGGGUGUGUUGGGGACACAAGAGACUCUUUGUUAUUUGGUUGCAGGGUUGCUUGAGAGAGACCAUCUUCAUCUCUCUCUCUCUCUCGGCGCAGCCCUACCUCUCCUCCUCCUCAUCCUCCGUAGUGCUUGGUGAAGCUGUGUUGGAGUACCACGCAGCUCCACCUUUACCCCGCCGUCGUGCUGCCGGAGCUCUCCCUCAACCUCUCCUCUCUCCUUGCUGGAUCAAGGCGUAGGAGAAGUCACCGGGCUGCACGUGUGUUGAACACGGAGGCGUUGUUGUUCGGCCUUAGAUCGGAAUCCACCGCGAUCUGAAUCGCUACGAGUACGACUCCAUCAACCGCGUUCUAGUAACGCUUCUGCUUGGCAAUCUUCAAAGGUAUGAAGAUGCUCUACUCCAUUGCUCAUUGCUGGUUUCUCCUAGAUAGAUCCUUGUGAAGUGUAGGAAAAUUCUUGAAAUUACUAUGUUACCCAACAUUGGCAUCUGAGCCAGGUUCUAUGAGUAGAUUCUAUGCACGAGUAGAACACAAAACUUGUGGGUGAUGAUUUUUCAAUUCCUUGCUGUUACUAGUCCUAUCUUUUUUGGCGGUAUUGUGGGAUGAAGUGGCCCAGACCAACUUUACACGUACGCUUACGUGAGACUACUUCCACCGCCUGACAUGCACUUGGUGCAUAAGGUGGCUAGCGGGUGCCUGUCUCUCCCACUUUAGUAGAAUUGGAUUCGAUGAAAAGGGUCCUUAUGAAGGGUAAAUAGCAUUGGCAUAUCAACGUUGUGACUGUCAUGUAGGUAAGAAGUGUUCUUGCUAGAAACCCAAAUCAGCCACGUAGAACUUGCAACAACAAUUAGAGGACGUCUAACUUGUGUUUGCAAGGUAUGCUAUGUGAUGUGAUAUGGCCAAAACGAUGUGAUGUUACAUAUGUGAUGUAUGAGAUUGAUCAUGUUCUUGUAAUAGGAUUCACAACUUGCAUGUCGAUGAGUAUGACAACCGGCAGGAGCCAUAGGAGUUGUCUUAAUUUAUUGUAUGAGAUACAACGCCAUGUGAUUACUUUACUUUAUUGCUAAACCGUUAGCUAUAGUAGUAGAAGUAAUAGUUGGCGAGAUGACUUUCCCAAACACAAAAUGAUGGAGAUCAUGGUGUCGUGCCGGUGACAAUGAUGAUCAUGUCAUGCCUCGAAGAUGGAGAUCAAAGGAGCAAGAUGAUAUUGGCCAUAUCAUGUCACUAUAUGAUUGCAUGUGAUGUUUAUCAUGUUUUUCAUCUUAUUGCUUAGAACAACGGUAGCAAAGAUAAGAUGAUCCCUCAUUAAAAUUUCGAGAUAAGUAUUCCCCUAAGUGUGCACCAUUGUGAAUGAUUGUUGUCUUCAAGCACCACAUGAUGAUCUGGUGUGAUAGAUUCUAACGUUCGCAUACAAUGGGUGUAAGCCAGAUUUACACACGCAAAACACUUAGGUUGACUCGACGAGCCUAGCAUGUAUAGACAUGUCCUCGGAAUACAGGAGACCAAAAGGUCGAACAUGAGUUGUAUGGAUGAUACGAUCAGCAUGGAGAUGCUCACCAUUGAUGACUAGUCCGUCUCAUGUGAUGAUCGGACACGGGCUAGUCGACGUGGAUCAUGUAUCACUUGGAUGACUAGAGGGAUGUCGAUCUGAGUGGGAGUUCAUUGAAUAAUUUGAUUAGAUGAAUUUAAUUAUCAUGAACUUAGUCUAAAAUUGUCUUUACAAAUAUUAUAGAUCCAAUGGCCGACGCAAAUGUCCCAUUCAACUUCAAUGCAUUCCUAGAGAAAACCAAGUUGAAAGACGAUGGGAGCAACUAUGCGGACUGGGCUCGUAAUGUAAAGCUCAUCCUCAUGGCUUCCAAGAAGGCAUAUGUCCUUGAUGCACCGCUAGGUGACCCUCCCAUUCCUGCGGCAACCCAGGAUGUUAGGAACGCCUGGCAGUCGCGGAGUGAUGACUACUCUCUAGUUCAGUGCGGCAUGCUUUACAGUUUAGAACCGGGGCUCCAAAGGCGUUUUGAGCAACAUGGAGCAUAUGAGAUGUUUGAGGAGAUGAAACUAGUUUUUCAAGAUCAUUCCCGGGUCGAGAGAUAUGAAGUCUCCGACAAGUUCUUCAGUUGUAAGAUGGAGGAGAAUAGUUCUGUCACUGAGCACAUACUCAGAAUGUCUGGGUUGCACAACCGCUUGACUCAGCUGGGAGUUGAACUUCCGGAUGACGCGGUCAUUGAAAUAAUCCUCCAGUCGCUUCCACCUAUCUGUAAAGGCUUUGUGAUGAACUAUAACAUGCAAUGGAUGGAGAAAACCAUUCCGGAGUUGUAAUUAAUGCUGAAAUCAGAAGAGGUAGAAAUCAAGAAAGAACAUCAAGUGUUGAUGGUGAAUAAGACCACCAGUUUCAAGAAAGGCAAGGGCAAAAAGAACUUCAAGAAAGACAACAAAGCAGUUGCCGCGCCCGGUAAACGAGUUGCCGGGAAGAAGCCAAAGAAAGGACCCAAGCCUCAGACUGAGUGCUACUAUUGCAAGGGAACCGGUCACUGGAAGCGGAAUUUCCCUAACUACCUAGCGGAUAAGAAGGCCGGCAACAUCAAAGGUAUAUAUGAUAUACAUGUUAUUGAUGUGUACCUUACGAGCGCUCGUAGUAGCUCCUGGGUAUUUGAUACCGGUGUUGUUGCUCACAUUUGCUACUCAAAAUAGGAACUCCGGAAUAAGUGGAGGCUGGCUAAGGAUGAGGUAACGAUGCGCGUCGGGAAUGGUUCCAAGGUCGAUGUGAUCGCCGUCGGCACGCUACAUCUACAUCUAUCUUCGGGAUUAGUUUUAAACCUUAAUAAUUGUUAUUUAGUACCAACUUUGAGCAUGAACAUUGUAUCGGUAUCUUGCUUGAUGCGAGAUGGCUACUCAUUUAAAUCUGAGAAUACUGGUUGUUCCGUUUAUAUGAGUGAUAUGUUUUAUGGUCAUGCCCUGCUAGUCAAUGGUUUAUUCUUGAUGAAUCUCAAACGUGAUUUUACACAUAUUAAUAGUGUGUGUAACAAAAUAUGUAAGGUUGAUAAUGAUAGUCCCACAUACUUGUGGCACUCCCGCCUUGGUCAUAUCGGUGUCAAGCGCAUGAAGGAACUCCAAACAGAUGGACUUUUGGAGCCUCUUGAUUUUGAAUCAUUUGACACAUGUGAACCGUGCCUCAUGGGCAAGAUGACCAAAACUCUGUUCUCCGGAACAAUGGAGCGAGCAACCAACUUGUUGGAAAUAAUACAUACCGAUGUAUGCGGUCCAAUCAGUGUUGAGGCUCGCGAUGGCUAUCGUUAUGUUCUCACCCUCACAGAUGACUUAAGCAGAUAUGGGUAUGUCUACUUAAUGAAACACAAGUCUGAAACCUUUGAAAGGUUCAAGGAAUUUCAGAGUGAGGUAGAGAAUCAAUGUGACAAGAAAAUAAAGUUCCUACGAUCUGAUCGUGGUAGAGAAUAUUUGAGUCAUGAGUUUGGCACGCACUUAAGAAAAUGUGGAAUUGUUUCGCAACUCACGCCGCCUGGCACACCGCAGCCUAACGGUGUGUCUGAACAUCGUAAUCGCACUCUAUUGGAUAUGGUGCGAUAUAUGAUGUCUCUUACUGAUUUGCCGCUAUCAUUCUGGGGAUAUGCAUUAGAAACUGCCACAUUCACUUUAUAUAGGGCACCGUCUAAAUCCGUUGAGACGACACCCUAUGAAUUAUUGUUUGGCAAGAAACCUAUGCUGUCGUUUCUGAAAGUAUGGGGUUGCGAUGCUUAUGUGAAGAAACUUCAACCUGAGAAGCUCGAACCCAAAGCGGAAAUAUGCGUCUUCAUAGGAUACCCUAAGGAAACUAUUGUGUACACCUUCUAUCUUAGAUCUGAAGGCAAAUUCUUUAUUGCCAAGAACAGAUCCUUUCUAGAGAAAGAGUUUCUCUUGAAAGAAGUAAGUGGGAGGAAAGUAGAACUUGAUGAGGUAAUUGUACCUCCUCUCGAACCGGAGAGUAGCGCAGCAGAAGAAAAUGUUUCUGAGGUUCCUGCACCCGCUAGAGAAGAAGUUAAUGAUGAUGAUCAUGAAACUUCAGAUCAAGUUGCUACUAAACAUCGAAGGUCCACAAGGGCACGUUCCGCACCAGAGUAGUACAGCAACCCUGUCAUGGAAAUCAUGUUGUUGGACAACAGUGAACCUUCGAACAAUGAAGAAGCGAUGGUGGGCCCGGAUUCCAACAAAUGGCUUGAAGCCAUGAAAUCCGAGAUAGGAUCCAUGUGUGAGAACAAAGUAUGGACUUUGGUGGACUUGCCCGAUGAUCGGCGAGCCAUAGAAAAUAAAUGGAUCUUUAAGAAGAAGACUGGCGCCGAUGGUAAUUUAACCAUCUAUAAGGCUCGACUUGUCGCUAUGGGCUAUCGACAAGUUCAAGGAAUUGACUACGAUGAGAUUUUCUCACCGGUAGCGAUGCUGAAGUCGGUCCGAAUCAUGUUAGCAGUUGCCGCAUUUUAUGAUUAUGAGAUCUGGCAAAUGGAUGUCAAAACGGNNNNNNNNNNNNNNNNNNNNNNNNNNNNNNNNNNNNNNNNNNNNNNNNNNNNNNNNNNNNNNNNNNNNNNNNNNNNNNNNNNNNNNNNNNNNNNNNNNNNNNNNNNNNNNNNNNNNNNNNNNNNNNNNNNNNNNNNNNNNNNNNNNNNNNNNNCAUUCCUGAACAUCUUUCUUAAGGAAGAAUUGUAUAUGAUACAACCGGAAGGUUUUGUCGAUCCUAAUAAUGCUGACAAGGUAUACAAGCUCCAUCACUCCAUCUAUGGGCUGGUGCAAGCAUCUCGGAGUUGGAACAUUCACUUUGAUGAGGUGAUCAAAGCAUUUUGGUUUCUACAGACUUAUGGAGAAGCAUAUAUUUACAAGAAAGUGUGUGGGAGCUCUGUAGCAUUUCUCAUAUUAUAUUUGGAUGACAUAUUGUUGAUGGGAAAUGAUAUAGAAGGACCUUGGAUGAUCAAAUCAUAAAGGCCUGUUUGAGUAAGAGUUUUUCAAUGAAGGACCUUGGAGAAGCUGCUUACAUAUUAGGCAUCAAGAUCUAUAGAGAUAGAUCGAGACGCCUCAUUGGUCUUUCACAAAGCACAUACCUUGACAAGAUAUUGAAGAAGUUAAAUGUGGAUAAGGCCAAGAAGGGGUUCUUUCUGGUAUUACAAGGUGUGAGGUUGAGUACGACUCAACGCCCGACCAUGGCAGAAGAUAGAGAAAAGAUGAGUACCGUCCCCUAUGCUUCAGCCAUAGGCUCUGUUAUGUAUGCCAUGCUGUGUAUGAGACCUGAUGUGAACCGUGCCAUAAUUUUGGUAGGGAGGUACCAAAGUGAUACAGGAGUGGAUCACUGGACAGCGGUCAAGAACAUCCUUAAGUACGUGAAAAGGACUAAAGAUAUGUUUCUCGUUUAUGGAGGUGCCGAAGAGCUCGUCGUAAAGGGUUACGUCGAUGCUAGCUUCGACACAGAUACGGAUGACUCCAAGUCACAAACCGGAUACGUGUAUAAUUUUGAAUAAUGGGGCAGUCAGCUGGUGCGGUUGCAAGUAAAGCAUGCUAGCGGCAUCUACAUGUGAAGUAGAGUACAUAGCUACUUCCGAAGUAGCACACGAAGGAGUGUGGAUGAAGGAGUUCAUCACCGACCUAGGAGUGAUUCCCAGUGCGUCGGGCACGAUGACUCUCUUUUUUGACAACAUUGGAGCUAUUGGCAUUGCCAAGCAGCCCAGGUUUCACAAGAAGACCAAGUACAUCAAGCGUUGCGUCAAAUCCAUUCGUGGAUACAUCCAGGAUGGAGAUAUAGAUAUUUGUAAAGUACAUACGGAUGUGAAUGUCGCAGAUCCGUUGACUAAACCUCUUCCACGAGCGAAACAUGAUCAGCACCAAAACUCUAUGGGUGUUCGAUUCAUCACAAUGUAACUCGAUUAUUGACUCUAGUGCAAGUGCGAGACUGUUGGAAAUAUGCCCUACAUGCAAUAAUAAAGUGGUUAUUAUUAUAUUUCCUAGUUCAUGAUAAUUGUCAAUUAUUCAUGCUAUAAUUGUAUUAACCGGAAACCGUAAUGCAUGUGUGAAUACAUAGAUCACAAUGUGUCCCUAGUGAGCCUCUAGUUGGCUAGCUCGUUGACCAAUAGAUGAUCAUGGUUUCCUGAUCAUGGACAUUUUAUGUCAUUGAUAAUGGGAUCACAUCAUUAGGAGAAUGAUGUGAUGGACAAGACCCAAUCCUAAGCAUAGCACUAGAUCGUAUUGUUCGUCUGCUAAAGAUUUUCUAAUGUCAAGUAUCUUUUCCUUAGACCAUGAGAUUGUGCAACUCCCGAAUACCGUAGGAGUGCUUUGGGUGUAUCAAACGUCACAAUGUAACUGGGUGAUUAUAAAGGUCCACUACAACUAUCUCCGAAAGUGUCUGUUGGGUUGGUACGAAUCGAGACUAGGAUUUGUCACUCCGUGUGACGAAGAGGUAUCAGUGGGCCCACACGGCAAUGCAUCAUCAUAAUGAGCUCAGUGUGACUAAGGAGUUAGUCUCAGGAUGAUGUGUUACAGAAUGAGUAAAGAGACUUGCCGUUAAUGAGAUUGAACAAGGUAUAGGUAUACCGACGAUUGAAUCUUGGGCAAGUAUCACACCGGUAGACAAAGGGAAUUGCGUACGGGAUUGGUUAAAUCCCCAACAUCGUGGUUCAUCCGAUGAGAUCAUCGUGGAACAUGUGGGAGCCAAUAUGGAUAUCCAGACCCCCGUUGUUCGUUAUUGACCGGAGAGGUGUCUCGGUCAUGUCUGCAUGGUUCCCGAACACGUAGGGUCUACACACUUAAGGUUCGAUGACGCUAGGGUUGUUAUGGGAAUAGUAUGCGUGGUUACUGAAGGUUGUUCAGAGUCUCGGAUGAGAUCCUGGACAUCACGAGGAGUUCCAGAAUGGUCCGGAGCUAAAGAUUCAUAUAUAGGAAGUGGAGUUUUGAUCACCAGAAGAGUUUCGAAGAUCGUCGGUAUUGUACCGGGACCACCGGAAGGGUUCCGGGGGUCCACCGGGAAGGGCUACCAGCCCCGAAAGGCUACAUGGGCCAAAAGUGGAAGGGAACCAGCCCCUAGAUGGGCUGGUGCGCCUCCCACCGCAUCCCAAGGGGCAAGAGAGGGCCAACCUCAGGGCAUGGGGGCUGCCUUGGGCAGCAAGCCCACCCCUAGGGCACCGCCCCUACACCACUUGGCCGCCGGCCCUCCCCAUCUAGCAUUGCCGCACCACCUAGGGUGGAAACCCUAGGGGUGGUGCACCCGCCUCGCUCUCCUCCUAUAUAAACCUAAGGGCUUUGGGGCUGCACAUACAAUUCAUCUCUCUCUCUCUCGGCACAGACCUACCUCUCCUCCUCCUCGUCCUCCGUAGUUCUUGUCGAAGCCCUCUUGGAGUACCACCCAGCUCCACCGUCACCACGCCGUCGUGUUGCAGGAGUUCUCCCUCAACCUCUCGUCUCUCCUUGCUGGACCAAGGCAUUGGAAACGUCACCGGGAUGUACAUGUGUUGAACUCAGAGGCACCGUUGUUCGGCGCUUAGAUCGAAAUCCAUCACGAUCUGAAUUGCUACGAGUACGACUCCAUCAACCGGGUUCUACUAACGCUUCCGCUUAGCGAUCUUCAAAGGUAUCAAGAUGCUCUACCCCAUUGCUCGUUGUUGGUUUCUCCUAGAUAGAUCCUUGUGAAGCGUUGAGGGUUCGAGAACUACCAAAAUAUUUAUCGGUUAUGCUAUCAGGUUGAGGGUCCGAGAACCUACUCAAUGUAAUCAGCUGCAUGACCUUUCCCGCAACAAUCAACACAUAUCCGAGAAGUUCCGCAAACUCAUCUACCUCAGACCUUCGAAAAACAAACAUACUAGACUUGUUAGAUCAUCCGAGCUAUCUCCACCAGUACUGCAGAAAAUUCACGGCACUAUUUGCCAACAAGAAAAGUAUUGAAGCGUUUCGAUGUCCGUGUCCUGAGAUACUAAGGAAGUUGAACGUUAACGAUGUGUCGACAACCCCUUGGAUCUCUACUCCUCGUUAACAAGAGGAACCAAGUCAGAACUCCGUCACAUCAACAUCAUAUAGAUUCAAAAAUACUCGAGUGAUCCUAAUUUUUUUUUUGAGCGAGAAGAGUUGUAGAAUUAAAAUUCCUAAGUCAUAAUUCCUCACCAGAGCAAGGAAGAGGAGUAAAAAGUAUCAUACUCUCUGAUAUAUAACUAGACUCAAAGUAGUUUUUCACUAGACUUGACUCGACCAAUUUUGAUCAAUCGAGGGGGCUCCAAGGUUCAUACUGCUCUGAUACCAACUUGUAACACCGAAGAUGCGAUCCUAUCCUUAUUUGGGCUCGAGGGCCUUGAGAGGGGUAGAAUCGCAUCUCGUUGUUUCGCACGAAUGAAUAUCAUUACAAGUACAUGUAAAGAAGAGACGAGUAUAUGGAAUUGGCUUGCACUCGCCACAAGCUAAUUAUGAUCAUCUUAAUACAAAAUUAUAUUCAAUCACAAUUUAGAAGAGCAGGGACCGACUAAAACGAAAUCAAACGAGUAAAAACAACAUCCAUCCUUGCUAUCCUAGGCUGCCGGCAUGGAACCCAUCCUAUGAUCGAUGAUGAUGAAGAAGAAGAAACUCCAAAUAGAACAAUCAUCACGGUCACAUCAAAGUAUUGCUUUACCUAUACCUGCAACUAACGUUGUAGUAAUCUAUGAGCCACACGGACUCACGAUCUCAUUUUCAAAGGUAUCAAGACUAGCAAAGCUUAAUGGGUGAGGUAUAGUUAAGUGGUGAGGCUGUAGCAAGCACUAAACAUUUAUUUGAGUGCCUAACAUGCAAGUACAAGAAUAAGAAGGGGUCUACGCAUAAACGAACGUGAGAUAAAAAUGAUCAAGAAAUGAUCCCGAACACGUACUUAUGAGUCAAACGUAACCCCACCGUGUCCUUUCUCGGAAUCAGAACUCACGAGUAGAGACUGUCACGGUUACGCACACAGUUGGCAUAUUUUUAUUAAGAAUACUUCAAGUUUGCUAUGAACGGGUGUUAAACAAAGUUUCCAAGUUACCACAUAACCGCGGGUACGCCUCUCUCAGAAUGAUUAAACCCUGGAGGGGUGCUCCAACUAGUCCAUCACAAACUACCACAAGCUUCAUCGAAUAACCUCAACUAUGGAAGACCCGUAGUCUUCUUGAACAUUCCAAUGGAAAACCUCAACCUCGAGAUAGCCCAAAGUAUCCCCGGAAUCCCGCAACCAAGACGUUCGAGAAAGGUAAAACAAAUCCAGCAAGGCUGCCCGACAUAUCGACGAACCCGAUAGGAGCCGCGUAUCUCGUUCUCACGACACGAUGGAUUGUCCAAACUUCCGGUAGGCCAAUCUCAGAGUUGCCCCUGGUAAUCACCGACGGUUGACAUGUUCGACCAACACUCAUGAGGAGCACUGNNNNNNNNNNNNNNNNCGAACCCGAUAGGAGCGGCGUUUCUCCACUAGUAGAAAAUGCCCCAUUUGUCCCGGAUCCAGAGGCCCAUUAGCCCUGGUUCUUGAACCGAGACUAAAUGGUCGGGACUAAAGCNNACCUUUAGUCCCGGUUCCCUUACUAACCGGGACAGAAGGGUCUCCAAGUGGCCUCUGCAGGUAGCUCGGGCAGGAGGUUCUUUAGUCUCGGUUGGUCACACCAAUCGGGCAACAUGGCAUCCACGAGCCAGCAUCUGGUCAGAGCUGGGGUUUUUGUUUUGUUUUGAAAUGGGGGAGGGGUGGGUUUGNNNNNNNNNNNNNNNNNNNNNNNNNNNNNNNNNNNNNNNNNNNNNNNNNNNNNNNNNNNNNNNNNNNNNNNNNNNNNNNNNNNNNNNNNNNNNNNNNNNNAAACUUAAACAGAGAUGAAACCCCACCUACACUAUCCUAGAUGAUUUUUGGCAGAAAUGUAGUUACGAUAGCAAGUGGACUCCAUUUGCUAUUCCUAACACCCAUCAAACACCUUCGGCUCACUUACCAAAUUUGUUGCUUUGACCCCUUCACUACUAGAAUCCGUUUUUUGUCGUCUGCUGGCUGAUGGCAAAGAACCUCUUUGCCGUCAGUUUACACCAAGCAGACGACAAAGGGCUGACUGAUGGCAAACAUACUAUUUGCCAUGUGUCGGCCCUUUGCCGUCUGCCNNNNNNNNNNNNNNNNNNNNNNNNNNNNNNNNNNNNNNNNNNNNNNNNNNNNNNNNNNNNNNNNNNNNNNNNNNNNNNNNNNNNNNNNNNNNNNNNNNNNNNNNNNNNNNNNNNNNNNNNNNNNNNNNNNNNNNNNNNNNNCCCUUUGCCGUCUGCCAGCGGACGACAAAGAGACCCAAGGCAGACGACAAAGAGGACGGGUGGGUCCCAUGCCUGCCGUGUCCAACGAAAGGCAAACUUUGCCAUCCGGGGGCCUUUGUCGUCCGCCAUGGGGCCCUUUGCCGUCGGGGGCGGACGGCAAAGGGGUCGACCCUAUAACGGCCGUCAACUCCCCCUCGCUCACUUUCUCUCUCUCCCCCCACUAUCUCUCUCCCCUCNNNNNNNNNNNNNNNNNNNNNNNNNNNNNNNNNNNNNNNNNNNNNNNNNNNNNNNNNNNNNNNNNNNNNNNNNNNNNNNNNNNNNNNNNNNNNNNNNNNNUUCACUACCACAUACAUAGCUUUUUUCCCAAACUCCCUACAGGUUUUCAUGUACCACUCAUGCAAUAUGUGCAUCAUCGUUGUUAGAGCAGGAUGACCAGGUUUGACGAGACGCUUCCCGUGCACGUAUUUAUAUUGUUCUUUUGUUACAUCAUCCCCCAAGUAAUCAUCAGGAUUGGUACCGGGCACCAUCUCAGGAUGAUUAGCAACGAUCAUAUCGAGCUCGGGAAUAGUUUUCCCACUUCUUCGUUCUGCUAACCUUGCAUCACUAGAAGUAGUUCCCAACCGCACCACUUGUGCAUAUGUCUUUUUAAGAAUGCGGUCAUAGUUGGAAUCCGGCGGAGGCGAUGGUGGACGCAGCAGUUGAUUGAUAGUGCGCUCCACUCUUACCGGAUCUAGCUUCUCCUUCGGAGGUGGAGUUUUCUUUGCAAAAUGGGCCCUCAAUUCGGCACGACAUAUCUCCUCGUUUUCCUCCUUGGUCCUCUCAUAUGGUAACUUUUCCAGAUGCUUGAGAGAUGGACCGAAUUUCCCGCCUCUGCUUGUACUACUAGACGCCAGCGAGAAGGAGGCGUAUCUCUUCCGCUUAAGAGAAGGAGGCAGACUGCUCUGGCGCACCGGACGAGCCGGAGCGGCGGCGUUUGUCUUCCGACGUUGCCGACGAGGCGAAGGAGGAGACGGACUGCUCUGACGCGCUGGAGUAGGCAAAGUGCCCUCACGCGUCGGAGGAGUGGAGAAGGAGGUAGAGUGCCCUGAUCACUCGCCGGAGGAGGAAGAGCAGGAGGAGGGGGAGGAGGCGGAGUGCCCUGACUAGUCAGAGGAGGAGGAGGAGGCGGAGGCGUCUAGUUUGGAAGCUUGACGAACUUCUUCUUCCAUAGACAUGUACUCCCCACAACACGAACCAACUGAAUCUCCCCUUCACCUGUAGGGUGGUCAAGCUCGAGGUGCUCAAAAUUCUCCAUUACUUGAUCCACCAUCACAACAGCAUAGCCAUGUGGAAUCAGAAAGCAGUGAGAAGUUCCGUUGGGUUGAGGCGGUUCAACAGAGCCGACAACCGCCAUGAAAGUGAGGUUCUGACAUUUCAUCAUAAGCUCGCAACGUUGAGCCUCCGUGAUAGUAUCCACGGGGUAUCUAGGAGCCGUGAAGUCAUGCUAAACAGGCUCCGUGGAAGCCACGCCGCUUCUUCGCUAGGAUGGUGGGGUACCUUCUAGGAUAGCUUUGUGCCACUCAGAUGGUUGGUCGGCAGCUCGCUGGCUCUAAGUUCCUCUAGCUUUUGCAGUCUUGCUUUGAUCUGUUGCAUGUCGCUCAGCUCCGCUUUCUUCUUUCUCUCCCAGCUUCUGUAACCGCUUGCGUUAGGAAACCCAAACUUCCAUGGAACGGAGCCUGGUGUGCCUCGUGUUCGUCCAGAGUGCUCAGCAUUCCCUAGGGCCUCAGUCAGCUCGUCAUUCUCUCUGUCUGGAAUGAACGUCCCUUCCUGUGCUGCGGCGAUACACUUCUGAAGCUUGAUCAUGGGUAUUGCAAGUUGCUCAUCCGUCCAAUGACACUUCCCUGUUUCAGGGUCCAAAGUUCACCCAACCCCAAAGAACCAAGUCCUUGAACGCUCUGGCCAGUUCAUUGUCUGUGGUGGGACCCCUUUAGCAAUCAGGUCAUUCUCAGCUUUGUCCGAGAACGGUCGGGCUUUGAGGUAGCCACCUGACCCCGUGUGAUGGUGAUACUGCUUCUUUGCGGCAUUGUUCUUGUUUGUCUCUGACAUUUUCUUACUCUUCUUUGCUGACUUGUAGGCCACAAAUGCGGGCCAGUGAUCUCUUAUCUUCUCAAAUCGUCUGACAAAUUCUGGAGUCUUCCUUUUGUCGACAAACAAUGAUUUCAAAUCAUUAUUCCACUUCCCGAGUAGGUGUGCCAUCUUAUUAAGAGCACACGCCUUGACAAGUGGCUCUAGAACUGGCUUAUUCAGAUCUUCCUCCGGCGGUAGGGUGAAACUUGCCUUCAACGCGGUCCAAAGAUAAUCUUUCUUCCUAUCGGUGACAUAAUCACCUUCAGGAACGUCGUUGCCCUUAGGCUUUUUCCAUUCCUUGACGCCGAUCGGGAUGUUGUACCUAACAAUAGCUCCGCACUGAGCAUAAAAAUGCGUCCUUGGUUAGCUAGGGUUCAAUCGGUAGUUCAUCGGCCACGAUUACUGUGAUUGUGAAAUUUUCAUCCAUGCGCAACCUUCUCUUCGGGCCUCGUCUCUUUACCAAAGUUUGGCUCGAUCCGGAGGGCUAUAAAAGAAUAAAGAAUGAAGUGUUAAUAUAUGUACAUACCUUCGGGCUUAAUUAAUAUAUAUACCUCGCCAGACUUUGCAACAUCUCCCUCCUUCGUUCGGUCACCGAAGUCGUCAUCAUGGUCUCCUUCUUCCUCCGGCCUUCGGUCACCAGAGCCAUCAUGAUCAUGUCCUUCCUCCUCCAUUGUUAGAUCAUCCGAGCCGUCAUUCUCUCCUUCCAGACCAUCGGUGUCGUUGAGAUACGAAAAAUAAUCACCGACCAUUAUCUCCCCUAACAACUGUUCUCUUUGAUCCAUAUAGUUUGUGCAAAUAAUCACCGAGCAUUAUCUCUCCCCAACAACUUUUUAUCAGUAUAAUGAAAUUUUAUAUAUUAAGAUUUUGUUAAAUCUCAGGUAACCUCAAAUAUUUCAAAGCUAGCAACAUAUAGAUAUAAAACAACAUCGGUCGAUCUAGCGAGCUACAUUAAAAUAGAUAAUUUGUAUCUUUCUUAUAUUAUCCGUUUAGUGCUACAUGACUAGAAUAGAUAACCUUUUCUAUUUCACCUACAAAAAUGCCGUUUAAAAAUGUCGUUUGAUAUGUAUUUUUUCUAGACUUUGGCAUGUGUCUCCCUGGCGCCAGAUGACACUGUCUGGAUGCUGCACCAUUGGGAACUUUUGUCGAACUGAUGAAUCCUACUUUAUACUUUGCUAGAGUUGCACGUUACAAGAUAUUUUAUUGUUCUCCUCUCCUGUUGCAACGCACGGGCCUGCUUACUAGUGAUAUACAAUGCAAUAGAUCUCAAGAGGGAAAAAAGGUUUUGUUUUAGUUAGAACUUAUAAUCAACUUAAUACAUCUCGAAUUUAAUCUCGAAUACAUCUCUAGUAUAAUCUAUAUAUGAACAAAAUUUGUAUGAACAGCAAUAUGCACGGGCGGCGGCGGCAACAAGCAGAGCAUGCGCAAAGGAGGAUCUCACCGGGGCCAACGGCCUCGGGGCGGCAACGAUGACGGGCUCGGGGCGGCAACGACGACGGGCUCGAGGCGGCAACGACGAUGGGCUCGGGGCGACGGCGAUGGGCUCGGGGCGUCGACGGCGGCGAGGAGGACUAGAUCGGGGGCGACGACGACGGGCUCGGGGACGGCGGCGACGAGGAGGAGGACUGGAUCGGGGGCGGCGACGACGAGGACUGGCUCGGGGGUGGCGGCGAGCAAUGGGAGAGUUUUGGGGGAAAUUCCGACAACUCCCGCCUAUAUGCAAAAACCUUUUGUCCCGGUUGGUGGCCCGAACCGGCACCAAUACCAUUCUUUCGUCCCGGUUGACUCAGCAAACCGGGACUAAAGGUCAAAUAUCAGUUGCCAAAUGGCGGGGAAGAAGAUACCUUUACUCCCGGUUUGCGGAACCAACCGGGACGAAAGGGUGCCAUUUUUCCCGAUUUGUUCCACCAACCAACACUAAAGUCCUUUUCUGGUCCCGGUUUGUGCCACAAACCAACACGAAAGGCAUGUGCCUGGCAUAGCCGCGGUGCGGUUAGAUGUUUAGUCCCACCUCGCUAGCCGAGGAAGAUGUGUAGUGGUUUAUAAGCGCUUGUGCGCACACUAUCUCAAGCUCCUCACAUAUGCACGCUUCCGGGCCUAAUCUGUCACUAGCUAUUGGGUUUUCUGCGGGCCUGAAUCCUGGCCCAACUGUCUAGUUGGGUUUGUAGUCGUAUUCAGGCCGUGGUGGCCCAUUAGUUGACAAUUGUUUUAAAGAAUAUAGUUUUUUGUUCCUACUUACUGUUUUUCAGUGAUUCUUUCAUUUUUUGGAAUUAUUUGAACUCCAGACCUUUUGUGUGUUCUAAAUGCACCAUUCAAAGCCACAUCAUCAAUUUUCAACUAUUUCUAACUUCAUUUGGUAUUUUCCAUGCAUUUAUUGAUUUUUUUGAGCUAAAUGACCCAAAACUUGAAAAGCACUACAAAUGAACUCUAAAAAUGUUGAAGGUUGGCAUGGUAUCAUCAUUUCACCCACAUAGCAUGUGCUAGAAAUUUGAGAGGGUUGCGGCAAAAACUGGACGCACUUCAUGUACAAAUCGGACAAUCUCUUUCGAAGUAUCACGUUUCAUACGAAAACUCAUCUGUUACAAAAGGGAUUUCAUUUUUUGGAAUUAUUUGAACUCCAGUCCUUUUGUGUAUUCAAAAUGCACCAUUCAAACCCACAUCACCAAUUUUCAACUAUUUCUGACAUCAUUUGUAAUUUUUCGUGCAUUUAUUGAUAUUUUUUUAGCUAAGCGACCCAGAAAUUGAAUAGCACUAAAAUUAACUCUGAAUAGGAUGAAAGUUGGCAUGGUAUCAUCAAUUCACCCACAUAGCAUGUGCUAAAAAGUUGAGAGGGUUGCGAAAAAACUGGACGUACUUCGUGUACUAAUCGGACAAUCUCUUUCGAAGUAUGAGGGUUUCGUGUGAAAACUCAUCUGUUACAAAAGGGAUUUCAUUUUUUGGAAUUAUUUGAAUUCCCGACCUUAUGUGUGUUGAAAAUGCACCAUUCAAAGCUACAUCAUCAAUUUUCAACUAUUUCUUACUUCAUUUGGUAUUGUUUCGUGCAUUUAUUGCUUUUUUUAGCUAAAUGACCUAGAAAUUGAAAAGCACUACAAAUGAACUCUGAAAAUGUUGAAAGUUGGCAUGGUAUCAUUAUUUCACCCACAUAGCAUGUGCUAAAAAGUUGAGAGGGUUGCGGCAAAAACUGGACGCACUUCGUGUACAAAUCGGACAAACUCUUUUGAAGUAUGAGGGUUUCAUACGAAAACUCAUCUAUUACAAAAGGGAUUUCAUUUUUUGGAAUUAUUUGAACUCCAGAUAUUUUGUGUGUUCAAAAUGCACCAUUGGAAGCUACACCAUCAAUUUUGAACUAUUUCUGACUUCAUUUGGUAUUUUUCAUGCAUUUAUUGUUUUUGUGAGCCAAAUGACCCAGAUAUUGAAAAGCACUACAAGUGAACUCUCAAUACGUUGAAAGUUGGCAUGGUAUAAUCAUUUCACCCACAUAGCAUGUGAUAAAAAGUUGAGAUGGUUGCGGCAAAAACUGGACGCACUUCGUGUACAAAAUCGGACAAUCUCUUUCGAAGUAUCACGGUUUCAUACACUCGUCUAUUACAAAAGGGAUUUCAUUUUUUGGAAUUAUUUGAACUCCAAAACAUUUGUGUGUUCAAAAUGCACCAUUGAAAGCCACGUCAUCAAUUUUCAACUAUUUCUGACUUUAUUUCGUAUUUUUCAUGCAUUUAUAGAUUUUUUGAGCUAAAUGACCCAGAAAUUGAAAAGCGCUACAAAUGAACUCUGAAAAUGUUGAAAGUUGGUAUGGUAUCAUCAUUUCACCCACAUAGCAAGUCUAAAAAGUUGAGAGGGUUGCGGCAAAAACUGGACGCACUUCAUGUACAAAUUGGACAAUCUCUUUCGAAGUAUCACAGUUUCAUACGAAAACUCAUCUGUUACAAAAGGGAUUUCAUUUUCUGGAAUUAUUUAAACCCCAGACCUAUUGUGUGUUCAAAAUGCACCAUUCAAAGCCACGUCAUCAAUUUUCGACUAUUUCUGACUUCAUUUGGUCUUUUUCUUGCAUUUAUUGAUUUUUGUUAGCUAAAUGACCCAGAAAUAGAAAAGCACUACAAAUGAACUCUGAAUAGGUUCAAAGUUGGCAUGAUAUCAUCAUUUCACCCACAUAGCAUGUGCUAAAAACUUGAGAGUGUUGCGGCAAAAACUGGACGCACUUCGUAUACAAAUCGGACAAUCUCUUUUGAAGUAUCAGGGUUUCAUACGAAAACUCAUCUCUUACAAAACAGAUUUCAUUUUUUGGAAUUAUUUGAACUCCAUACCUUUUGUGUAUUCAAAAUGCACCAUUCAAAGCCACAUCAUCAAUUUUCAACUAUUUCUGACUUCAUUUGGUAUUUUUCAUGCAUUUAUUGAUUUUUUUAGCUAAAUGGCCCAAAGUUGAAAAGCACUACAAAUGAACUCUGAAUAGGUUGAAAGUUGGCAUGGUAUCAUCAUUUCACCCACAUAGCAUGUGCUAAAAAUUUGGGAGGGUUGCGGCAAAAACUGGACGCACUUCAUGUACAAAUCGGACAAUCUCUUUCGAAGUAUUAGGGUUUCAUACGAAAAUUCAUCUAUUACAAAAGGGAUUUCAUUUUUUGGAAUUAUUUGAACUCCACACAUUUUGUGUGUUCAAAAUGCACCAUUCAAAGCCACAUCAUCAAUUUUCAACUGUUUCUGACUUCAUUUGAUAUUUUUCACGCAUUUAUUGAUUUUUUUAGGUAAAUGACCCAGAAAUUGAAAAGCACUACAAAUGAACUCUAAGUAGGUUGAAAGUUGGCAUGGUAUCAUCAUUUCACCCGCAUAGCAUGUGCUAGAAAGUUGAGAGGGUUGUGACAAAAACUGGAGGCACUUCGUGUACAAAUCGGACAAACCCUUUCGAAGUAUCACGGUUUCAUACGAAAACUCAUUAGUUACAAAAGGGAUUUCAUUUUUUGGAAUUAUUUAAACUCCAGACCUUUUGUGUAUUCAAAAUGCACCAUUCAAAGCCACAUCAUCAAUUUUGAACUGUUUCUAAGUUCAUUUUGUAUUUUUCAGGCAUUUAUUGAUUUUUUUUUAGCUAAAUGACCUAGAAAUUGAAAAGCACUACAAAUGAACUGUGAAUAGGUUGAAAGUUGGCAUGGUAUCAUCAUAUCACCCACAUAGCAUGUGCUAAAUAGUUGAAAGGGUUGCGGCAAAAACUGGACGCACUUCGUGUAGAAAUCAGACAAUGUCUUUCGAAGUAUCACGGUUUCAUACGAAAACUCAUCUGUUACAAAAGGGAUUUCAUUUUUUGCAAUUAUUUGAACUCCAGACCUUUCGUGUGUUCAAAAUGCACCAUUGAAAGCCACAUCAUCAAUUUUCAACUAUUUCUGACUUCAUUUGGUAUUUUUCAUGCAUUUAUUGAAUUUUUCGAGGUAAAUGACCCAGAAAUUGAAAAGCACUACAAAUGAACUCUUAAUAGGUUGAAAGUUGGCAUGAUAUCAUCAUUUCACCCACAUAGCAUGUGCUAAAAAUUUGGGAGAGCUGCGGCAAAAACUAGACGCACUUCAUGUACAAAUCGGACAAUCUCUUUCGAUGUAUCAGGGUUUCAUUCAAAAACUCAUCUGUUACAAAAAGGAUUUCAUUUUUUGGAAUUAUUUGAACUCCAGACCUUUUUUGUGUUCAAAAUGCACCAUUCAAGGCCACAUCAUCAAUUUUCAACUAUUUUUGACUUCAUUUGGUAUUCUUCAUGCAUUUACUGGUUUGUUUUUUGAACUAAAUGACCCAGAAAUUGAAAAGUACUACAAAUGAACUAUGAAUAGGUUGAAAGUUGGCAUGGUAUCAUCGUUUCACCAACAUAGCAUUUUGUGUUUGCGCCAACUAAGACCUUUGGGAUGGUCCACGGUGUUUGCAAAUUAGUCUUGCUGAAAAAACAGAAACUUUCGACCUCAGUCCACUAAUUUUUUAAAUUCACUCAAACGUGCUUUUGAUCUCAAUUUUUUACACAAGAUUCAUAGGCAAUUUACCCAGAUUGUCUUAAUUUUUCAUAAUUUUUGGAGUUACAUAAGUAUUUGAAUUAUACAAAUGACUUCCGACUAUUCUGUUUUUGACAGAUUCUUUUUUCUUUGUGUUGUUUGCAUAUAUUGAUUUAUCUAUGGGUUGUAUCGGGGGGUAUGAACCAUGGAGAAGUUUGAAUACAGUAAAUAUUACACCAAUAUGAAUAAAGAAUUAGUUCACAACAAUACCUAAAGUGGUGAUGAAUAAAGAAAGGGCUAAAUAACCAUUCAAAUUUGGAAACUCUAUAUAAUGGAACAAACAGAAACUAGAUAUAUAUAAAUUGGUGCAAGAAGUACAUAAUAAUACAUGCAAGCAAUACAUAAUAAUAGCUAGCAUACAUAUAUAUACAAGUGUUCGCCGUUCUAAACACUACUCGUCUGUAUCUGAAUCUGCAUCAGAAUGUGCCAAAGCUGGUUCUUCGAGGUGACGCUAGCCAUAUCUCACGGUUUUAAUCUUGCGUUACAAGUCUUUUGCAACGUAUGCAUCUUUUGCUGCAUACUCAAGGUUGAUAGGGUCAAGUGGGGUCUUCCCACACUUCUUGUGCUGAGCCUUCGGGAAAGCCUUCUUCAUAUCAUGGUACUCCUCAUCGAUCAACGCGACAGCCAUAUCAGCCAUCGAAGUCCUCGGAUAAUCAAGCAGGAAUAGGCCUUGGAGAUCAAUGUGGCACGCAGCUGGUAUCUCAAUACCAAAGUUGCGCCUCAUAUUCAUCAUGUCGUUCGUUAUGUCAACGCUAGUGAAACGUAUGACGCUGCGAAGGAAGUCCAUCAGUUCUGUACAUUGCUUGUCACUACUGCAACAUCAACAAAUUAAAAAUGAAACAAAUGUUACAUACUUCUCCAACAAGGAAAAAUGUUUCAAUACAACUAAACAGAAAUUUAUCAUAACGAUUCAAAUGGAACAUAUUGCUAUUCUAUGCAAUUCUCAUAUCCUAUGCCAAUAUUGUAACAUAUUGCUAUCCAAUGCAUUUUUCAUAUCCUUGGAUCAAAGAAAGCCUAUGUUGUAAUAUAUCCAAUGGAACCUAGGGAGAUCAAUAUAUGAUAUCCAAUGGAACCUAGGGAGAUCAAUAUAUCCAAUGUUGUAACACAUAUUGCUAUCCUAUGCAAUUUUUUAUUGUUAUCAAAUGGAACAUAGAAACUCCAUAUUGCUAUCAAAUGGAACCUAGAGAAGAUCAAUACAUGCAAUGUGUAUAUCCUUGGAUCAAAGAAAGCCUAUGUUGCAAUAUAUCCAAUGGAACCUAGGGAGAUCAAUAUAUGCUAUCCAAUGGAACCUAGGGAGAUGAAUAAUCGAAUGUUGUAACACAUAUUGCUAUCCUAUGCAAUUUUCAUAUUGCUAUCAAAUGGAACAUAUAAAGAAACUCCAUAUUGCUAUCAAAUGGAACCUAGAGAAGAUCAAUACAUGCAAUUUUCAUAACCUUGGAUCUAAGAAAGAAACUCCAUAUUGCUAUCAAAUGGAACCUAGAGAAGAUCAAUACAUGCAAUUUUCAUAACCUUGGAUCUAAGAAAGACUAUGUUGUAAUUUAUCCAAUGGAACCUAGGAAGAUCAAUAUAUGCUAUCCAAUGGAACCUAGGGAGAUCAAUAUAUCCAAUGUUGUAACACAUAUUGCUAUCCUAUGCAAUUUUCAUAUUGCUGUCAAAUGGAACAUAUAAAGAAACUCCAUAUUGCUAACAAAUGGGACCUAGAGAAGAUCAAUACAUGCAAUUUUCGUAACCUUGGAUCAAAGAAAGACACAAAACUUACCUCGCCCAUUGGAAGAUCAAGACAUACUAUUUGAAAUACAGUUGGAUGACGGCAACACCUUGAUGGUUGGGCGUGAACUCCAGUUCAAGCCCCUAGAACGCCUCAUGCUCCGGCGCGGCGUCAACCCACUCCCGGAACCAUGACAUAAAAUUUGGCACCACCCUGCUCUCGUUCGUGUACCCGCACGUGAGCCAAGUCGUGCCAUGUGCACGCACCUCUCCGACUAGAUAUGUCAUAGUGGAAGAAGAAUGGAAGAAGAGAGGGGAAGAAGAGAGGAAGAAGAAAAACAGAGGAGAGGAGAAGAACAGAGAAUGGCGAGAGACUCUGCUUCAGUUGCAGUUUUCAUCGCUGAAAACGAAGCGGGAGGGCGAACCGUUUAGACCUUUAGUCCCGGGUUGGACGAAAAAACGACACUAAAGGGGUGAUUCGAAGAGCCGCCACCCCGGUUUGAUCCACCAACCGGGACUAAAGGUCCAUACGAACGGUUGCACGAAUGCCCGCCACCACACCUUAGUCCCGGUUUGAUCCACCAACCGGGACUAAAGGGGAUAUGAACGGUUGUCGGCCUAUUAGUCCCGGUUCUUGACUGGAACCGAGACAAAAGGGGUGAGACGAACCGGGACCAAUGUCCCAUGAUGCCCGGCCGGUGCCCUGGCCUCACGAACCGGGACCAAUGUCACCAUAGGUCCCGGUUCGUAUGUGAACCGGGACUAAUAGGAUUUCAGGACCUGGACCAAAGCCGUCUUUUCUACUAGUGCUCGUUCCCAGGACACGAUAGAUGAGCACAGCGUAUAGUGACCUGAUAGAAAUCUCCCGAGUUGCCCGAGGUUGGCCCCGCACACAGCUCUAGUUUGUACCAACUGUCGGCGUCAAAACCGGCAGAUCUCGGGUAGGGUGUCCCAAACCGUGGACCUUAGAUUGAUGGAUUGCACGAAAGUGGGGGAGACAAAAUUUACCCAAGUUCGGGCCCUCUCGAGGAGGUAAAACCCUACGUCAUGCUUGAUUAUAUUGAUGUGGAUGAUGAUUAGAGAGUCUACCUUGAGAUCGUGUAUACUAAACCCAAGGUGGAAUAAUAUAUCUACAUGGACGAGGAGCCUCGGUUUAUAUAGUCACCGGGGGGCUAUGGUUACAUACAACCGACCGAGUCUACUUUACUUGGUUUCCACGUCGUUCUUUAGUGUUUUCGUUCUUGUGUACGAGACAACCGCAUAGCCCGGCCCAUCAUAUGCACGGCCCAUCAAACCUACCUCUUCGUAGUAAGCCGAUUACCUGAGGACCCAUUAAUCCCGGACUCCCUCACCAACACUCAUGAGGAGCACUGGCCCGAGGGUUGCUACUUCUUCAGCUUGCAUUGGUUUUCCCUUGAAGAGGAAAGGGUGAUGCAACAAAGUAGAUAAUUAUUUCCCUCAGUUUGUUGAGAACCAAGGUAUCAAUCCAGUAGGAGGAACAGGCAAAGCCUCAAUCUUAGCACCUACACAAACAAUCAUACACUUCCACCCAACGCUAAAAAGCGGUUGUCAAUCCCUUCACGGUUAUUUGCAAGGAUGAGAUCUGAUAGAUAUAGAUAUAAAAGAUUGCUAGAACUAAAAGUAAAAUAAAAGUAAAUAAAUGCCACCAAUACAUUUUUGGUAUUUUUGGUUUAUAGAUCUGAAAGUAUAAUAUGGAAAAUAGACCCGGGGGCCAUACGUUUCACUAGUGGCUUCUCUCAUGAAGGAAAAUAAUACGAUGGGUGAACAAAUUACUGUCGAGCAAUUGAUAGAAAAGCGAAUAAUUAUGAAGAUACCCAAGGCAAUGAUUAUGCAUAUAGGCAUCACGUCUGUGUCAAGUAGACCGUAAUGAUUCCGCAUCUACUACAAUUACUCCACACAUCGACCGACUCCUGCCUGCAUCUAGAGUAUUAAGUUCAUGAAGAACAUAGUAACGCAUUAGGUUAGAUGACAUGAUGUAGAAGGAUAAACUCAAGCAAUAUGUUGAAAACCUCAUCUUUCUAUCCUAGAUGGCAACAAUGCAAUAUGUGCCUCGCUACCCCUACUUUGUCACUCGGUGAGGACACCGCAAGAUUAAACCCAAAACUAAGCACUUCUCCCAUUGCAAGAAUUACCAAUCUAGUUGCACAAACCAAACCAAUAACUCGAAGAGACUUGCUAAGAUAUGAAAUCGUGCAUAUAAGAAUUCAGAGAAGAUUCAGAUAAUAUUCAUAGAUAAUCUGACCAUAAACCCACAAUUCAUCGGAUCUCGACAAACACACCGAAAAGAGUAUUACAUCAGAUAGAACUCCAUGAAGAUCAUGAAGAACAUGGCAUUGAAGAACAAAGAGAGAGAAGAAGCCAUCUAGCUACUACUAUGGACUCGUAGGUCUCUGGUGAACAACUCACGCAUCAUCGGAGAGGCAAUGGAGUUGAUGUAGAUGCUCUCCGUGAUCGAUUCCCCCUCCAGUAGAUUACUGGAAAAGGCUCCCAGAUUGGAUCUCAUGGGAAUAGAGGCUCCGAGGGACAGAAAAGUAUUUUUUGGUGGCGCUUGGGUAUUGGGUGAAUAUUUGGGAAUUUAUAGGACGAAGAUUAGGGUUAGGAGGCCUGCAGGGGGCCCACAAGCCAGGGGCGCCCCCUAGGGUGCGCCCUGCAGGCUUGUCGUCUCCCAACAGGUCUCCUGUCCCCUUCUCCAAGUCUCGCAGGUUUUUUCUGGUCCAAGAAAAAUUAUUCUGGAGAUUUUAUUCCGUUUGGACUCCGUUUAAUAUCCCUUAUCUACAAUACUCAAAAACAUGGGAAAAACAAAAACUGGCACUAGCCUCUAGGUUAAUAGGUUAGUCCCCAAAAUAAUAUAAAAUAGCAUAUUCAUGAAUAUAAACAUCCAAAACAGAUAAUAUAAUAGCAUGGAACAAUCAAAAAUUAUAGAUACAUUGGAGACGUAUCAAGGGUUCAUUAAUUAUCCACGGGGUCUAGAAAGUCCCUAUGCAAUUUUAUAAGUUAUUAGGCAAAUGUAGUACCAAUGUUGGGCCUUGCGAGAAGAGUUUUAUCCCAAAACGAAAAUCAAGGGGGGCCCAUAACAACCCGAAGCAUGUUCCGAGGGCUCAAUACAAAACAUAACAUCGGUACACAAGAAACUAGGGCGGCAAAUAUGGCACAAAACACCGAGCUAGAAAACCAAGCCUUCCACCUUUUACCAAGUAUAUAGCUGCAUUAAAUGAAAUAGCGAUAAUAUGGUGAUAUAUCAACGAAUCCAUGUUGUCACAUGGAAGGCAACUGCACCUGCAACUAGCAACGCUAUAAGAAGGGUUGAGCAAGCAGUAACAUUGCCAAACAAAGGUUUGCUUGGAUGUUGAGGGGGUUAGAGGCUUUUCAUGGCAAAGUUGGGAGGCUUGACAUAACAGGUGGUAGGCAGCGAGACAUAGCGAUAGAAAGGAGACAACUAGCAUAGCAAUGACAGUUGUGGUAUCUAGGGAAAUGAUCAUCUUGCUUAAGAUCCCGCUUGGAAGAGGAACAAAUCUAUGAAGUAGAUGAACCAACAUAGUCGAACGAAUCCUCACACUCUGCAACAAUUUCGGAACUCUAUCGAGGAGAAACAAUCCGGAAACAAACAAAUGACACGGUAAACACCACACCAUAUUCAUAGCAUGAUGCACAACCAAAUAUGAUGCAUGUUCACUUAAUUAUGCAUGACAUGACAAAGCACAACAAUUUCUUACUAUAUAGGAUGUGCAAAUGACGAAAAGAAUUAGGUGUCACGACGGCGAAUCCGAAAAUGAUGCCACGACAACAUUCCGGUGAUCUAGCAACUCAUGGAGAAAUAGGUGCAAAAGAAACAUAGGAUGUGCAAACGCGCAAGUGAUGGUGGGGUGAUCCCGGUUACCGGGUUCCCACAUGUCGCUGGCAUAAAAAUGGAGGUACUUGCAACGAAGAUGGCAUCUACAAAACGAACAACGACACAAAUCAUAAAACAAUGCAUUAACCCAUGGGCAUCGACUCGACGGAUACCUUCGAAAUGUGCAAUCGCGGCGGAUUGGGUCGUCGAUGGAAGUAGUCUUUCACGUCGUCGUCGACAUCAUGCAAGUAUUUGCAUCUGUGAUCUUGUCAGUUCCAUGGCAACAGUAGACUAGGUUCGGUUCUGUGACACUUGACGUCCGUGUAGUCGAUCUUGCGGUGGUCGGGGCGAUCUUAGCGUUCUUUGGACUUGGUGAUGGGGCCUCAGUCUUGCGGUGAGAGGUGAAGCGGAACUAGAAAAUGACCCAAAUCGAAGAAACACAAAGGCCUUGGGUCAACCGUGAAUUUUUUGGUCGAAGCGUCCAAAUGGCCAAUGUGUACCAACUGCAUCCAAUGACAGAAGAGGGGGACGACAACAACGGCUACAACAGGCAGUGGCGGCAAGAAGUGGAAGGGGGCGUGCAGGGUCAAUCGUGCACGUAGUCAAAGGGAGGCAGCGGGAGCGGCUGAAGAUGUUGGUGGCUGUGGUGCAUGGGUAGAGCAGUCGAACGUCGAAGGGAUAUCGCACAACACGAGCAAGAGGCGGCCUGACAAAGGGUGCGGCUAGGAGGCGUAGGUGGUGGCGGCUGCAGGUGAGCAGCGGGGCUCCCAGGCCGGAGUUGAGAAGGAGGAGGCAGGGUUGGAAGAGGCGCUAGGUUUGAGGAGCUUGCUCCGGCGGCUCGGUCGGGUUCUUGGGAUGGCCGACAAGUCUCCGAAGCAACAAGCAGAGGACGUCGCAAGGAUCGGAGAAGAGGGCCAAAGGGCGUGGACAAGGAGGAGGCUAGAGGGGCGACGAGGUCCAUUAGCGACGAUGUCGGUUGCUGGCGCUCGGGCACGGGCGCCCCUCGGGAGCGAGCGGGAGGAGGCGUCUCCGCACUCCAGCAAAGAGUAGAGGAGGAUGUAGGAGGAAUCGGAGAGGGGCAAGGGACGGUGUGCUGGUCGGAGGGUUUGCGGGAGCUUGGCAAGGAGGAGUCAGGUCGGGAAAGGGGCGCUUUGGGCGAGGAAAGGUCGGGCGCGGGAUGAAAGAACUCGCGAGCGGGAUCUUCUGUGUGUCGGUGUGUGUGCGCCAGCGCUGUCAGGAGGAGAGCGAGGGGUUCGAGGGAGAUCGAGAGGAGGGGGGACGAGGGGAUCGGGAGGUCACUCCUGGUGACGGUGCUAGGAGGGAGGAAGGGAUCGAUUGGAUGCUCUCCAUGGCGCUACGGUUAGAAGUGGUUGGUCUGGGCCUAAUGGAACCAAACGAAGCCAUACUGGCUGGGUGUUCUCUUUCUCUUCCUUCUCAAAUCUUAUCUUACCUCUUAUACCUACUAAUAAAGCAAAUAGUGCUUCUUCUAUACGUCAUCCAAAUUACCUUCAAAGUUGACUAAAAUUACCCACCAAUGCCACCUAUAAGUCAUAAAAAACGUUUCAAACAGAAAAAUCUCCUGACUGGGCCGGCGCAUGUAGGCACCUCCUAUAUUACGCUCGCGUUGAAAAAGAUGUAGCACACCUGUUUGGGCCUGCCCAUGUGUGGACGCCUGUUUUUUUAGUUUAUUUUUUUAAUUUUUCUUUUCAGUUCCAUUUUGUUUUUCUACUUUAAAUAAUUUAGAACUUCAAACAUAUUUUCUCAAUUUUAAGAAACUAGGAAUUUCGUAAUAAAAUAUCCAAAAAACAUUUUGUUUUUGAGAAUUCAAAAACUACUCUGGAGUUUUGAAAUUUUUUUGCAUAUAAAAAAUGUUUAAACUGUGAUAAAAUGUCCGUAAAAUAAAAAAGUCAACGAUUUUAAACAAAAUUCCGUGUAAAAAUCUUAAAAACAGUUUGUGCCUCUGUUUUUUGUCUCAUUUUUUAUUUUUAUUUUUCUGUUCCAUUUUUUAGUGAACUUUGAAAAAAGUGAACUUUGAAAAACUUUUGCAAUUUAUAAAACUGGGAAUUUUGAAAUAAAAGUUUGAAGAAAAUAUAAAAUGUUUGUGAAUUCAAAAAAUGCUCAGGAUUUUUGUAAAAAUAUUCACAUAUUCAGAAAAAUGUUCAUAAUUUUGAGAACAAUGUUGGUGAAAACUAUAAAAGUCCAUGAUUUUGAAAAAAAGUUUGUGUGUUAUUUUUUAAGUGCAAUUGAAAAAAAUGUUUGCUAAUUCAAAACAUGUUCAUGCAUUUCAAGAAAUGUCCUAAAAUUUUAAAGACAUAAUAUGAUCAGCACCAUUGCAGAUUAUAAUUGUUUUUCUUCCGUUGCAACGCACGGGUCCUCUUGCUAGUCUUCUCUAAUUACAGAAAAUAUUAAAGAAAGAAAAGGAGAGAAAAGAAGAAAUUAGCGAAGGAAUUUGGGAUGGAGGUAAUUUUCCCAAACACAAAAAUGAUUUUGAUCGAGGAAAAUAGAAAUAGACACAAGUGUGAAGUUGAAUUCAAAAUCAUUGGAAUUAAAUUCAAAUAGGUUUUAAUAGGAGGUGGGUGCUACGAAGUUUAACAAAAUUUGAGAAUUUUUUGUAGAUCUUGAGAAAGUGAUGAAACAAUUAAUGGGCAAAGUUUGAAGGCAAGAAUUGAGAUAGAGAAAGCAUGGAUUUUAUUUUGCAAAUCCGGUAACGUUAAUUCCAGUUAAAGGAAUAUUCGUUAUAGCUUGCUAAAAUAUUGGGAGGAUAUGAUAUAAAGAGAAAUCACCGUGUGAAUUUCCCUCACUUUAAAUGGAUCAAAGAUUCAUACAAUUUAUUUAUUUAAGUUGCAAAAACUAAUGGCAUGAUGGCACGAUGAAAUGAUGCAAUGCAAAAAUAAAUAAUUAAAACGGCGGUCACGACAAACAUGGAAGGCAUCUAGAGCUUCGGUUCCGGGCUAUUACAGGCGCAAAGCACGAUGUUGUCUGAUGCGAGUAGCCGAUCGGGGAUGAACACGUCCCCGGUGUGGAUGUCAUCGUUGACGAAUACUCGAGCCAUCGAUCCUUUGGCGACCCAAUAGAGGAACCCUCAAUGUAAGCACCAAUGUGAGUGUCAAAACCGCCGGAUCUCGGGUAGAGUGUCCCAAGUUGUGGGUCUUGGAUCAAUGGGAAACAGUGAACGGAGACACGGUAUUUACCCAGGUCUAGGCCCUCUCGUGGAGGUAAAACCCAAUGUCGUGCUUGAUUGUAUUGAUUGUGUGUAUGAUGAUUACAGAUAUGAGAUAAACCCUAGAUGAUGGUUUUGUCGAUGUCCCUAUGAACUAUAACCCACUGGCUUAUAUAGACACCAGGGGUUCAUAGGGUUACAUAUGGUCGGUUACAUCAGGAGAUAAACAUGUCGAUCCGACCAUCUUCUCUUGGAGGACACACCAAGGCACAAAAGGUUUCCUCCUUGAAUACGAAGUUAUUUGAUAGAUCGACCUUCACGCAAUAGCCACAAAGCAGCCCACCAGCCUGGCCCAUGGGAGAUAGGCCGACGGCCCGAGGACCCCUUAGUCUAGGACUCCCUCACCCUCACCUCGUCCCUAUUUCCCCAGUUCAUCAUCGAUGACUCGAUCAACGUGAUCGACAUCCUAAGCCCGACACAUCACCUCACACCCCCUUAGUUGUACGACUCUACAGAACUACUAUCGAGUACCGAGGGUGACACCUUGUAACACAAUUCUGAUGCUAACUACGUCUGAGCAGUCCCCCUCGCGCUCAUCGGGGAGGCGUCUCCUUUCACCAUCGUUGGAAACAUUUUAGAUUGAAUACGUUUAUGCAGGCCGGGGGUAAUGGUUCCUUUGCUACUAAGCCAAGCCAAAAUUUGGCGCGAAGGAUUUUUCAUUUCAUCAUCGCAAAUGGUUGUGUAUGAUGACUCGUGUGCUUAGUACAUACAAUGAGUUUAGAUUUCCAUUUGUAGAAUUGGGUAAAUUGCCAUUUCUCAAAUUGGAAACAUUGGCAUUUGUCUAUCUAGUAAAAUUUACAUUUAACAUCAUUGUAACACUAGAAAUUGUCAAAUUUCGCAGGAACAAAAUCACUAUUAUAGUGCAAUUUUGCAACUGAAAUUCAGUACACAUAGAUUACAUUCAUAGAUGAAGUAGUGGUCUUUGUACAAAACAGUUCAACACGGCAGCUGAACCGAACAAUCUUUUCCUCAAUUAUUGCCAACCACGUACUAAAAUAGCAAGUUCAACUAUAUAUACUAGCCUAUUUAAAGUAUGUGGUACAGUUCAAUGAACUGAACAAAAUAGCCCCUAAAUACUAGUACUAUGGAGGGGCUUUGUACUACUUCCAACAACCUCUCCUUUUCCAAGCGCGUUUAGUAAGAGUUAGAGGAGGAUGAUCCUACCAACGAGUUGGAGGAGUCAAAUCCACCACCAGUCGUUGCUGCCCUCCGCCGCUCCUGACGCGCCUCCUCGAAGCGGCGGGACUCGGCGUGGAUCUUUUCAUUUCGCACAACCACUGGUGCAUGAGCUGCGGCCACCGCAGCGGUGAGCCUCUUUGUUCUCGACCUGCACUCCUUCAACUCAUGUAGGAACUUGAUGUAGCGCGCAAGGCCGUUGACGCAAAAUCAAAGCGGCUGGACAUUGUCGGCGGCCUCCUCCUCCCGCCUUCGGGCCGCGAUGGCGGAGCGGGCGAUAGUCGUGGUGGCCGACAGUGGGGUGGCGAAGCGUGUGGUGGGUGGCGUGUGCACACCCAACAAGGACGCCAUGCGCACUACACGCUUUUGCGGACUCCACCACCGAUGUGGUGCAGCCUCCGAGCUCGAGUUGUCCUCUCGCGGAGUUACGGUGCGACGAUAACGGACGGGUGCCAUUGGCGAUCUGGGGACAAGAAAAUUAGAGAAGCUACAAGGAGAGAGGGGAUGAAUGCGGUUGUAGACACCGUACAUGAGGGGUAAUAAAGUAGGCAGCCAAUCAUUGGGGGUUUGUGGGAUUUCGGCGAGCCGGACGGGAAGCUUGCGUGGGAACUUGCGCGGUUGCACGGGAAUGGGAAGGCCUAAAGAAACGCGUGCAUGCUCCCCAAGCGUGCAUUGGAAUCCUCAAGGGGCAACGUGGUGACAAGACGGGACAAAGGAGGGAUAAAUGACAAUGGUUAAUAAUAAAAAAAUGUUUGCAUUUUAUUACAUAGCAAACGAACAUUUUGUACGCACCGUCACGAACUGCUCUACGUAUGAGGCGACAGAUUGAGGCGACCGCGGCUCGCUCUGCCCGCAUCCAUGCGUGAGCGCUGUGUGAGCAUCCCUCCAUGUUUGGUGCGCCAUAUACACAUGGUUGCGAUGCACCCGGUGUCGUGGUGCAGUUAUACGUGCGCCACCAUGCACUUAAGGGCUGCAAAAACUGCCAUGCGGACGUGCCGAAAUGCUAGGCCGUCCGAUGCCCACCCAUUAAUUCCUACGGCCAUUUACCUUCAUCUCUUCCACCUUUUGAUCGUGCCACACAACACAAGAAGCACACCCACAAUGAGAAAUAAUGGAGAGAGGAUGCACAUCUCUUCAUCACUUCAACCUUAACGCACGGAUCCAAUUGCGGCUGCCGGCGUAGGGCGACAAUUCACCAUUAUUGUCAAAGUGCACACCCACAUUAGGAAGACAUACCUAUCGGUGGCAUACAUCAAUGACCUGGUCUAUGUGGAGAAAUCCAUCAACAAAUUGGAGCAUCUGCUUGUUGAGGAUUGAUAACCCACAAGUAUAUGGGAUCGCGAUAGUUUUCGAUGGUAGAGUAUUCAACCCAAAUUUAUAGAUUCGACACAAGGGGGGCCAAAAAAUAUUUGCAGGUAUUAGCGGCUAAGUGGCCAAUUCAACCACACUUGGAGAUUUGGUAUCUGCAGCACAUUGAUCAGUAGCAUAGUAAUAUGAUAGUAGUAGUAACAGUAGCAGCAGUAACGGUAAAAGUGAUAGCAGUUUUGUAGUAGUUGUAAUAGCAGUAGCAACAAUAGUAACUUAGUAAGCACAAUAUGUGGAAAACUCGUAGGCACUGUAUCGGUGACAUUGCCGGAUAAUGUUCAUCAUAUAACAGUCACAACAUAGGGCAACACAGAACUAGCUCACAUUCAUCAAUCUAAUGUAGGCACGUAUUUCGUAAAUAGCCAUAUGUGCUUAUGGAAAAGAACUUGCAUGGCAUAUUUUUUCCUACCCUCCCAUGGCAGCGGGGUCCAUAAGGAUACUAAGGGAUAUUAAGGCCUCCUUUUAAUAGAGAACUCGUGAAAGGACGUGGAUGUCGCCUAGAGGGGGGGUGAAUAGGCGCUUUAAAAUAAUUACGGUUUAGGCUUGAACAAAUGCGGAAUAAAACUAACGUUUAAUUUGUCAAGCACAAAACCUACAACAACUAGGCUCACCUAUGUGCACCAACAACUUAUGCUAAGCAAGAUAAACAACUAAGUGAUAGCAAGAUAUAUGACAAUAAACAGUAUGGCUAUCACAAAGUAAAGUGCAUAAGUAACGGGUUCGGGUAAGAGAUAACCGAGGCACACGGAGACGAUGAUGUAUCCCGAAGUUCGCACCCUUGCGGAUGCUAAUCUCUGUUGGAGCGGUGUGGAGGCACAAUGCUCCCCAAGAUGCCACUAAGGCCACCGUAAUCUCCUCACGUCCUCGCACAAUGCUAGAUGCCGUGAUUCCACUAAGGGACCCUUGAGGGAGGUCACCGAACCCAUACAAAUGGCAAACCUUGGGGGCGGUCACCGGUACCCGUACAAAUUGCUCGGGGCAAUCUCCACAACCUAAUUGGAGACCCCGACGCUUGACCGGAGCUUUACACCACAAUGAUUGAGCUCCGAGACACCACCAAGCUUCUAAGAAGCCAAAGCAUCCACGAAGAACAAUAUCUAGGGUACUAAGUACCAAAGGUAAUAAGCUUCUCAAACUUCAAUUCCACGUAUCACCGUGGAGAACUCAAACUGAUGCAACUAAUGCAAUGGCAAGAACACACGAAGUGGAAAAGUCCCUCACACUCAAAUACCUCCACAACAACAAAAGCUAUGGAGAAAUAUAAGAGGAAGAACAAGGAGCUCACAAAGAACUCCAAGAUCUAGAUCCAAGGGGUUUCCCUCACAUAGAGGAGAAAGUGAUUGGUGGAGAUGUGGAUCUAGAUCUCCUCUCUCUUUUCCCUCAAGAACAAGCAAGAAUCAUUAGAGGGAUUGAGAUUUAGCAAGCUCUAAGAAGGUCAACAAUGGGGGAAGAACACCAGCUCAACGGAUAGAAUUGACCAAGGGGGAAGAAGACCCCCUUUAUAUAGUGGGGGAAGGAGUCAGACCGUUACCCCCACUUACAGCCCGAGACCAAUAGUACUGCCGCUGGCUGCAGUGGUACUACCGCUGACCCUCCAGCGGUACUACAGCUUACCCUCCAGCGGUACUACCACUGGCUGCAGCGGUACUACCGCUGACCCUCCAGCGGUACUACCGCUGGCUGCAGCGGUACUACCGCUGGGUCCAUGGUAGCGUAAAGAUACUACCGGGCCAACCACCGCCAAGAAAGUCUUCGCAAAAAGUCCGACGUAGUACAGCCGCAAGGAUGACGGUACUAAAGUCCUGGAGUGGUACUACCGCUGACCAGGGGCGGUACUACCGCUGGGCCAGCGGUACUACCGCCAGCUCUAGCGGUACUACCGCUAUGGCGAGCAGUAUUACCGUUGAGCCCAUGAAAAAGCCAUAACUUUCGCAUACGAGCUCCGAAUCGAGCAAACCCAAGCUUGUUGGAUUCAGGACGACAAGAGCUAUCCGGCAUAAGAGCGGAAAUCUUAAGACCAUACAGAUAUGAAAAUGCCAAUGAUAUAGAGAUGUGAGACCUCUAUGAAUGAAGAACCGGUAAAAACUCCAACAUCGGAAACAUCAUAGUAGAUGCAUAUGGACUCCGUUUUCGAUGAAUUCGAGCUUGUCAUGAAGAUGACCAUAAGCUCUAAAACUCACAAAGAGAAACACCAAAUAAGAACCAAGAAGUAUGAUGAAGGAUGGAAAUGGUUUGAGCUCUCAACGAACGAUACGAUCAAGCUACUCACUUGAGAGCCCCCCUUGACAGAACAUCAAUCUAUCCUAAAACAGAAAACCUAUCAAGGGCAAACCUAUACCAUGCACCUCGUCCUCUUGAGCUAGAUGAUGAUGAUCUUGGCUUCCUCAAGAUGGACCACCUUUCUUGAUUGUGUUGGCUUGAUGAAGACCAGUUGAUUGCUCCCCCAUACUCAUUAUGGGUGAGCCACUUUUCAGCAUAUCUUCACAAGUCCAUUGCCACCACAAUGGACGGCAAGCUUCAAGCAUGAUAUAUUCUUGCUGAUCCACUUGAACUUGCACACCACAAUCUUGAUGACGAUCACCACUUGACGUCAUCCUUCAUGGUUUGUAUGAGAUCUUCCUUUUGACGCAAGCCCAUGGAAACACACCUAACCCCCCACAUAGAACUUUCACGAAGACCAUGGGUUAGUACACAAACACGUAGUGGACAAUGCUUACCAUACCAUGGGAUCACUUGAUCCCUCUCGGUACAUCUUGUACGCUUUGUGUGUUGAUCAUCCUGAUUUACUCUUUGUCUGAGAUCUUGAUUAACCUUGUUUCUCUAUGACCAUUCUUUGGAUAAUACCUUGAAUACCAUCUUGGUCAUCAUAUAAACUCCUUGAACCCAACAGAUGAACUUCAAGAAGUGCCUAUGGACAAAUCCUAUAAAUAUAACUUAAGGCAACCAUUAGUCCAUAGGAAUUGUCAUCAAUUACCAAAACCACAUAUGGAGAUAUAUGCUCUAACAACUGGAACAAAGCAUUAACACAUAAUGAAUACAUGAACUCCUCAAACUACGGUAAUCACCGAAAUGAAUCCCACUUAUUGUCACUUUGCGGUAUGCAGAUCAUAACACAUAAUAGGUGCAUAUAACUUGCAAGAUCGAAUCAGGAGCAUAGAUAUAUUGAUGAAGACAUAAACAUUGCAGAUCUGAAAUUAUGGCCCUAGUGACAAGCAUUAAGCAUAGCAAAGUCAUAGCAACAUCUAUCUCCGAACAUAGUGGAGGACCAAGCCCUAACAAAACUAACUCGAUUACAUGAUGAAUCUCAUCCAGCUCUUCAUCGGAAUUGGCAAUGGAGGAGGGUUGGUGAUGACGAAGAACGAAGAUUCCCCUCUCCGGAGUCCCAAACGGACUCCAGAUUAGGCCUCCCAAUGAAGAACAGGAGGUGGCGGUGACUCCAUAUCAUCAAACACGAUGAAACUUCAUCUCUGAUUUUUUUUCUCUCCGAAAAUAGGAAUUUAUAGCGUUGGAAUUAGAGUCAGAGGAGACAUGUGGGCCCCACUAGACACCAGUCCACGCCAGUGGGGCCUGGCGUGCCCUGAUAUCUAGUGGACUGUCAUGGCUCCCCUCAUGUGGAUCCUGGUUCCAAUAUUUUUUAUAUAUUUCAUAAAAAAUCUCCAAAAAGUUUCGUUCCAUUCCGAAAACUUCUAUUUCUGUACAAAAACAACACCAUGGUAGUUCUGCUGAAAACAGCGUCAGCUCGGGUUAGUUUCAUUCAAAUCAUGCAAAUUAGAGUCCAAAACAAGAGCAAAUGCGAUAGGAAAAGUAGAUACGAUGGAGACGUAUAAACUUCCCCAAGCUUAACACAUCGCUUGUCCUCAAGCAAUUCAGUUGACAAACUGAAAGUGAUAAAGAAAAACUUUUAUGAACUCUUUUGUUCUUGUUUACAUAUACAUGCUUAGAGAGCACUCAAGUUUUCAGCAUAAAUCAUGACUAACCAUAUCGACAAUAACCCUUAGAAACUCGAUUAGCUCAUAUCAAUGUCAUAAUCAACUAGCAAGCAAUAAUAAGAUAUCUCAAACAUCAACACUUUGUCAAAAUGAUCAAGAUAUAGUAUGACAAUAAUGGUAUCUCGCUGGCCCUUUCUGAGUCCGCAAAACAUAAAUGCACAACACCUCUAAAGUUUAAGCAGCGACUAGACAUUGUAAUUGAUGGUAAAAGAGAUCCAGUCAUGCUGCAAACAAUGAUUAACUAGACACAAAGCAUAAGGAUGACACUAGUUCUCUUAGGUAUGGUCCUUAUUUGAGAAGGUGAUGACUCAAAGUAAAAAUAAAGUAACAAAAUAGAAAGUCCCUUCGCAGAGGGAACCAGGAAUUUGCAGAGGCGUCAAAGCUCAUGGUGAAAAUAAGAGAUAAAUUAUUUUGGGAGGUGCACCCUUUGUGUCAACGUUACAACCAAGAGUUAUCGAAAUCUUCCAUGCUAAGCAAAUUAGCGGCGGUUCCCAUGCGGUAAAAGUAAAGGUUUACUCCCUCUCCACCAAUCAAACAAACUCCAUGGCUAGCCGAAUCCACGGGCAUCGUCCAUACCAACAACAAUCCAGGGGGAGUUUUGUUUAAUUAUUUUUAAUUUAUGAAUCGGGAUUUGGAGUCCCUAUUACUAGCUCCUCUCGUGCAAGGACGAGUGAAUAAACAUUCAUCAUGAGAAUAACCCACUUAGCAUGGAAGAUAUAGACCACCGUCUGUCGCUCCAUGUGCGAUCAAGGCACACAAAACAUAAGUUCGUUUGAAAUAUUAGAGGUGGCACAUGCAAAUUUACUUGGAACGACACGGUAAUACCGCAUAUAGGUAGGUAUGGUGGACUCGUCUGGAAUAACUUUGUUUCAAGGAUUUUGAUGCAGAAGCAAUUUUCCCGCUUAGUACACGUGAAGGCUAGCAAAUAGGUUGGGAAGUGACUAACUAGAGAUCGAAGACGGUCAUGAACAUGCUUUGUGAAUGAUCAUCGUUGCGUACUAACUCCUGCUCGUCCUCGAGUAGGGAAGUGUAAAUGAAUGAAUUUUUCAUGUGGAAUGCUACCUAGCAUAGUUGUCCUUUGCAACUUCUUUCACGUGGCAUGAAUAUUCAGAUCUGUAAGAUUCAAAACAAUAGUUUGCUAUUGACACGAAAACAGAAAUACUUCUCUCAUUUCUAACAUGAAGGACAUGGUGCUAACAUGAAGCACAAGUGCGGAAAAAGAUAGUAGCAUUGUCCCUUCUCUCUUUUUCUCUCAUUUCUCUUUUUUUUAUUUGGGCUCUAGGCCUCUUUUUUUCUUUUUAUUUUUUAUUUCCUCACAUGGGACAAUGCUCUAAUAAUGAUGAUCAUCACACUUUUAUUUACUCACAGCUCAAAGACCGCAAUUAUAAUGACUCCAUAGGAAAUGCCUCCGGCAGUGUACCGUGAUGUGCAGCGAUCUAGUAUGAUCAUGCAAAGGCAAUAUGAGAGUGACGACACAAGUCAUGAGACGGAACGGUGGUAGUUGCAUGGCAAUAUAUCUCGGAAUGGCUAUGAAAAUGUCAUAGUAGGUAGGUAUGGUGGCUGUUUUGAGGAAGGAAUUUCGUGGGUUUGUGCACCGGCGAGAAUUGCGCGGCGCUAGAGAGGCUAGCAAUGGUGGAAGGUGAAAGUGCAUCUAUACCAUGGACUCACAUUAGUAAUAAAUAAAUCACAUACUUGUUGCAAAAGUUUUUAUUAGUAAUCGAAACAAAGUGCUAAACGCAUACUCCGAGGGGAAGGGUUGGUAGGUGUAAACCAUCGCGCGAUCCCGACCUCAACACAAAGGAUGACAAUCAAUAGAUCAAUUAUGCUCCGACUUCCUAACAUAGCGGUUCACCAUACGUGCAUGCUACGUGAAUCACUAAUUUCAACACAAGUAUUUCUAGAUUCACAACACCCUACUAACAUAGCUUUUAAUAUCACCGAAUCCAUGUCUCAAAACUAAUUUAGAGGAAUCGAAACUUUUCUUUCUACUCAAUGCACAUUAAAGAUGGAGGUUUUUGCAUCCUCUUUGGGUACCUAGCACAUUUGGGACUACUUUCAUAGCAUAAGCCAACUACCAAAUCAUGCAUCGCCGUGCUCUAAAGAUAUAAGUGAAGCACGAGAGCGAAAGUAUCUAGCUCAAAAGAUAUAAGUGAAGCACAAUAAGCAAAAGUAUCUAGCUCAAAAGAUAUAAGUGAAGCACAAUGAGCAUUCUAGCAAAAUCACGAUGAGUGCAUGUCUCUCUCUCUCAAAAAGGUGUGCAGCAAGGAUGAUUGUGACAUAACAAAAAGAAAAGACUCCUAUGGUACAAGACGCUCCAAGCAAAACACAUAUCAUGUGGUGAAUAAAAAUAUAGCUCCAAGUAAUGUUACCGAUGGAUUGAAGACGAAAGAGGGGAUGCCUUCCCGGGGCAUCCCCAAGCUUAGGCUUUUUGGUGUCCUUCAAUUUGGCUUGGGGGGGCUUGGGAAUCCCCAAGCUUGAUCUCUUUCCAAUCCUUAUCUCUUUGUCCAUGAGAACGUCACCCAAAACUUGAAAACUUCACAACGCAAAACUUAAACAGAAACUUGUGAUAACAUUAGUACAAGAAAACAAACUACCACUUCUUUUGGUACUGUAGCAAACUUGAAUUCCAUGUAUAUUGGUUUUGGGCUACUGUAUUCUCACUUUUCCAUGGCUAGUACCCCCCGAUACUAACCAUAGUUUCAUCAAAACAAGCAACCAACUCAACAAAAAUAGAAUCUAUCAAAAACAGACCAGUCUGUAGCAAUCUGUAUACUUCGUAUAAUUCUGGUACCUAAAAAAUCUGAAAAAUUACGAAGGUCUGUGGAAAAAGCGUAUCAAUAAGAAGCAAAAAGAAUCAACACAAAAGCUCUUUCUUAAUAAAAAUGAAAAAUCAUCUCGUGAGCGAAAUGUUUCUGUCUUUUUCCAACAGGAUCGAACAACCAUCACCAAGACUAGUCAUAAAGGUUUUGCUUGGCUCAAACACAAAAAACACANNNNNNNNNNNNNNNNNNNNNNNNNNNNNNNNNNNNNNNNNNNNNNNNNNNNNNNNNNNNNNNNNNNNNNNNNNNNNNNNNNNNNNNNNNNNNNNNNNNNNNNNNNNNNNNNNNNNNNNNNNNNNNNNNNNNNNNNNNNNNNNNNNNACAAAAAACACAAUCACAACAGAAUUAUGAUGGUGUGGACGCAACAAAACAGAAAGAAAAAGAUAAAUUCAUUGGGUUGCCUCCCAACAAGCGCUAUUGUUUAACGCCCUUAGCUAGGCAUUGAUAAAUCAAUGAUGCUCACACAAAAGACAAGAAUUGAAGCACAACGAGAGCAUCAUAAAGCAUGUGAAAAUCACAUAUAAGUCUAACAUACUUCCUAUGCAUAGGAAUUUUAUAGGAAAACAAAUUGGCAAGACAACCAAUAGUUACCAAAUAUAAGGAAGAAGAAAUAGAAAAUAGCAAUCUCAACAUAACAAGAGGUAAUUUGGUAACAAGAAAGUUUCUACCACAAUAUUUCCCUCUCUCGUAAUAAUUACAUGUGGGAUCAUAUUCUAAUUCAACAAGGUAACUAUCACAUAGGAUAUUCUUUUCAUGAUCCACAUGCAUGCAAAGUUGACGCUCUUUAAAAAUAGUGGGAUUAUCAUCAACUAAAGUCAUGACUUUUCCAAACCCACUUUUAAUAAUAUUGCAAAUAUCAUAUUCAUCAUGAGGCUUAAACAAAUUUUCAAGAUCAUAAGAAAAAUCAUCGCCCCAGUCAUGAUCAUUGCAACAAGUAGUGGACAUAGCAAAACUAGCAUCCCCAAGCUUAGGGUUUUGCAUAUUUUUAGCAUGAUUGUCACUAAUAGAAUUUAUAGUGAAACCAUUGCAAUCAUGCUUUUCAUCCAAGGAGCCCUCGUGAAUCACUUCAUAAAUUUCUUCCUCACAAUUUUCAUAUUCACGCAUCUCAAGCAAAACUCCAUAAACAUAGUCAAGUGCACUCAACUCACUAGCAAUUGGAUCAACAUAAUUGGAUCUCUUAAAGAGAUUAGCAAGUGGAUGAGGAUCCAUAUCACUAGAUUUUCAACAAGCGAAGAUGCAAGCAUAUUGAAGGCACAUGGCACACAAGCGAACAGAAAGCAAGCGAGAGAAAAGGGCGAAUGAAAAGGCGAACGAAAAAGGCAAAUGAAGUGGGGGAGAGGAAAACGAGAGGCAACUCACGAACAAAGUAAAUGCCAGAGAUGAGUUUACGACACUUACUUGGAUGAGUUCUUGACUUGAUCUUCCUCCCCGGCAACGGCACCAAAAAUCCUUCUUCUACUUCUCGAACAACAGCGCGAGAAAUUGACAUGUUGACGGAUAUUGGGCUUGCAAUUGUUUAUCCCUUGAAGAGGAAAGGGUGAUGCAGCACAGGAGCAGUAAGUAUUUCCCUCAGUUUGAGAACCAAGGUAUCGAUCCAGAAGGAGGGUCUCGUCAAGUCCAGAGUACCUACGCAAACACAAACAAGCUUGCACCCAACGCUUCAAAGGGGUGGUCAAUCCCUUCAAGAUUGUUUGCAAAGUGAGAUCUGAAGGCAGAAAGUGCAACGAAGUAAAAAGGUGUAAGGCUGAAAAUAUGGUGUGGAGUAGACCCUGGGGGCCAUAGUGUUCACUAGAGGCUUCUCUCAAAAUAGCAAGUAAUACGGUGGGUGAACAAAUUACUGUCGAGCAAUUGAUAGAACCGCGCAAAGUCAUGACGAUAUCUAAGGCAAUGAUCUAGCAUAUAGGCAUCAAGUCCGAGACAAGUAGACCGAUACUUUCUGCAUCUACUACUAUUACUCCACACAUCGACUGCUAUCCAGCAUGCAUCUAGUGUAUUGAGUUCAUGAAGAACGGAAUAACGCUUUAAGCAAGAUGACAUGAUGUAAAGGGAUAAUCUCAAACCAAUGAUGAAAACCCCAUCUUUUUACCCUUGAUGGCAACAACACGAUACGUGCCUCGCUACCCCUUCUGUCACUGGGUGAGAUCAUCGCACGAUAUGAACCCAACCAAGCACUUCUCCCAUUGCAAGAAUCAUAGAUCUAGUUGGCCAAACAAAACCCACCACUCGAACAGAAUUACAAGGAUAUGAAAUCAUGCAUAAGAGAGAUCAGAAGAAACUCAAAUAAGAUUCAUAGAUAAUCUGAUCAUAAAUCCAUAAUUCAUUGGAUCUCGACAAACACAACGCAAAAGACAAUUACAUCAUAUAGAUCUCCAUGAAGAUCAUGGAGAACUUUGUAUUGAAGAUCCAAGAGAGAGAAGAAGCCAUCUAGUUACUAGCUAUGGACCCGUAGGACUAUGGUGAACUACUCACGCAUCAUCGGAGAGGUCAUGGUGUUGAUGGAGAAGCCUUCCGUGUCCGAAUCCCCCCUCCCGCAGGGCACCAGGACGUGCCCCAGAUGGGAUCUUGCGGAGACAGAAGCUUGCGGCGGCGGAAAAGUGAUUAUGAUGCUCCCCUGGUUUUUUUGGGAAUAUUUGGGAAUUUAUAGGCGCAAGAUCUAGGUCAGGGGACCUCCAGGGGGCCACAAGCCUGCAUGGUGCCCCCCUGGCCGCAGUGUGGGGGCUUGUGGGGCUCCUGGGGCUCUUCUGGCUUGGCUCCCAAGUCCCCCGAUCUUCUUCCGUUCAAGAAAAAAUCUUUUCGCGGAUUUUCUUCCGUUUGGACUCCGUUUCAAAAUCUCCUCUAAAAGGGGUAAAAAUAUGGAAAAAAAACAGGAACUGGCACUUGGCACUGAAUUAAUAAGUUAGUCCCAAAAAAAAGGCAUGCAAAACAUCCAAAGUUUGACAAGAUAAUAGCAUGAAACCAUCAAAAAUUAUAGAUACGUUGGAGACGUAUCACGUACUAGCAUGAGUAGGAUAUAAACACCAUGAACAUAAAUAUUGUGGAGGCUCUGUUUGUUCUGAUGCAACUACAUGCAUGAACGUCGGCCAAGUCAAGCCAGUCGAAAAUAGGGGUAUAACUCAAAGAAUGGAAAAUAAAUUCAGAGAAACACACUAAAUUUUUGUUGGAGUUUUUACUUUUUUUCAAGAAGAAAACAAAUUAAAGUAGGCAACACUAAAAAAAGAAAACUAUUUACACGGGAAAGCUCUCAACAAGUAAAAGGAAAAAAUAGAAAUAUUUUUGGGUUUUCUUUCAAUACUACAACUAAAUUACUCUAGAAAGAAAAACCAAAAACAAGUGAGAAAUAUUUUUAGAUUUUCUGCAAGUUUUUGAAACACACAAGAAGAAGGGAAGAAAAUAAAUCUAACAAGGAUAGCACCAUGCAAGAGUGUGAACACCGACAACUAGAAUAUGCAAUCAUGAAGGUAAAGUCGGUGGAAACACGUACUCCCCCAAGCUUAGGAUUUUGGCCUAGUUGGUAAUCACCACCAGUAGUAGCCGUCCAGCCUCAUUUUGAAGUGUUUGGGUGGCGACACCAGAGAGUCCCACUCCUGAGGCUCCCACUCGGCCGCUGCGUGAGUGUUCUGGUAGGCAAUAAUGUCGUCAGGCAUGAUCCUCUAUCCAUUCCUAGCAAUAGAAUCAAAUAAAACAGGUGCACGCAAUGGGAUAAUAUCUCAAGUAACCUCACUAAAGACUAGGUUAUAUGGGAGCUUAGCUAAGGAAUCAUCACUGUCAAUAAAUCGGUGAUCUAUCAUAGAGUGGCGAUCUAGAUAAACUUGUGGUUAAAGAUAGUCAUCCUGACGGAAAGGGAUGUUAAAGCAUUUUGAUUAGCGAGUGGCAUAAAUACCACCGUGGAUUUUACCCUUAGAUCUGUUAUUGUGUAAACAUCAAGCAAUAAUAGCUCCCAAAUUAAACGUGUGAUCAUUAUGGAGUGCUCGACGCAAAAUGGCAAGAUCAGGUGGGCUAAGGAUACUACCCUUCUCCCUGGCAGUUAAACACUUCAUGAUAAAUAAAGCAAAGUAGUGCACUGAAGGAAACUGCAGCCUUGGGGUUAUGGCUUUCAACAGGCCCCUCGUCUCACCGACUGUUAAGGUGAGCGGCAAUCCUCAAAUUCACCUGGUUUGGGUUCUCUUAACUCCUCGUGAGAGGGAAUUAAACAUAUCUCAUAGAACUCAGUAAGCGGUAUUUGGCGCAUUUCAGCAUAGAGUUUAAACUACACUAAAGGUGGAUCAUGCUUAUUCAAGAAAUAGAAUGUUUGAACGAAGGGAUUAGUGAGGGUAUGGUAUUGGUCACACUCAUCUAUGAUGAAGUUGGUCAACCCGGUGUGGGGACCCUGACUUGUAAGUCAAGAUUGCCGAAUGCACGUGUACAGCGAUCCCAAAGAUCAAUGCUCACUGAACACACAGAAACUGAAUAACAAGAGUCUUACAUCCAUACAUACCACUUUGCUCGGAUAUGGCUAUUAUUGCCAAGUCUUCAUAUACACUAGAAUAGAAAUCUUCAAGGAUAGUGUGAAUCCAUGCCAUCUGCCUUAACCCUACAUGCAUUUUGAUUAGGAAGCGUCCUAGCUCGCAGGAAUGUCACCAAGGUAUUCUUCACCAUCUCAUGUUCUCUCUUACGUGGUCAAUGAAAUAACCAGUGGCAAGCCAAUGAGUACUUUGAAUGUACUCACAAACAACCCAGGUUUGGAACGAGGCAACAACUAUACGUGCUAUAGCACUAAGUAGGUAAUUUGUGAAAAUCUAAUUUGAGUGCAAUGUCAUGAUCAAUCAGCUUGUAAGAGCAUGCAUCAAGAGGUAAACGAUAUCCAUACGAUCAGGUUUCAUAUAUCAAUAUCAAGAAAGGGUCGAACAUCUUGAUACAUCUCAAACGUAUCUAUAAUUUUUGAUGGUUUCACGCUGUUAUCUUGUCAACUUUGGAUGUUUUGUUUACCUUUUAUAUCUUUUUUGGGACUAACUUAUUAACUCAAUGCCAAGCGUCAGUUCCUGUUUUUUCUGUGUUUUUGACUCUUUUCAGAUCUGAUUUUGGAAUGGAGUACAAACGGAAUAAUUCUUUCGCGAUGAUUUUUUAUGGAAAAUAUCAAAAAUACCGGAAGAAAAAGAUACCGGAGGGGGGCCNNNNNNNNNNNNNNNNNNNNNNNNNNNNNNNNNNNNNNNNNNNNNNNNNNNNNNNNNNNNNNNNNNNNNNNNNNNNNNNNNNNNNNNNNNNNNNNNNNNNNNNNNNNNNNNNNNNNNNNNNNNNNNNNNNNNNNNNNNNNNNNNNNNNNNNNNNNNNNNNNNNNNNNNNNNNNNNNNNNNNNNNNNNNNNNNNNNNNNNNNNNNNNNNNNNNNNNNNNNNNNNNNNNNNNNNNNNNNNNNNNNNNNNNNNNNNNNNNNNNNNNNNNNNNNNNNNNNNNNNNNNNNNNNNNNNNNNNNNNNNNNNNNNNNNNNUUCCGCCGCCGCAAGUUCCUGUUUCCGCGAGAUCUCAUCUGGAGACCCUUCCCGGUGCCCUGCCGGAGGGGACUUUGGAGUUGGAGGGCCUCUUCAUCAACAUCAUCGCCCCUCCAAUGACUCGUGAGUAGUUCACUUCAGACCUACGGGACCGUAGUUAGUAGCUAGAUGGCUUCUUCUCUCUCUUGGAUCUUCAAUACUAAGUUCUCCAUGAUCUUCAUGGAGAUCUAUCCAAUGUAAUCCUCUUUGGCGGUGUGUUUGUCGAGAUCCGAUGAAUUGCGGAUUUGUGAUCAGAUUAUCUAUGAUAUAUAUUUGAGUCUUUGCUGAUUUCUAAUAUGCAUGAUUUGAUAUCCUUCUAAGCCUCUCCGAGUCUUGGGUUUUGUUUGGCAAACUAGAUCUAUGAUUCUUGCAAUGGGAGAAGUGCUUGGUUUUGGGUUCUUACCGUGUGGUGACCUUUCCCAGUGACAGUAGGGGCAGCAAGGCACACAUCAUGUAGUUUCUGUCAAGGGUAACAAGGUGGGCUUUGUCGUAGAUAUGAGAUUGUCCAUCUACAUCAUGUCAUCUUGCUUAAGGCGUUACUCUGUUCUUUUGGACUUAAUACACUAGAUGCAUGCUGGCUAGCGGUCGACGUCUGGAGUAAUAGUAGUAGAUGCAGAAAGUAUCGGUCUACUUGUUUUGGACGUGAUGCCUAUAGAUAUAAUCAUUGCCAUAGAUAUCGUCACGACUUUGCGCGGUUCUAUCAAUUGCUCGACAGUAAUUCGUUCACCCACCGUCUACUUGCUUUCAUGAGAGAAGCCACUAGUAAACACUACGGCCCCCAUGUCUAUUCACACCCAUCGUUUACACCUCCACUUUUACAUUGUUUUGUUACUUUCUUGCUUUCAGUUCUCACUUGGCAAACAAUCUAUAAGGGAUUGACAACCCCUUCAUAGCGUUGGGAGCAAGCUCUUUGUGUUUAUGCAAGCACAUGUGAUACUCCUUCACUGGAUCGAUACCUUGGUUCUCAAAACUGAGAAAAAUACUUACCGCCGCUGUGCUACAUCACCCUUUCCGCUUCGAGGGAACACCAAUGCAAGGCUCCAAGGCCAUGAGGGAAUCCUUUUCAUAUUUGCCUAGGAAGUCCCUAAGGCGUAGCCGCUGCAGCAGGAUUCUUGGCGCCGUACCAAGGAAGGUCUGUUGUCGCAGUAGCAAGAAGAAUUUCUGGCACCGUUGCCGGGGAAGGAGAGAUCUAUCCAAGUAGGUCUCACAAACUCAUCUCUUGCAUUUACUUUUUUGCCAGUUGCCUCUCGUUUUCUUCUCCCCCACUUCGCAUUUGUCGUUUUCAUUUGCCUUUCUCCUUUGCUGUUUUCUUUUGCCUUUUGCCUUUUUUCCGUUUUCCUUUGCCGGUUUUCCUUUGCUUGUGUGCCAUGUGCCUUCAUUAUGCUUACAUCUUCGCUUGCUAAAAAUCUAGUGAUAUGGAUCCUCACCCACUUGCUAAUCUCUUUAAGAGAUCCAAUUAUGUUGAUCCAAUUGCUAGUAAGUUGAGGGCACUUGACUAUUUUUAUGGAGUUUUGCUUGAGAUGUGUGAAUCUGAAAAUUGUGAGGAAGAAAUUUAUGAAGUGUUUCACGAGGGAUCCUUGGAUGAAAAGCAUGAUUGCAAUGGUUUCACUAUAAAUUCUAUUAAUGACAAUCAUGCUGAAAAUAUGCAAAACCCUAAGCUUGGGGAUGCUAGUUUUGCUAUGUCCACUACUUGUUGCAAUAAUCAUGAUUGGGGUGAUGAUCUUUCUUAUGAUCUUGAAAAUUUGUUCAAACCUCAUGAUGAAUAUGAUAUUUGCAAUAUUAUUAAAAGUGGGUUUGGAAAAGUCAUGACUUUAGUUGAUGAUAAUCCCACUAUUUUUAAAGAGCGUCAACUUUGCAUGCAUGUGGAUCAUGAAAAGAAUAUCCUAUGGGAUAGCUAUAUUGUUGAAUUUGAAUAUGAUCCCACAUGUAAUUGCUAUGAGAGAGGAAAAUAUUGUGGUAGAAACCUUCAUGUUACCAAAUCACCUCUCGUGAUGUUGAGAUUGCUCUUGUCCUUUUCUUCUUCCUUGCAUAUGGCAGCUAUUGGUUGUCUUGACAAUCUGUUUUCCUAUAAAAUGCCUAUGCAUAGGAAGUAUGUUAGACUUAGAUGUGAUUUUCACAUGCUUUAUGAUGCUCUCGUUGUGCUUCAAUUCUUGUCUUUUGUGUGAGCAUCAUUGAAUUAUCAAUGCCUAGCUAAGGGCGUUAAACAAUAGCGCUUGUUGGGAGGCAACCCAACGAAUCUAUCCUUUUUCUUUCUGUUUUGUGUUUUCCACACUUUCAUAAUUCUGUUAUGAUUGUGUUUUUUGUGUUUCUUUUUGCGUUUGUGCCAAGCAAAACCGUUAUGAUUAGUCUUGGGGAUGAUCUUUGGUCAUGCUGGAAAAGACAGAAACUUUGUGCUCACGAAAAUAAUUUUCAUUUUUUUUCUGUAAGAGCUUUUGAGUUGAUUCGUUUUUCUGAUAAUUUCUACGCAAAUUCUUCAUACUGUCGUAAUUGUUCAGAAUUUUUGAAGUACUAUAAAUAUACAAAAUAUACAGAUUUCUACAGACUGGUCUGCUGUUAACAGAUUCUGUUUUUGUUGUGUUGGUUUCUUAUUUUGAUGAAACUAUGGAUAGUAUCGGGGGGUAUUAGCCAUGGAGCAUUGAAAAUAAAGUAACCCAACAUCAGCAUAAGUAGAAUUUAAGUUUGCUACAGUACCUAAGGAAGUGGUGGUUUGCUUUCUUAUACUAAUUUUAUCACGAGUUUCUGUUUAAGUUUCGUGUUGUGAAGUUUUCAAGUUUUGGGUGAAGUUCUUAUGGACAAAGAGAUAAGGAGUGGCAAGAUCUCAAGCUUGGGGAUGCCCAAAGCACCCCACGAGAUUCAAGGAUGCCGUAAAAGCCUAAGCUUGGGGAUGCCCUGGGAAGGCAUCCCCUCUCUCGUCUUCAAUCCAUCGGUAACGUUACUUGGGGCUAUAUUUUUCUUCACCACAUGUUAUGUGUUUUUGCUUGGAGCGUCUUGCAUCGUAGGAGUCUUUUAUUUUUGUUGUGUCACAAUCAUCCUUGCUGCACACCUAGAGAGAGAGACAUGCACUCACCGUGAUUUUGUCGAGCUUCACUUAUAUCCUUUGGUAGACAAUUCAGCUCACAUGUGCUUCACUUAUAUCUUUUGAGCUAGAUACUUUUGCUCUAUGUGCUUCACUUAUAUCUUUUAGAGCACAGCAGUGCAUGGCUUGGCAGUUGAUCUAUGCUUUGAAAGUAGUCUCAAAAGGGGUAGUUACCCAAAGGGAUACGAAAACGUCCACCUUCAUGUGCAUUGAAUAGUUAGAGAAGUUUGAUUCAUCUCAAUUAGUUUUGAGUUGAGGUUUUGGUAAUAUUGAAGUUAUAUUAGUAAGGUGUUGUGAAUCUAGAAAUACUUGUGUUAAAGUUAGUGAUUCCCGUAGCAUGCACGUAUGGUGAACCACUAUGUGAUGAAGUCUGAGCAUGAUUAGUCUAUUGAUUGUCAUCCUUUGUGUGGCGGUCGGGAUCGCGCGAUGGUUUAUACCUAACAACCCUUCCCCUAGGAGUAUGCAUUGAAUGCUUUGUUUCGAUUACUAAUAAAACUUUUGCAACAAGUAUAUGAGUUCUUCAUGACUAAUGUUGAGUCCAUGGUUUAGAUGCACUUUCACCUUCCACCAUCACUAUCUUCUUUAGUGUCGUGCAACUUUCGCCGGUGCACAAAACCCACCAUUAGCCUUCCUCAAAACAGCCACCAUACCUACCUACUAUGGCUUUUUCAAAGUCAUUCCAAGAUAUAUUUCCAUGCAAGUACCACCAUGACAUGUGCCACCACGUCUAUAUUGCCAUUGCAUGAUCGUAAGAUAGCUAGCAUGAUGUUUCCAUUAAUGUCUAUGCCUUGCUAGAUCAUUGUCACGGUACACUACCAAAGGCAUUCCAUAUAGAGUCAUCGUUGCUCUAAGUUUUGAGUUGAAAGUGUGAUGAUCAUCAUUGAUGGAGCAUUGUCCCAUGUGAGGAAAUAAAAGAGGCCAAAGAUGCCCACCAAAAUAAAUAAAUAAAAAGAGGCCAAAGAGCCCACCAAAAAAAUGAGAGAAAAAGAGAGAAGGGACAAUGCUACCACCGUUCCACACUUGUGCAUAUUAAGCACCAUGAUCUUCAUGAUUGAGAGUCUCUCGUUUUGUCACCACCAUAUAGCUAGUGGCAAAUUUUCAUUAUAUAUAACUUGGCUUGUAUAUUCCAAUGAUAGGCUUCCUCAAAAUUGCCUUAGGUCUUCGUGAGCAAGCAAGUUGGAUGCAGAGCUUUCACAUACUCCUAGCUCUAAUGCAUCAUUUGUAUGGCAAUCCCUACUCAUUCACGUUGAUAUCUAUUGAUGAGCAUCUCCAUAGCUCAUUGAUAUGCCUAGUCAAUGUGACCACCUUCUCCUUGUUUGGCUUGAGACCUCCACCACACUCCACACCACUUAUAGUGCUAAAACCAUGGCUCACACUCAUGUAUUGCGUGAGAGUUGAAAAGGUUUGAGAAAGUAAAGGUGUGAAAACAAUUACUUGGCCAAUACCGGGGUUGUGCAUGAUUUAAAUUCGUUGUGCAAUGAUGAUAGAGCAUAGCCAGACUAUAUGAUUUUAUAGGGUUAAUUUUCUUUCGGCCUUGUUAUUUUGAAAGUUCAUGAUUACUUUUCUAGUUUGCUUGAAGUAUUAUUGUUUCCACGUCAAUAGAAAACUAUUGUUUUGAAUCUAAUGGAUCUGAACAUUCACGUCACAUAAGAGGAGUUACAAAGGACAUCUAUGCUAGGUAGCAUGAAAGCAUCAAAAAUUCAUUUUUUAUCACUUCCCUACUCGAGGACGAGCAGGAGUUAAGCUUGGUGAUGCUUGAUAUGUCUCAAACGUAUCUAUAUUUUUUUAUGGUUUCACGUUGUUAUCUUGUCAACUUUGGAUGUUUUGUUUACCUUUUAUAUCUUUUUUGGGACUAACUUAUUAACUCAGUGCCAAGCGCCAGUUCCUGUUUUUUCUGUGUUUUUGACUCUUUUCAUAUCUGAUUUUGGAAUGGAGUCCAAACGGAAUAAUUCUUUCGCGAUGAUUUUUUAUGGAAAAUAUCAAAAAUACCGGAAGAAAAAGAUACCGGAGGGGGGCCAAGAGGGCGCCACAAGCCCUGUCGCCGCCCCCCUAGGUCGCGCCAAUCAAGCUUGUGGGACCCUCGGGGGCCCACUUGAUGCAACUCCACCGCCAUAUGGUCCUAUAAAUUCAUAAACCUCUAGAAAGAAACCUAGAGCGGGAGUUCCGCCGCCGCAAGUUCCUGUUUCCGCGAGAUCUCAUCUGGAGACCCUUCCCGGUGCCCUGUCGGAGGGGACUUUGGAGUUGGAGGGCCUCUUCAUCAACAUCACCGCCCCUCCAAUGACUCGUGAGUAGUUUACUUCAGACCUACGGGUCCGUAUUUAGUAGCUAGAUGGCUUCUUCUCUCUCUUGGAUCUUCAAUACGAAGUUCUCCAUGAUCUUCAUGGAGAUCUAUCCGUUGUAAUCCUCUUUGGUGGUGUGUUUGUCGAGAUCCGAUGAAUUGUGGAUUUGUGAUCAGAUUAUCUAUGAUAUAUAUUUGAGUCUUUGCUGAUUUCUAAUAUGCAUGAUUUGAUAUCCUUGUAAGUCUCUUCGAGUCUUGGGUUUUGUUUGGCCGACUAGAUCUAUGAUUCUUGCAAUGGAGAAGUGCUUGGUUUUGGGUUCUUACCGUGUGGUGACCUUUCCCAGUGAUAGUAGGGGCAGCAAGGCACACAUCAUGUAGUUGCCAUCAAGGGUAACAAGGUGGACUUUGUCGUAGAUAUGAGAUUGUCCAUCUACAUCAUGUCAUCUUGCUUAAGGCGUUACUCUGUUCUUUUGGACUUAAUACACUAGAUGCAUGCUGGAUAGCGGUCGACGUGUGGAGUAAUAGUAGUAGAUGCAGAAAGUAUCGGUCUACUUGUUUUGGACGUGAGGCCUAUAGAUAUAAUCAGUGCCAUAGUUAUUGUCACGACUUUGCGCGGUUCUAUCAAUUGCUCGACAGUAAUUCGUUCACCCACCGUCUACUUGCUUUCAUGAGAGAAGCCACUAGUAAACACUACGGCCCCCGGGUCUAUUCACACCCAUCGUUUACACCUCCGCUUUUACUUUGCUUUGUUACUUUGUUGCUUUCAGUUCUCACUUGGCAAACAAUCUAUAAGGGAUUGACAACCCCUUCAUAUCGUUGGGAGCAAGCUCUUUGUGUUUGUGCGAGCACUUGUGAUACUCCUUCACUGGAUCGAUACCUUGGUUCUCAAAACUGAGGGAAAUACUUACCACCGCUGUGCUACAUCACCCUUUCUGCUUCGAGGGAACACCAACGCAAGGCUCCAAGGCCACGGGGGAAUCCUUUGCAUAUUUGCCUAGAAAGUCCCUAAGGUGUAGCCACUGCAGCAGGAUUCCUGGCGCCGUACCAGGGAAGGUCUAUUGUCGCAGUAGCACAUCCCAUGUUCACCCAUCAUGCCAACUCAUCUGAGUUAGAUCAUCAUUCAUACUGCCACCAUACCCCCCCCCACACACACACACUUGGUUUAUACGAAAACUCCUAGACGUAGUUUAAGCAGCACCAUCCAAAUUCCCUCGACUACGGACAUGGAUAUUCGAAUAGUUUUACACUCUGCGGAGUUUGCACAAUUUACCCACAAGAUUUGGGAAACUACCUUGUCAGCACAUGACUCACGGUAUUUAUCAUACCCGAGGUAAGUACCCGAAUAUCACAUUUCCCAUGAUGAUACUAUCAAGGAGUCCACUCGUUGGUGACGGUCCAUCGUGAUGUACAUCACACGUACCAUCCACGACGACACGCAACAGUGUGCCCGAUGUCUCUAAAAAUAGCCCACGAUCAUCCUUUAUCCUGGCACGGCCCCGUCCCGAGAGUGACCACGUCAUUCCCGCCACUAGUAAUGCAAGCUCUCUACUAGCCCCGACCAUAGUAAUCAGCACAGCUCCAUCUCAUAAGGGGUGUUGUGGUAGUACAUGUAAGGUUGGGAUGGUCGACAAAUCUUAAAUCUAAUCCAGUUUUUAGAAAACCCACUCACACAACUCGCAUCGUUAUACCACUCUCUCAUCAAGUGCUUACCUAGCUCAACACAUCACCCUCCAGCAUUAGUGGCACCGGAUGGGGUUCUCAUAAAACAAUUGAAAUCACCUCCUUUUACCGUCUCCAUGCAUGCACCCAAUUCCAUGCAUAGCACUACCAACAACCUAACUACUUCCCACCCGCACAACCCUCAUAGGAAGCUAGGGUCAUGCCCAGGUGCAAGUAGCAACAAGGAGUUUCCAAAGACAACCCAUUAACAUGGUCACCUACUCAAUAUGAUUCAAUGCAUCAGAAUGAAGUGCAAAUUGACAUGCACAAAAGUAGUUUCUUAGACAUGGUCAAAGGGAUGCUUGCCCGACUUAGCAAAUUCUUCGAGAUCUUCAUGAGCUUCUCGUCCACUCCGAGCAGCUUGCCUACUUGGUCAACUAUCGUCGGAAACAACCACGAUAAGCCACACCACAAGCAGAAACACAAAGUGCUCAAUAAAUAGGAGUCUUAUUUUUCUUGGACAUCUCUGGUCAUGAGAGAAAUCCCUAAGCUUGUUCUAAGAGAUUUGGAUCACCGGAGAAUUUUGAAUGGUGGAAAAGUAGGAAUUGGUGAUCCUAUAAGAAGUCUACAGAAAACAUUUUUAUAAACAGGAGCGGAUGUGCCCACCAAACAGGGCACGAUUUUCAAAACAUUUAGGAAGUGCUUUCAUUGGAUUUGGAGUUGGUAUGAAUUACCUAUGGAUUUACUAAGAUGGAUUAAGUGGAAACACGUGCUAAUAAUCUGUCCUAUCAAAAAUAAUCUGUCCUAUCACUCCGGAGCCCGGGCUCACAUGAGCCCGGUGACAAGUAACAUGGUUAAAAAUGGAAAAACAGUUCAAAAAAUUCAAAAACAAAUUGUGGUGUAUAUGUUCUAGUGCGUGAACUCCGUGCAAAAUUUUGGAAAGUUUGGACAUUCUAAGAGCUCCCGGCAAAAAAGACAAAUCACACAUGAAUAGUGUAAUUUUCAAUAGUUUUUCAAACAUCCAAAAUUUGUCUUUUUUACCACAAGAUCCUUGAAUGUCCAAACAUCACAAAAUUUUGCACGGAGUUUGUGCACAGGAGCAUAUUGCACUACAAAAAAAUUGAUUUUUUUGAACCAUUUUUAAGUUAAAAUCAUGGGUAUUGUUCACGCCCGGCCUCAUCUGAGCCCGGGCACCAAAAUUCCACUUUGAAAAAUGUUCACCUUGGCUACAAAAAUAGAGAAUGAUUUUAGAGUCAUCUAGAAAUUGGAAUCACUCCAUUUAGAGUUGAUUUGGAUGUUGUAUGAAUUUUAUAAAGUGGGGUUGUAAUAAAUCAAAUUUUAAUUUGAAUUUGAUCUCUAUAGAAAAUGGUUCUAGAAAAAUUUGCAAUCCGCAUAUAUCGAUAGGCCUUGAUUUUAGAAACUCCUAGAAAUUUGGAUCAGUUAAUUUGGAGAUCAUAUGAUUUAAAUAUGAAUUAUAUGAGCUUUCAAAAAAAGUAGGGUAUACCAGAGGGCUAUAACGCACCCACGGCGCCUGGUAGGCAACUUGGCCUGCCCACCAGCUCGAGCCAUGUGCGAACGAGGCCACGCUGAAGGUGCCUUCCUAGAAGACGCUUUCUUCGUAGGGAGGCACGGUCUAGGCGGAGGCGCGACCACUUAAAAAGGGGCCCCAGAUCUUAGCGAUUUACUCACGGGCCCCGCUAUCAGAUCCACCCCUACCUCCUGCCAGAGCCGGGGAGAGGCGGGGGGGCUUGACCGAGCACGCGCCGACGCCCGCCCCGCGGAUCCAGCUGCCUCCGGCGGCCCUACGGACACUGUUGCGCCUGGGGGCGGCCUGACGCACCCGCUAGGGUGUCUCCUGGCCCCGGGGAUGGUAUGGGACGACCAUGGCUCCGUCCAUGGGGGAGAAAAGUGACGGCGGAGCUGGGCGUUGAGGAGCGGCCAUCGGGAGGAGGAAAAUGGGCCACGGGGAGGAGGGAGGAGGCAUUGGAGGGUCCACGCGAGUCUUCUAGGAGAGAAGGGGCUAGGGGAAGCUCGAAUGUGAGCGAGGCCGUGGCGGCGCUAGGGAGGCCUUGGGAUAAGGAGGAGAGGGUGGGAGCCCAGCGGCUUCACACACGAGCUCCAUGGGAAAGAGAUGGGUGUAUCGGGCGGUCGAGGGGGCUCGGGAGAAGGAUAAAGCAAGAGGGGGCGAUGGGUGAGCUCAAGAGCGCCUCGGGAGCUCUCGGCACGGCGGGACACGCGGCCUGAGGAGCUUUGGAGGCAAGAUGGUGUUGGGGAGCAGCGUGGGAGGUUGAAAGGAGAUGCUAGGCGCGUGAGGACAACUUUCGACAUAUUGCCACGGGCUACAUGAUGAGUACAAGUGGCAGAGCGCCAAUUCUGCAUGCCAGCAGGGUGGACACCACGACCACUCAUGUCUACAUUAACAUUUUGGUCAGUCAAAGAUGGCUGGCAUGCAAGGCAUCCGUGCAGGGGAGUGAUGAUGGAGUUUGGUCUCAUCUAGGAUGGUGUAGGUGGGGUUUAAUCUCUGUUUAAGUUUGUAGAAUCAAACUUGGGGCUAGCAUAAAGUGUUUUUACUGGGAGGCAUUUUAAAAGAAACCUUGUAUAGUAGUCAUAGGCAUGGAGAAACUACAAGACUACCAAAUUUCAGCUUAGGGAGAGGGGUAUAGCUCACACUUGUAGUUCAAAGCUUCGUUUGUGCCAAAAAUCAAGUUUUAGAAGGGCUACUCAUAUUUUCCACAUGAGCAUCUAAUAUGUUUGUUUGAAAUGGUGCAUUAGCACAUUAUAGGUGAUGUGAAAACAAUUGGGAGCAUUUGCAUGAACAGAAUUAAUGAAACACGGGUAAACGAGGUGUUGCCUUGGUGAAAAGGAGAGGAAAAGAGAGGGAGUUACCCUCCAAUAAUUGAUUAGGGGCCUUGGCGAAGUUACUAAAGGUGGUAGAGGGCUAGAAAAUGUUGUGGUAAAAAUUUGAGCUCAAGGAGAAUAUUAGAAGCACUACUGGAAUUUAGAAUUUUGUCGUCUGCCAUGGCGGACGGCAAAAGGGGGGAACAACGGACGGCAAAGGCUUUGCCGUCCGUCAGCAGAUGGCAAAAAAAAUCUGGUGAAGAGGUUAUUUGCCGUCCGCUUUUGCAAAGCAGACGGCAAAGAAUCUUUGCCAUGAGGGGGCAGACGGCAAAUUAAAUGGGACGGCAGAUCCACCAACGGUCCCGUUAAGUGUUAACGGCAAGCCUCCCCUCUUUGCCAUCAGCCCUCCCCCCUUUGACAUGAGGGGGCUGACGGCAAAGGGGGGAACCAGCCCCUCUCUCUCCCCUUUUUGUCGUCUUCCCUCCCCCUUUUGCCAUGAGAGGGCUGACGGCAAAGGGGAGAACCGGCCCCUCUCUCUCCCCUCUUUGCCGUAUGCCCUCCCCCCUUUGCCAUGAGGUGGCUGACGGCAAAGGGGGGAACCAGCCCCUCUCUCACCCCUCUUUGCCGUCUUCCCUCCCCCUUUGCCAUGAGGGGGCAGACGGCAAAGGGGGGAACCAGCCCCUCUCUCUCCCCUCUUUGCCGUCUGCUCUCCACCCUUUGCCAUGAGGGGGCAGACGGCAAAGGCUGAAAACAACCCCUUUUUAUUUUAUUUCUUAUUAUAUCUAGCAAGUUUCACAAUAAUCAGGAUAUAUAUAUAUAUAUAUAUAUUUCACAAAAAUAAAUUUGUUUCCGUACUCAUAAGCAUAUUAAAAUAACUUUCAUCCAUAGUACAUACAUAUUAUGCAAGUUGCAUCCGUACCAAACCAUAUAUUACACCAGUUUCAUCCACAUGCAUACAAAGUUUCAUAUAUAUCCAUAUACUACAAUAGUUUCAAUACAAGCUUCCGUGAAGCCAUGGUACAAGAAAUCAUAUUCAAGCAUUCCAUCAAUAUAAUCCAAGCUCCCGUGAAGUGAAUGUAAUCUGCAAAGUGACAAAUAAGAAAGUUAGAAGAAGAAUACUAGAUGAAGAAGUAUAUAUAGGUUAUUUCAGAGAGAACUUAACUAAGUAUAGGCCAUUUAAUAGCUAAGUUAGGUGGAAUAGUUCAUCUUGUAGCUACAUAGCCUUAUUAUGUCAUUUAGGAAAGAACUUAGCUAAGUAUAGGUCAUUCUAGAGCUAACUUGGAUAUAAUAUGUCAUUUUGUAACCAACUAUGAUUAUUAAUCCAUUUUGACCUUAUUAUGUCAUUUUGGAGCUAAAUUAGUCAUUUUAAUGAGCUAACCAACGUUCUUAUGAUGUUUUUACCUAACUAUGUUAAUUAUGUCAUUUUGCAGGAUAAUUAGCUAAUUAUGUCAUUUUGUAGGAUAAUUAGAUAAUUUAGUCUUUGUUGGAUGAGUCUAACUUAAGUAGAAGAAGAGAAAGAGAAGAAGCAAGAACGGAAGAAGAAGUAAAAGAAGAAGAAGAAGGAGGAGGAGGAGGAGAAGGAGAAGGAAGAGGAGAAGAAGAAGAAAAGAAGAAGGACAAGAAGAAGGAGAAGAAGGAGGAGAAGAAGGAGAAGGAGCAUCUCUCCUUCUUCUCCUUCUUCCUCCUUCUCCUUCUCCUUCUUCUUCUCUUCUUCUUCUUCUCUUCUUAUUCUUCUUCCUUCUUUUCAUUUUUCCUCUUUCUUCUCCUCUUGUCCCCUUCAUCGGGCUAAAUUAGCUAAGAAUGCCUUUUUGGAGCUAAUUAUGUCAUUUCGAGGAAAUUAUCUAAGUAUAGGUCAUGUUUUAUUAAAUAGACCAUUUUGGAGCUAAGUAAGCUAAUUAUGUCAUUUAGGUGGAAGCCUAGCUAACUAUAGGUCAUUUCGGAGCUAACUUGGGUAAAAUAGGUCAUUUCGGAGCAAACUAUGCUUAUUAAGCCAUUUUGGAUCUAGCUAAGCUAAUUAUAGGCCAUUUAAUACCUAAGUUAGGGGGAAUAGGUCAUCUUGGAGCUAUGUAAGCCUUAUUAUGUUAUUUAGGAGAGAACUUAGCUAAUUAUAGGUCAUUUUUUAUUAAAUAGGUCAUUUUGGAGCUAACUAAGCUAAUUAUGUCAUUUAGCUGGAAGCCUAGCUAACUAUAGGUCGUUUUGGAGCUCACUUGGGUUAAAUAUGUCAUUUAGGAGCUAACUAUGCUUAUUAAGCCAUAUUGAAGCUAAAUUGGCUAAUUAUAUCAUUUAGGUGGAAGACAAGCUAAGUAUAUAAUAUUCAUGAGCUAACCAAGGUUCUUAUGCCAUUUUGAGCUUAUUAUUUCAUUUUUAGCUAAAUUGGUAAUUUUAAUGAGCUAACCAAGGUUCUUAUGAUGUUUUCAACUUACUAAGCUAAUUAUGUCAUUUUGUAGGAUAAUUAGCCAAUUUAGUCUUUGUUGGAUGAGUCUAAGCUACGUAGAAGAAGAGAAAGAGAAGAAGCAAGAAGAGAAGAAGAAGUAAAAGAAGAAGGAGGAGGAGGAGGAGGAGGAGAAGGAGAAGGAAGAGGAGAAGCAGAAGAAAACAAGAAGGACAAGAAGAAGGAGAAGAAUGAGAAGGAGCUUCUCUCCUCCUUCUCCUUCUUCUCCUUCUUCUUCCUCCUUCUCCUUCUCCUUCUUCUUCUCUUCUUUUUCGUCUCUUCUUCUUCUCUUCGUCUUCCUGCUUUUUAUUUUUCCUCUUUCUUCUCCUCUUGUCCCCUUCUUCGGGCUAAAUUAGCUAACAAUGCCUUUUUCGAGCUAAUUAUGUCAUUUCGAGGAUAAUUAGCUAAGUAUAGGUCAUGUUUUAUUAAAUAGACCAUUUUGGAGCUAACUAAGCUAAUUAUGUCAUUUAGGUGGAAGCCUAGCUAACUAUAGGUCAUUUCGGAGCUAACUUGGGUAAAAUGUGUCAUUCCGGAGCAAACUAUGCUUAUUAAGCCAUUUUGGAUCUAGCUAAGCUAAUUAUAGGCCAUUUAAUACCUAAGUUAUGGGGAAUAGGUCAUCUUGGAGCUAAGUUAGCCUUAUUAUGUCAUUUAGGAGAGAACUUAGCUAAGUAUAGGUCAUUUUUUAUUAAAUAGGUCAUUUUGGAGCUAACUAAGCUAAUUAUGUCAUUUAGGUGGAAGCCUAGCUAACUAUAUGUCGUUUCGGAGCUAACUUGGGUUAAAUAUGUCAUUUUGGAGGAUAAUUAGCUAAGAAUGCCUUUUCGGAGCUAAUUAUGUCAUUCCGAGGCUAAUUAGCUAAGUAUAGGUCAUGUUUUAUUAAAUAGACCAUUUUGGAGCUAACUAAGCUAAUUAUGUAAUUUAGGUGGAAGCCUAGUUAACUAUAGGUCAUUUCGGAACUAACUUGGGUAAAAUAGGUCAUUCCGGAGCAAACUAUGCUUAUUAAGCCAUUUUUGAUCGAGCUAAGCUAAUUAUAAGCCAUUUAAUACCUAAGUUAGGGGGAAUAGGUCAUCUUGGAGCUACCUAAGCCUUAUUAUGUCAUUUAGGAGAGAACUUAACUAAGUAUAUGUCAUUUUUAUUAAAACACUAGAAAUAACAUACCAUUAUCGUCAUCACGGCGGUGAAGCACGGUGGCUCUAGCUUGUUUCACCUGGAGAAGGAUGCCCUGGAGAAGGCUCCACUGUAGAAGGGUCGUGCGAUGCGUUUCGGGAGAUAUUCUGCACCAAACAUCGUUUGCAAUGUGUUGUUAGCAUGAGGACACUCUUAAGAUCAUUGCACUGAAAUGGAACUCACCGUCCCUGCCAUGUUAAUGACUGGCAUCGCCAGAGGGACUUGGCCGGUCUUCUCGCACAUAGACUGUACAUUUGGUUUCGACAAGUCAAACUUUUUAGUUAUUAAUGAAACGGACAUUAAAAUGCAAGAUUUGAAAUAAUAUGAAGAAGAAAUUUACCACGAAGAGCUCGUAUAUGGCCCUGUUAGACGCAUCAUUCCGUGCCCUCUCCGCCUCCACCAAUGCAGUCGUCCUCUCCUCCAGCUCCCUCAUCUCCUUAUCCUUCUCCGCCAUAACCACCUGCAUUGCCUCUCUCUCUCUCUUUCAGAAUAGCAGCCUCCAAUAUAACUCAUUGUUAGCAUUGUAAUCAUAUUGGUUCCAACGCACAACAUAAUGCGGAAAGAUAGUUGAGUCCAUUAAACUAACCUCGAUGGCGAGCUAGACUGGCCAUGGACGAGGUGUUAUCUCCGGACAGGAGCUCGUUUAGCGUGCCUUUAUCUGCGGGAGAGUGCUAGGACAACGUAUAAGGUCAUCUCCAAUGGCGAUCGAGCCAUGGGGCCUCCCAUUGCCAGCUAUCAUCACCAGCUCUGGAUCAAUAGGCCCCUCGCUCGGGUUAAACUCCUCCCCUUUCUCGCCUUCUUGUGAUCUCUGUACUUCACGAGCUUGUGGUGGGAGGAGAUGUUGGUGAAGUUUUGUGGAUGCUCGAGGUCAGACUCAGAGAAUGCCUUGACCUUCUUAUACGAGGCAGUAUGGGCCAUCGCAUACAGGUCGUACAUCUGUGGCACCUCCGUCUUAUUGUGACGCGCCUAAAAGAGAGAGAGAGGAAAAUUGUAUUAGUAAAGGGCUCAAGAUAGCAUUAAGAAUGAAUUGCAUGAGGCAUGAAGCAAACCACAUACCCAGUUCUCGCCAAAUUGGAUUAAGUUGACACUCCCUUGAUGGUGUGGCACACCAACCAUUUUGCCAUGCCUCUCCUUGGCGUUGUUGUGGCUGGCCUCCCACGUUUCGGAGCACCAGUGAUCCACCAAGGCCUCCCAACAAUCCAUCUUAUCCACACACCAUCUCGGGGGCACCUAAGUUAAUAAAGAGAAAUUUGAGCGCGUAAGAACCAAAUCAAGGAAACUAACUACAAAGCCUUAAUAAUAUGUAAUUACCUUCAUGUAAUGCUCCUUCUCCAUCUUAGAAUCACGGCACUUCGCCUUAUCCUUCCUAAUACGCCGCGUGGCAUAGUAGUCUCGAACAGCCUGCACCCGAGCCUCGUGCCGAAAGUUUUGAAGUAGGCGGCGACAUUCGGUUUCGAUAACCUUUGCCGCGUCCUCCUCGUAUCCCUCCUCACACGUGUAGUAGGUAUGCAAACGAGACAACACCGGUUAGUACAAUAACUAGUUAUGGUUUAUUUAUAAUUUUGUGAAGGACAAAUUACCCAGAACUGUCGGAUCACCAUGUCGGCCCUCGUGUGGCACAAAACACCGUUGAUCUCCACCUCCGGCGGGGCCGGGGCACCCAAGUAGUGCUCCCAGGUCAUUCCUACCUCUCGCUCCCGACCGGGCAACGUAACAAACCCUGGGAAGUUUUGACGGCAAAGCACACCAAGGACGCUGUUGGGCUUGCGGACACCCUUGGCAACAAUCCAACCCCUACGGUAUGACAAAUUAAAGCCAAAACAUUAGACAUUUGAGAAAACGUGAAGGGAAAAGGUUAAAUAAGAGUAAAUUAACUUAGUUGUCCCCAUUUCGCUUAAUCGACCACCUCUGCUUGCGGGUCGCCGGCACGAGCGGGAGCCCCGAACUACCAAGCUGGUAGACGGUAGCCCCCUCACCCAGCUCCUCGUCGCUACCAGCAUGGCCACUUGGCUCAGCCCAGGUAUCCCACUGGGUCACUGGGGAUGUACCAUCAUCCCUGCUUUGCUCCGGAGUCGCGUGGAACGAAGCCUCUGGGACACGAGUCGACCCGAGGCUCGUGAGCCGGAGACAAUGUAGCCUCCACCUCAGACGAAUCCACCCUAGAAAUCCUGUGCUCAGAUGAAUCAGCUUGGGUUGGUGGCGGAGACCGUGUAGCCUCCACCUCAGAAGGCGUGGCAGCCACCGCCUUACCUCUCCCGCUGCCACGUGUACCUUUAGUACAACACAAAUACCAACAUGAGUAAUAAAAUGUAUAUAAAUACCAAUAUGCAUACAACAUGAGUACAACAUAAAUACCAACAUGAAUACAACGUGUACCUUUAGUACCUCUCGGCUGCGCGGGGGGUCGACCUCCUCUCAAGGGGGGCGCUCCUUGCUGAGUAGAGAGCAACGCUCUCCGAAGAGGCGAGGCAGGAAUGGAAGUACCCAUCCCAUCACCUGCCGGCAAAGAAGGAGCCACAGAGUUCUUUCGACCCUUUCCCACCAUCUUUCGACACCUGUCAUGACAAAGAGUAAAUGAAAUUAGUACAACAUAAAUACCAACAUGAGUAAUAAAAUGUAUAUAAUUUAAGUGUAUCAUCGUCAUAAAUACCAACAUGNNNNNNNNNNNNNNNNNNNNNNNNNNNNNNNNNNNNNNNNNNNNNNNNNNNNNNNNNNNNNNNNNNNNNNNNNNNNNNNNNNNNNNNNNNNNNNNNNNNNNNNNNNNNNNNNNNNNNNNNNNNNNNNNNNNNNNNNNNNAUAAAUACCAACAUGACUAAUAAAAAUUGGAUACCUAACAUGAACUCAAAAUUUAUAUAUAGUAAUACUUGAAUACCUGACAUGAACUAAUAACAAUCGUGCUCGUCUAUAUAUGCUUCGGAGUCAAUAAAUGCAUCAUGAUCAUCACNNCAAUAAAUGCAUGAAAUCAUCAUCACUAUCAGGAAGAACAUGAGGAAGGCCACCAUUAUGUAAUCGGUCAAGAAGUGACAGGUCAUCCGCAGCAGUAACCUCUUCUUCUUCUAGCUCUUCCUGUUCGGGCUCAAGGGUUAAGACGGAUUCACUGUCGCUGUCUACUUCAAUGUUUUGGGGUGAAGUAGAGCGGNNNNNNNNNNNNNNNNNNNNNNNNNNNNNNNNNNNNNNNNNNNNNNNNNNNNNNNNNNNNNNNNNNNNNNNNNNNNNNNNNNNNNNNNNNNNNNNNNNNNNNNNNNNNNNNNNNNNNNNNNNNNNNNNNNNNNNNNNNNNNNNNNNUGGCGGUUCUUGAAACGUUUCUUGGACAUACGUGUUUCUUGGAAGAAUUCUCCUUCAUAUGUGUCUCAGUUAAUGUGAGGUUCGUAAUCCUCUUCAUUGAGGUUAGGUGGUCUAAAAUGUGGUGGCACUUCAUAAACGACAUCCCAACCUUUGAGAUUUGGAUCAGUUUGGCAGGCCCACGGUAGAUUAAAAAACUUGUGUCGCCUGUUGAGCCGUAAUAUAGACAUCGGGAACAUCUAAGUCGGUGUAUUGGUUGAUUUCGACUAGUACUAUAUGUUCAUGAGUCCUUCUAGUCUCCCUCAGCUCAAACCAAUAACAUUUGAAGACUACGACGGUCGGUGGGUUUUCACCAUAGAAUAGAACUUCAUAAAUUGCUUCAACUCUUCCAUAACACUCGAUGCCUCCUUCGUCGAUAACAGAGACAGAACAAUUUGUAGUCUUUAGGUCGGGCAUAGAUAGCUCUUUGCCAAAGGUACGAAAGUGAUACCCGUUGAUGUGGUAUUUGUCAAAUGAACGGACCAUAUAGUCAAAACCAUUAGCGACUUGUCUCAACUCGGCGUCCAUAGACUCUGCAUCAGCCUACAAGUUUAAAACGAAAGAAUGGAUGUAUUAGCCGCAAAUUAGACCAAGAAAUCAAAUGGUCCCUUAAUGGUAAUUAACUACCCUUUGUUUGAACCAAGAGAUGAAACCGGGAUAGUCGCAUCCAUGCUUUGCGAGAAGCUCAUACUCUUUGACGGAAUCCUUUUCGACAACCGCUCCAUCCGAGAAUUCGGCGACGUAUCAACUAUAUCAAAUAUCCGGGAAUAAGAGUAGUUCAAAGCAAUUAGAAGUUGCGGAACAAUAAUUUACCGAGAACUUACUCGAUGUACGGCCGCACUUCUGUUAGGUUAGUGAAGAUAUACAAUGAAAUGGUCCGCCAUUCUUCGACAUCCAACGAUUUCCCUUUCGAAGCACUGGAUGGUGCGAGCUUACCUUUGAUUAGGCUGAGGUUGGAUCGAACUUUUUUUGGAUCGCCAUCAUUGUACCGAGGCUUCAGGUUAUGCAAAUGAUGAUUUUUGGCUUCGUAGUGUGCUUCCAUGAAGUUUGCCGCCUCCUUAGUAAUGAAUGCCUCAGCCAUCGAUGCUUCAAUUCUAUGUUUAUUUGUACACUUAGCUUGAAGCGUCUUCUGCAUCCUCUCAGUUGAGUAGCACCAUCGAUUUUGAACGGGCCCCCCAUUCUUGCCUCGAUCGAGAGAUGCAAAAUCAAAUGUUGCAUUGGAUUAAAGAAGCCCAGUGGAAACAUCUUUUCUAAUUUGCAGAUCAACUCCGCCACCAACUCUUCCAUUUCAUCUAGCACGCCAGGCGAUAGUUCUUACACACAAAGAGAACGGAAGAAAUAGCUCAUCUCUGUCAGUACUAGCCAUUCAUCCUCAGGGAUAAAGCCACGCAACAUCACCGGCAUUACCCGCUCAAUCCAUAUGUGCCAAUCAUGACUCUUGAGACCAAAUAUUUUCAAUUUCUCAAGACUCGCUCCCCUCUUUAGAUUCGCAGCAUACCCAUCGCGGAACAUCAACCGCAUUUUCACCCACAAUAGCAUUUCCCUCAUAGCUGGCCUUUCAAGAUUGAACCAUGCCUUUGGCUUCGCUAUGCUUUGCUUUCCUUUCCGUUGUCGCAAGUUUUGCAACGGUCUAUCACAUAGAGCCUCCAGGUCGAUUCUAGCCUUAGGAUUAUCUUUGACUUCCCCUCUAUGCCGAACAAUGUACCAAAAAUGGCCUCCGCAAUAUUCUUUUCGGUGUGCAUCACGUCGAUGUUGUGUGGGCAAAGGAGGUCUUUGAAGUAUGGAAGAUCCCAUAAGCAUGACUUGUGAGUCCAGGCGUGUUCCGUAUUAUACCCUUUGAAGUAUCCUAGAUGCAAAGGAUCAGGCUCGAGAGCGUUUAACUGAUCAAGGGUCUGUUGGCCUGUCAACGCAGCUGGUGCAGUGUUUUUGACAACUCUAGCUUUGAUGAAAUUCUUCUUGUCUUUUCUGAACUUAUGGACAGGAUCCAGGAAUUGUCUAUGCAUGUCGAAGCAAGAAAACUUGCGACCAGCCUGCAGCCAAUGAAACUGAAGAGCUGCCUUGCAUGUGGCGCACGGGAACCUUCCAUGCACACACCAGCCAGCGAAUAGCGCAAAUGCCGGAUAAUCAUGCGUCGAGUACAUGAACCACACAUGCACUUUGAAAUUUGUUUUCGUAGCCGCGUCGUAGGUCUUGAUCCCAUUAUCCCAGGCUUCUUGCAACUCAUCCUUAAGCGGCUGCAUGUACACAUUCAUAUUCUUCCCCGGAUAGUUGGGCCCUGGAAUUUUCAACGUCAGGAAAAUGUUCUUUCUUUUCAUAAUCUCUCCGGGUGGCAAAUUGAGUGGAAUGACAAAUACAGGCCAACAACUCUAUUGUGUUGCUGUCAUACCAUACACAUUGAACCCAUCCGUGUUGAUGGCAACUCCAGGUUGCCUUGGAUCUUACGAUUUAUCCUUAUGUAAUGCAUCAAAGUGCCUCCACGCAAAACCAUCUGAAGUGCGUACCAUCAUCUUGUUCCCAUCCGCAUCUAGUUCGGUUCUUUUGCCCAAUUUGUGCCAUGUCAUCUGUUUGGCCAUCUUUUCAACCAUGAAAAGACGUUGAAGUCUUGGUAUGAUUGGCAGAUACCGAAGAACACUAAUGGGGAUUUUGGUCUGAUUCUUCUCACCCAUACCAUUGUCUACCACAAUAUACCUGGAAGAAUUGCAAAUGGGGCAAUAGUUCAAGGCCGCAUACUCAAGCCUAAAUAAGGCACAUCCAUUCUCACAGGCAUGUAUCUUCUCAUAGGGCAUCUUAAGUACACGGAGGAUUUUAUCUGACUGGUACAGGUUUGCAGGCAGUACAUGGCCUUUGGGUAGAGAGCGUCCAAAUAUCGUCAUCAUCGCGUCGUAGCAUUCUCUGCCUAGGUUGAAUUGAGCCUUCAGAGCCAUUACUUGCGCAAUGGAAUCCAGCUGACAAAGCUUAGUCUACUCAUGGAGAGGACGUUUUGAAGACUCCAACAUUUCAUAGAAGGCCUUUGCAGAUUCCUCCAUCUCAUCGUCCGAAUCCCGAGCAUCAUCAAAGUCUUGCACCAUGUCUUCAAUCUCGGUACCAUGCUCGUCGGUGCGACGACGAAUCACCUCAGCUGUGGCACGUUGGUCAGACACACCAUGAAAAGUCCACACCGUAUAAUUAGGCGUAAAACCCCACUUCUGCAGGUGUUUACCCAUUUCAAACAGUGUCUUCUUUUUCCAGUUGUCGCAUUUGGGACAGGGGCACCAUGUUUUUUGCUGGCCAUUUGCAAAUGCGGCUCUCACAAACCCCCUGGGUUUUGUUAACCAUUCAUGGGUCAUGUCUUUCUGACUAGGGUGACCAUUGUACAUCCAAGCACGAUCACUCAUGUUGCCUAGCUACCUAUGGGCACAAAAGAAAUAAAUAUAUAAUUCAUCAUCUAUAUUCAUAUGCUAAUCAAGUUUGUCAGUUUUAUUAUGUCCAUGCAACCUACACGCUAAUAGGUAAAGAUAGGUCCUAAUCCCAUCCGAGUAUGUGUAGAUUGGGUUCGUUUUCCCAUGCUCUGCUCCAGAUGCGACGCAGAAUUUCGGCAGCACCUCCCCGUUGUUCCCCUGAUACACGUCUCGACAAUAAGCAGAGAGGAUGUGUACCCGGAGAACAACAGGGAGGCACUAACGAAAUUCUGUAUCGGAUCCAGAGCACAACAUACGGGAAAACGAACCCAAUCUACACAUACUCGGNNNNNNNNNNNNNNNNNNNNNNNNNNNNNNNNNNNNNNNNNNNNNNNNNNNNNNNNNNNNNNNNNNNNNNNNNNNNNNNNNNNNNNNNNNNNNNNNNNNNNNNNNNNNNNNNNNNNNNNNNNNNNNNNNNNNNNNNNAUCUACACAUACUCGGGUUGUCCAUGGAUAAUGUUGGACAAUUCGAAAGGAUGACGGUUAUAAAUAUGCAAAGAAAUGCAUAUUUGUAGAUGUCACCCUUUCGAACGGGAGACGCAUACUGGUCACGCAUACUCAUGACUGAAGAAACCUAUAGCUAGCAAGUUUUAUCGGCACGAAGACCGGGACAGAGCAAAUUAAGGGGGUAGGAGGAGAAGUCAUUUGUGCUCACCAACAAACGCAGGGGCGGAGCUCGUCCAACACACGUGGAGGUCGUCGAACAACUAGACAUUGAAAUUCACACGAUCAACACAAAUAUGAUGUUUUUAUAAUUAACAUAAUCGGAAAAAUAUAUGACCUAACUCAUAAUUUACAAAACUAUGACCCUGUGGGCCUCUAGAAGGCCGAAAAGCACCUUCUCGUUCAACAAUAAGUAGAAGAGGUGUCGGGGAUCGGGGCUUAGUGGCGUCGACGGUCGGUGGUGUCGGGUAUCGGUGGUCGGGAGUCGGGUUAAAUGCGUCGAUGGUCGGGGGUCAGUGUCGUCAGGGGUCGAGGGUCACUAGCAUUGGGGGUUGGGGUCUUUUCAAUCAACAAGAGGCCAAAGAGGUGUCAGGGGUCCGGGGUUGGGGGUUAGUAGCGUCGGGGGUCGNGGUGGCGGGAGCAGGGGGCUCCGCCGGUGGUGCUGGAGCGAGGCGGGGCGACGGCGGGGGCGAGUGAGGUGAGGGGAGAGAGAUAGUGGGGGGAGAGAGAGAAAGUGAGCGAGGGGGAGUUGACGGCCGUUAUAGGGUCGACCCCUUUGCCGUCCGCCCCCGACGGCAAAGGGCCCCAUGGCGGACGACAAAGGCCCCCGGAUGGCAAAGUUUGCCUUUCGUUGGACACGGCAGGCAUGGGACCCACCCGUCCUCUUUGUCGUCUGCCUUGGGUCUCUUUGUCGUCCGCUGGCAGACGGCAAAGGGNNNNNNNNNNNNNNNNNNNNNNNNNNNNNNNNNNNNNNNNNNNNNNNNNNNNNNNNNNNNNNNNNNNNNNNNNNNNNNNNNNNNNNNNNNNNNNNNNNNNNNNNNNNNNNNNNNNNNNNNNNNNNNNNNNNNNNNNNNNNNNNNNNNNNNNNNNNNNNNNNNNNNNNNNNNNNNNNNNNNNNNNNNNNNNNNNNNNNNNNNNNNNNNNNNNNNNNNNNNNNNNNNNNNNNNNNNNNNNNNNNNNNNNNNNNNNNNNNNNNNNNNNNNNNNNNNNNNNNNNNNNNNNNNNNNNNNNNNNNNNNNNNNNNNNNNNNNNNNNNNNNNNNNNUAGCAAAUGGAGUCCACUUGCUAUCGUAACUACAUUUCUGCCAAAAAUCAUCUAGGAUAGUGUAGGUGGGGUUUCAUCUCUGUUUAAGUUUUUAUAACCAAACUUGGGGCUAGCAUUGUAGACUUUUGGGAUUUAACAUGUUAGGUGAAAAUGAGGUUGGACACCAAAUUUGGGAUUUGUUGGAGAAAGUUUCCACUGUAGACUUGAAAAACCCUAGAAAUGGGCAGAAUUUGUUUUCUGGAUACAGAUUCAUGGAAAUUAAUUCCCACUAAUUCACCACUAGGUGUGGUGGCUUUAUUUGAGUAUUAGAUCAUGCCCAAAAUUUUUGGGAUCAAUUGGGGAAACUUUAUAAUGUAAAGUUUCCCAAUUCAAGAAAUUAGCACGAGUGGUUUUGAGGGGCUUGGGACAAGUUAUUCUAAUCUCCUUGAUGCACCACCGGGUGUGGAUGCAUUAUUAGAGUAUAAGAACGCGUCCAAAAUAUUUGAGCACAAUUGGAGACACUUGGCAAUGUAGAAUUCCUCAAAUUAGAUCCUAAGACAAACAGGGUUUUGGAAUAUUUAGGUGAACCAAAUCAACUUGGAUUAAGAUGGAACAUCGCAAGAUCAUCACAUCUAUCAUGUCUAACUUGCUAUAUUUUCUUAGAAUUUAUUGAGAAUAUUUCUUGUAGAAAUAUUUCAAAAGAUUGAAAUAGGCACAAGGGGUUUUGAAGGGUUUUGUCCAAUAUUUUGACCAUGACCACAUGUUGAAACUCUUAUAUAUGGAAUAUAUGUCCACUGAGUUUCCCUAUAUUUUCUCAAGUAUUUUACAAGCAAGAAAAAUAGUUUUCCUUCAUAAAAUACCAUUGGUGGCCUCAGAAAAGGGUAUUUAAAUAAAAUAGUAAAAUAACUUUUAAAAUAAUAUAUUUUUUGUUUUGGGAAGUCUUUUCAUAAUGGUAUUUAAACAAAAAAAAUUAGGGCAAAACAACUUCCCUAAUUUUUAGGACUUGUAACACAAAUCCCCAGCUAGGGGUUUUUGAAGGCCUAAAUUAAAUAAAUGUUUUUGGUCAAAAUAAAAUUUGGUAAAAAAUUACGUCCUAUACACAUGGUAUGGUCAUAGGGAAAAGACAUGGGCAAGGAGGUAAGUCAAGAGAGUAGGGGAAAGUUUUUUUAUUUAAAGCACGACAAUCAAACAAGCAGACAACAACCACCUUAAGCAUCACAUGCACUCACAAAUAAUUUAAUUGGACCUAAUUUCUGAUCUAUGUUAAUUUAGCCAGGAGAGUCAAAACACAGGGUGUGGCAGACCCUACCCCCUUAAGAAAAAUCUCGUCCUCGAGAUUUGCUAUGGUGGUUGCAAAAGGCUACUCCUACUAUGAUGUGCGGAAUAAUAUGAAAACGAGAUAUUUAAACAUGCGGUCCGACGUGGUUACCAUAAAAGUGUCGAUGAUUGGUGUAGCUGGGGUGUGAUUCUGGUGCCGCGAAUAAAAUAUAUGGUUGGGCAAUCGAGACAUUGCUGCUUAGGGUUAUGCCAAUUUUCGGAAAAGGAAAAUUUCCAAAUUCAAAAUAGCGCUUCUUGUACCCGGGUGCACAGAGCUCUCUGUGGCUGACAUGUGGGCCCAGGGACCACUGUGAGUCUCUUCUCCCUUCCUCUGACUCUCCUCUUCCUUCUACUUCUUGCGCGCUCCUUGCGCUUUCUCCACUUACGGCACCUAGCGCCUAGGGUGCCUAGGGUCGUACUGUUGUAGUGCGCGGCGUGCUAGUGAAAGCACAAUUGUUCCCUAAAGUGGUUUUGGUAAUUAAUCACAACAUAUGCAUCAUUGGACUAAUAAAUUUAUCCAAGUACAUUUCAGAAAAGUUCAAAGAUGCUUUGGUUAUAAGAUUGUGUGGAGAUGCCCCUUUGAUGCAAUGAAGGAAUAGGAUUGGCUAAAGCUUGAAGCAAGAAGACUCUUCAUUUAAACUUUGUGAGAAAUCACUUUGAGUCCAUAGGAAAGCCAAUNCACGAGUCCACUAACAUCACAACAAUACACCAUCGUGGAAUCAUUCCGUCUCCAUAUGGAAAUGCCGUCCACGACACUCACGCUUAUCUUGACAAUUUUAUGAGUAGCCAUUUAAGUUAUCUAUGAACAACAUAUGUCUCCAAGUAGUCCAUAUCCCAGAGGCUGGCCCCACACGUUAGUGGCUCAGGCCAGCUGAGAUCCACCGGCGGCGAGGUCGUCCUCGCCGCCGGGGAGCCUCCGGCGAGCACCAGUACGUCGGAGGGGCUCGGAAACGGCGCACAGGGGCCAAACUCGGCGCGGAGAGCACCAGAGGAACGACACUUCUCCCGCGGGUUCAUUUUUGCACUUGGCUGGGGCUGAUCUGGCCGGAGAUGACGCCGACGACGAGCUUGGCGGUGGCCAAGGUUCGGGCGUCAUCGGGGUCUUCGAUAUAGAGGGAGUUACGCACGGGACUUAGCUCCUACGGCAUCUACGCGACGGCCUGAAGCUGCUGGUGGCCUCGGAAGGACGAGCUGAUCACCGGAGGGCUACCGGCGAUGAGCUCCCGCGGCAGAUCUCGUCGGGCUCCGAUGGAACUAGGCCUAGAGGAGGGGAUCGACGGGGAGAUCUUAGGGGAAAGAUGUGCAAGCUCACGAGGAGUGCAGUGGUGGCGCUAGCUUGCUCGGGGAUGGCCUAGAGAGGAAAAACGCCGGCGACGAGCUUCGGUGACCUGAGGAAGAAGACGAAUGCGUCUCGUCGUUUCACUGCGUCUCGGCGUCGGGCUCGUGUCUAGAAAGCUUCAGGGAGUUGCGGCGGACCUAUUGCGCGGCUAAGGAGGGAGAAGGGUAGGCUAGAACGACGGCGAGCUCGAGCUCUGCUCGGGCUCCAAUGGCGGCAGAAAGAAACGAGGCAGAGGGGGAGAAUGAGCUGGGGAACAGAUAGCUACGAGCGCGGGGAGGUUAUCCCCGUGCUUGCGAGCGCGAAGCAGCGGCCAGGCAGCCAGGGAGCUGCGUGGAGGCGCGCGGCGACGCGGCGGCCACCUCCUGCUCCUACUGGCGAGGAGGAAGACGACAGAAGCAGAUCGGUCGGGCCAGGUGAGCGUGAGGUAAGGUUUUUUCUCAUUUUCUUUCUGAUUUGUUUCUGUUUUGCUAUUUCAUUAACUUGCUAUUUGUUUCAGCUCCCAAAUAGUUUGUAAAAGCUAUUUUAAACACACCAGAAUAUUUGUUGGAAUAUUUCCAACCAUUCCCAAAGUUCUCAACAUUUUUGAAAGUUUAAAGUUUCUGAUUUCAAAUUUAAAACGUGAAACCAGUAGCUUUUUGCAUUUAUUUAAAAUGCUUAAAGUGUCAAGAAAAAGGUUUUCUUCAUUGCUUAUUACUUUCAUGAUUUAUCAGAAAGAUUGAACUUUUCUUGAGGCCGUUUUGGGUUCAUUGAUUUUAACUAGUUUGAAUUUCCUUUAAUUUGAGAAGUGGCUAGGGUUUGUUGAAUUUUCCUUCACCACUUACUUUGUUCUUGUUGAGAAUGUCCUAGAUGCAAUGCAAAGAAAACAUGAGCACAAAGCUAACUUGCUUAAGGGGUCAGGGAUGUGACAACUCACCCCCACUCAAAAGAAUCUCGUCCCGAGAUUUAGAAGUCGUCGGGAAUAACACAAGAUACUCAAGUCGGAGAAGAUCCUCUCUUUCCCAAGUUGCAUCCUUUUCAGAAUGAUUUGACCAUUGAACUUUAAGAAACUUGAGGUUUCGACGUCGAGUGGUACGCUCAGCUUGAUCAAGAAUACGCACGGGGUAUUCUCGGUAUGAAAGGUUAUCUUGGAGAUCAAGCGUUUCGUGGUCCACUUCACGGAUAGGAUCCAAAAUGCAACGCCUGAGUUGCGAGACGUGGAAGACAUCAUGAACCUUGGAAAGAUGCGGAGGAAGUUCCAACUGGUAGGCAACUUCUCCUCGUUUGGCAAGAAUGCGAAAAGGACCAAUGUAAUGAGGAGCCAACUUGCCCUUGAUACCGAAUUGAUGGGUACCCUUCAAAGGUGUAACCCGAAGGUAAGCCUUCUCGUCAACUUCAAAGAUCACAGCCUUAUGAUGACGAUCAUAUUGGCUCUUUUGACGAGACUGGGCUGUUUUCGACUUUUCACGAAUAAUGCGAACCUGCUCUUCUGCAUCCUGGAUCAUAUCCGGGCCAAAGAGUUGCCUCUCUCCGGUUUCUGACCAAUUAGGAGGUGUUCGACAGAGCUUUGCUCAAGCUUGAUUGAUAACUAUUGUUAUAAGAGAAUUCGGCGAAUGGAAGGCACUUCUCCCAAUUCAUACCGAAUGAUAUAACACAAGAUCGGAGCGUAUCUUCUAGGAUUUGAUUCACUCUUUCUACUUGGCCACUUGAUUGGGGAUGGAAAGCAUUGCUAAAAGAUAAGUGAGUCCCCAUGGCAUUCUGAAAACUUUCCGAGAAGCGAGAAGUAAAGGUACUCCCACGGUCCAAGUUAAUCUCCAAGGGAACACCAUGAAGAGACACUAUUCGAGAGAUAUAUAACUCUGCUAGCUGGCUAGCUGUUAUACUCUCACGAACGGGAAGAAAAUGAGCCACCUUGGAAAGACGGUCAAUGACCACAAAGAUAGCAUUAUUUCCUUUCUUGGUCUUUGGAAAUCCGGUAAUGAAAUCCAUGCAAACUUUAUCCCAUUUCCAUUCAGGAAUAGCUAGAGGUUGAAGGGUGCCAGCAGGCCUUUGAUGUUCUGCCUUAACUCGACGACAAACAUCGCAGUUAGCAACGAACUCAGCAAUUUCUCUCUUCAUCCUAGUCCACCAGAACCUCUGGCGUAGGUCCUGAUACAUCUUAGUACUACCGGGAUGAAUGGUGAGAGGAGAAUCAUGGGCCUCCUUAAGGAUUAACUGCCUUAGAUGUGGGUUCUUAGGAACCACUAGACGAUUCUGGAAGAACACAACACCUUAAUCGUUCAUGGAAAAUUCUUUAGCGUUUCCGCUAAAAAUAUUCUCCUUGAUCCGUGAUAUACCCUUGUCACGCUUUUGGCGAGCUAUAAUUUGAUCCUUAAGGGUAGGCUUCGCCACCAGGGUAGAAAGGAAUCCUUGAGGAACAAUAUGUAAGUUAUCCCUAAGUCGUAAUCCGAGAUCAACUCAACCCACCGUCUUUGCCUGAGAUUCAAAUCCGGCUGGGUGAAGAUAUAUUUCAGACUUUGGUGAUCAGUGAAUAUUUCGCUACGAUUACCCAAAAGGUAAUGUCGCCAGGUUUUCAGUGCAUGGACCACAGCUGCAAGCUCAAGGUCAUGUGUGGGAUAAUUAUCCUCAUGUGGACGCAACUGUCGAGAUGCGUAUGCGAUCACAUGACGAUCUUGCAUGAGAAUGCAACAUAAUCCUUGUCGCGAGGCGUCGCAAUAGAUAACAAAGUCCUUAGAAAAAUCUGGUGGUAGCAACACAGGUGCGGAAGUCAGGCGUCUUUUCAGUUCCUGAAAACUAUGCUCACACUGUGGUGUCCACUCAAACUUUUUAUCCUUCUUGAGGAGUUCAGUUAGAGGCUUUGCAACCUUGGAGAAAUUCUCGACAAAGCGGCGACAAUAGCUCGCUAGACCAAGAAAACUCCUAACUUGCUUAACCGGUUCAGGUUGAGUCCAAUCAAGGACAGCUUGAACUCUCUCGGGAUUGACAGCAAUACCCUUACCAGAGAUUACAUGACCUAGAUAGGUCACUUCUGGUAACCAAAAUUCACAUUUUGAAAACUUGGCAUAAAGGCGAUGCUCUCGAAGUUUCAUCAAUACCAGCCUUAGAUGCUCGACAUGUUCUUGUUCGUUCUUCGAGUAGAUGAGAAUAUCAUCGAGGUAUACCACGACGAAUUUAUCCAAAUACUCCAUGAAGAUUGAAUUCAUCAAACGAGAGAAGGUGGCUGGGGCAUUGGUUAAACCGAAGGACAUGACAGUGUACUCGUAUUGGCCAUAACGAGUAACAAAAGCCGUUUUUGGAAUGUCCCCGUUCUUGAUCUUGAUUUGAUGGUAUCCCAACCUCAAAUCCAUUUUGGAAAAGACCGAGGAUCCAGCGAGCUGAUCAUACAGAUCGUUGAUCCUGGGGAGCGGGUACUUGUUCUUUAUGGUGACCAGAUUAACUGGUCGGUAAUCUACAACCAUCCGAUCCGUUCCGUCUUUCUUCUUGAUGAAGAGGAUGGGGCAAGCCCAAGGAGAAGAGCUAGGACGAAUGAAACCUUUAUUCAAGGCCUCAUCUAGUUGCUUCUUAAGUUCGGCUAGCUCCAGGGGUGCCAUCUUAUAUGGUCUUCUGGCUAUUGGGACGGUCCCUGGAACAAGAUCUAUCACAAACUCUACAUCUCUGUCAGGUGGAAUUCCUGGCAGUUCCUCUGGAAAGACAUCCGGGAAGUCACGGACUACCAGAAUGUCUUCAAGUUCCAGAAGAGGGUUGGCAUUUAAGGAAUAGAGUUGGCAUUUGGCAACUCGAGUAGAGACAUUUACUAUCUCACUCGAGGGAUGGGUAAGCUGGACAUUUCUAGAAUGAGUAUCAAUCUUGGCAUAGUGAGCUGACAUCCAGUCCAUGCCCAAGAUGAUAUUAAUAUCCAAAGAUUUCAAUGCUAUCAAUGAGGCUAGAAAAACUAGCCUGUCUACUAGAAUUUCAUUGUCAUUGGUUAUCCUAGAGGUUUGCCAUUUACUACCAGGAGUUUGGACAACCAACGGAAUUGGCAUAUCACAAAAAGACAUGUUAUGCAACUGUGCAUAACUUUCUGAAAUGAAGGAAUGGGAAGACCCGGUGUCAAAGAGAACAGACGUUGGGUGAUGGUUAACAAGAAGCGUACCCAGUAUGACGUCGGGAUCCUCUGCAGCUUCUUCUGCUGAGACAUAGUUCACACGGCCACGUGCAGGAGUUGGCUUCACAUAGUAAGCUUUGCCCGACGGACUUUCCGGGUUGCUUGGCACCCACAUUUUGAGGACACUCACGGGAGUAGUGCCCUGGUUCUCCACACUUGUAGCAUAUCACUUGGUUGGCACGUGGUGCAGCAUUGCUAGCUGGACCACCAUAGGUUUUUGCUGGAGGGUUGGUCUGAUUCGUCUGAGGCGCCACGUAGGAUGGUAUCGGAGUGUAUCUUGGCGGCAGAGAACUGUUCAGAACCCAUAGCCUGCAUUUUGGGAACGCGGAACCAGAAGACGAGCCAAAGUCACGGGAGUGCUUCCUUGUGGCUUCAAAGUCAGUAUGACCAGUCUCGGCACUGAUCGCCUUGUUGACCAGGGCUUGAAAGCUUGCACACUUGUGGAGACGCAGAUCACGACGAAGCUCAGGGCUCAGACCCUUACGGAAUCUUGCUUGCUUCUUGGCGUCAGUAGACACCUCCUCUGUUGCAUAGCGGGUGAAGUUACCGAACUCGCGGCUAUAGGCAUCCAUGGUCAACUUGCCCUGAGUGAAGGCACAAAACUCCUCUCUCUUCCUGUCCAUCAGGCCCUCUGGAAUAUGGUGCAGACGAAAAGCUGCACUGAAGUCUGCCCAUGUGGCUGCUGGUUCAGUGGGACACAUAGCUUCAAAGUUCUCCCACAACAGAUUGGCGGGUCCUUCCAGGAAGUACGCCGCAAAGGUCACCUUGUCGGCCUCAGAAACAUUCGCAGAGCGAAUCUUGCGUGCGAUGCUGCACAGCCAGUCAUCAGCGUCGAGGGGAUCGACGGAAUGAUGAAACUUUGGAGGAUUCAGCUUCACAAAGUCGUUACGGGACACUGCAGCAUUCCUAGGCUGACGAGCCGUAUUCUGCUCAAUACGCUCUAACAGUCGGUUGGUCUCCCUUUUGUUUCUCUCUGCCUCAAGCAUAACUUCCGCCAGAGAGGGCGGGUGAGGCAGGUCUUCCUGCGACGCUUGACUACCCUCGCCUUGCUCAUGACCAGGGGCACGGUUCAACCUGGUGAACACCAUCCUGACAAACAAACUCACACCUUAGACCAAUAUCAUAUCAAUACUAGCUAUGGAUUAAGAAUGUACUGAACACACAGAAGGAGGAAAUGAAUAUCCGAACAACAUGGUAACAAGCAACUGCUAUAUAUACACCAUGGUUCAUACACACCCUUACAUAGUUCAGUACAACCUUAACCGAAGAGCAAACUACUGAAAUUAUGAAACUACUCAUCAGAGGCUUACAAGCUUCCUAUACAUUAUUUAUCUAGGCCUCCCGAAUUCGUUUCACAUCACAGGCAUACUUCACAAGUCACGCAGGACUGUGAACGUACGGCUACUACCAUCAUAUCCUGCCGCUCACAGCUCAGGCAUCCGCAUAGAACAUCUCAUAGAGAUUACCUCCAUGACCUGGAAGCUCAACCUGCGGAUCAGGAAACACUCUAGCCUGAGAUCCCUGGGAUCCAUAAGGACACAGAUGUGGCCUUGGUCCCCUGACUGGUGGUAAGAGGGGCCCCCGAAGAGGGGUGACUCCUCCUAUAGCUGGCCAGUCAACUUGGGCCGCAAGAUGUGUCCUAACAGGGUUCAGCAUCUCCAUAUCCCCGUACCCUGCCUGGACUACCGGUGCCAGCUGCGUCAAAGCCGUCCAUAGACGGGCACAUGUAGCAUAAAGCUUCAUGCGGAGAGCACGAGCAUCCCUGUCUCUGUUCUCUAGCAUCUCAACAGUGGACCGCAGUAGUGGAUCCUCCAUAGAAGAAUCAAAAUAGACUCCGCUGAGGUAUCCCUCUUCACCAGGCUGAGAGGCCGGAACAUAGCAGAACUCUGAAUUCUGCGGCAGUGCAUGUCUCGCUCUCAUAAUGGUCAGCAUUGAAUAGGCAGCAUCUUGUACUGCCAUGUCAACAGUGACUCCCAACCCAUAGGACCAAUUGGCUCCUCAGCUCCACGGUAGUCUGGAAAUACCCUAACAGUGCAGAUGUACUGGCUCUGGUUGAAGUCUCGGUACUGUUCCUCCACUAUGUACUCGGGGUACCAGCGGUAACCGCACACCGACAUCACCCUGACCAGCAUGGUCGUAUGACCUGGUACAUCAAUGCACCUGGUCAGACGUACCACCUGACAAGAAGGACGGCCAGACAUCUGUAAAUAGAGAGUAAUGCAAAAGCAUUAGAGCUCCGAAUGCAAAAUUGGGCAGCAUAACGGCUGUAAAUGCUCAAAAACAAAUUUUGAGACAACCCAAAAUGGAAUAGCGUAACCACUCAACUAUCAAGUUCAACUCUCUGAUCAUCAAACUUACUUCCCUUUUCCUAGGAAUGGAAGAAACCCAAUAUCUCUUGACUCGUAGUCCUAUAAUCUAUCGAUCAAAAACACGAGCCUAGAAGAAGAUGAGUAACCUAGUCCUUAAUUCCCGCAGAAAAGACGAGGAUGACCAGAAUAGAAUAACUUGAGAAGAGAACAAGAGCCUUACGUUCCCUUCCACAAACAAUUCCCUUAUAUAUAACUAAAGCAAUUCUAGACUCAACUUCGACCAGUUUGGCUUAGUAAUCCUACAGUCAGUCAGUCUCUGAUACCAACGCUGUCGGGACCCCAAUCCUAAGUCAUAGGANCACGAGUCCACUAACACCACAACAAUACACCAUCGUGGAAUCAUUCCGUCUCCAUACGGAAAUGCCGUCCACGACACUCACGCUUAUCUGGACAAUUUUAUGAGUAGCCAUUUAAGUUAUCUAUGAACAACAUAUGUCUCCAAGUAGUCCAUAUCUACGGACGCGGCUAUUCGAAUAGAUCAUCACCCUGCAGGUGUGUACUUCGUCACACACACUCUCGCCACUUAUCGCCAUGUGCACGUCAUGCACCUCGGCAACCUUCAAGCGGAAGCCCAGCGAGGGAGUCGGCCACGACCGUUAACCACAUUAGUACCUAGUCCAGGUUUAUCGCCUAUCUGAGUAACCCGUACGGAAGUCCGGCCGAGGUUUCCGCCACGGCCUCAAACGAUGUGCGCAGGGUUCCCAAGCCCACCAUCCGGGUGCCACUUGGUACAUCGUGCCACUUCCUACCGCAUCACAGCCCACCUCUCAGGUCAGCGCUAUGCACGGCCUCCAGCAUGACUAUAAACACCAGAAACUACUUGCAACUCCUGGACCGAGUACUAAGCGAUUAAUAAGUCGAGCGGGGUCAUAUUUCAGGGCCCAGCAUGUGGUAGUAUCUUGUCUUGGAUUACAUACACGGAACUCAGUUCCUAAGGACGGUUCCAAUGAAACAACCCGCCAUGUACUCCUACACAGCCUUUCACCGGUACCUUUACCAAAUCAGGUUCAACACACAACCUUUGCUUACCGAACACAUUCUCACAAUUCUGUUCAUCUCCCAGAUGACAGACCAUAGACAACUCUAAGCAUAGCAUGCAUAGCAGGAUAAGGCACAUCAUGGCUCAAGCAACUACCAGGUAUGCUAGGUUGCAAGGUUCAGCUAUUUACUGUGACAAGGAUAGGUCAUGCAAAGGAAGUGGGUUCAACUAACGUGGCAAAAGCAUUUGAAGCAUUUGAUCCUAAUGCAAUAAGUAAGUGCAGGAGCAAGAACAUGGGAUUUAUCGGGAUGAUCAAAAUGGUUGCUUGCCUUGUUUCUCAGAGGAGUGACAAUAUCCGUCGGACGGAUAUUCGGUGGAAUCCGGGGGAGCGGAGCCUACCGAAAGGAAUGACAUCAAUCAAUAUCAAGCAUAUGCAAUCAAGAUGAUGCAUGAGCAUGGCAUGAGAAUGCAAGGUGAUAUACUAUUAUAACUAACAUGUAUUAGGUUUGAAGUUGAUUUGAAUCAAAUUCAAAUAUCACUUCAAACGAGGUAUUCUCGGAUACCAUUUUAAUUGAUUCGACAUGAUGCUCAGAUCAACUUGAUGUUAACAUGCAUGGAAUGACAUGUUAGGUUGCUGGUUUGUAAUUAGGACAGUAUUUGAUCAUGUCAAUCAUAGUGAAAUUUAAAUAUUUUCCAUAUUCCAUUUAUAAAGUAUUUAUAAGAAUUGACUUAUUCAUUAAUCUACAUGUUUGGGUUCUCUAACAUUUUCAAACAUGUCUGAAAAUGGCAUAUUCAGAUUCCUUGGAUUUUUCUGAUACUUUUUCAUAUAUAAAUUAUUUUCAUUGGAGUUACAGAUUAAUUUCUAUGAAUUUUUGAAGUUUUAAAAAUUUCUGAAAUUAUUCUUAUACUGGAAAAUCCCUUUACUGCAUCAGCAUGACAUCAGCAGGUCCAACUGGCCGUUGAAAGUCAAACCUGACCAGUGGGACCCACUGGUCAGUGUCUCUCGUCAGUUUUAGAUUAAAAUUAAACUUAAUUAGCUAAUUAAUCUCACUGGACCCACAUGUCAGUGACUUAUCAAAUUAUUUGAUUUUAUUUUUAUUAUUUCUAAACUCCCAGAGGCUGGCCCCACAUGUCAGUGGCUCAGGCCAGCUGAGAUCCACCGGCGGUGAGGUCGUCCUCGUCGGCGGGGAGCCUCCGGCGAGCACCAGUACGUCGGAGGGGCUCAGAAACGGCGCACAGGGGGCCAAAGUCGGCGCGGAGAGCACGAGAGGAACGACACUUCUCCCGCGGGUUCAUUUUUGCACUUGGCUGGGGCUGAUCUGGCCGGAGAUGACGCCAGCGACGAGCUUGGCGGCGGCCAAGGUUCGGGCGUCAUCGGGGUCUUCGAUACAAAGGGAGUUACGCACGGGAAUUAGCUCCUACGGCAUCUACGCGGUGGCCUGAAGCUGCUGGUGGCCUCAGAAGGAUGAGCUGAUCACCGGAGGGCUACCGGCGACGAGCUCCCGCGGCAGAUCUCAUCGGGCUCCGAUGGAACUAGGCCUAGAGGAGGGGAUCGACGGGGAGAUCUUAGGGGAAAGAUGCGCAAGCUCACGAGGAGUGCAGUGGUGGCGCUAGCUUGCUCGGGGACGGCCUGGAGAGGAAGAACGCCGGCGACGAGCUUCGGUGACCCGAGGAAGAAGACGACCGCGUCUCGUCGUUCCACUGCGUCUCGGCGUCGGGCUCGUGGCUAGAGAGCUUCAGGGAGUUGCGGCGGACCUAUUGUGCGGCUCAGGAGGGAGAAGAGUAGGCUAGAAUGACGGCGAGCUCGAGCUCUGCUCGGGCUGCAAUGGCGGCAGAAAGAAACGAGGCGGAGGGGGAGAAUGAGCUGGGGAACGGAUAGCUACGAGCUCGGGGAGGUUAUCCCCGUUCUUGCCAGCGCGAAGCGGCGGCCAGGCAGCCAGGGAGCUGCGUGGAGGCGCGCGGCGACGCGGCGGCCACCUCCUGCGAGGAAGACGACAGGAGCAGAUGGGCCGGGCCAGGUCAGCGUCAGGUAAGGUUUUUUCUCAUUUUCUUUCUGAUUUGUUUCUGUUUUGCUAUUUCAUUAACUUGCUAUUUAUUUCAGCUCCCAAAUAGUUUGUAAAAGCUAUUUUAAACACACCAGAAUAUUUGUUGGAAUAUUUCCAACCAUUCCCAAAGUUUUCAAAAAAAUUGAAAGUUUAAAGUUUCUGAUUUCAAAUUUAAAACUUGAAACUAGUAGCUUUUUGCAUUUAUUUAAAAUGCUUAAAGUGUCAAGAAAAAGGUUUUCUUCAUUGCUUAUUACUUUCAUGAUUUAUCAGAAAGAUUGAACUUUUCUUGAGGCCGUUUUGGGUUCAUUGAUUUUAACUAGUUUGAAUUUCCUUUAAUUUGAGAAGUGGCUAGGGUUUGUUGAAUUUUCCUUCACCACUUACUUUGUUCUUGUUGAGAAUGUCCUAGAUGCAAUGCAAAGAAAACAUGAGCACAAAGCUAACUUGCUUAAGGGGUCAGGGAUGUGACAAAUUGGUUGCUCAAGUGCUUAGAUAUAGCCACCAAAAAUACUCAGCCACUUUCCCACAACAUAUAUGUGUACCAAAGGCAAAUAUGCAAAAUUGGUGCCACCAAUAUUUCCCACUCGGCCAUACCGAUUUUACACUUACACAGAUCCUAUGCCAAUCCCACCAUAUCGGUACAACCAACAUUCCUAUCAGUGCCACCAAGAUUGGGUGACCAACAUUCUGUUGAUAUAACUUCAAGUUUCAGAAUUUAUGAGUAGUCGAUCUCACCGAGUUUGGGAACCAGUCUAGGUCAUCAUAUUGGUACCACCGAGAUUCCUAUAUCGGUCUCACCGAGAAUUCAAAGUUGCCACAUUUACUUCAACUCGGUACCACCGAGAUUACCAUUUCGGUGUCACCAAGUUGGGUAAUAAUGUUGUAACGGUUGGAGUUUGGGGAUCCCUAUAUAUACCCCUCCACCUACCUCUCAUUCAUAGAGAAAGCACUCAGAACACACUUACACUUGGCAGAUCCAUUUUUCUAAGAGAGAGAGAGAGAGCCACCUAUUCAUGUGUUGAGAUCAAGAGAUUCCAUUCCAACUAUUUGAACCUUGAUUUCUAGCAUCCCAAGUUGCUUUCCACAAGAUCAGUAUCUCCUACCCUUGCCAAAUCUAAGAGAGAGUGAUCGAGUGUUAAGGAGACUAUCUUUAGAGGCACAAGAGCAAUGAGUUCAUCGUUCUACCACAUCUAUUACCUUUUAGAGGGCGGUGCCUCCUAGAUUGGAUAGGUGUUGCUUGGGAGCCUCCUACUUUGUGUUGUGGAGUUGAACCAAGAUGUUUGUAAGGGAAAGGAGAUCGCCUACUUUGUGAAGAUCUACCGUGAGUGAGGCUAGUCCCGUGUGGAUGGAAGCUGUGGUGGAAUAGACAAGGCCGCUUCUUCGUGGACCCCUUGUGGGNAGUCUCCACUAACAUGGAAGUACGAUAUCCCACCUAUCGGAACCAUGCCAAAAAUCGUCGUGUCAACCUUUGCGUUUGAUCUCCCUACCUUACCCUCUGUCUACACUUGCAUGUUUUACUUUACGCUGCAAUACUCUUAGAUAUGCAUGUCUAGGGUGUACUUGACUAGUCAUAAUUGAUAAAACUGGACCACACUAAAAAUUGGGAAAUGGCUAAGUUUUUAACUUGUCAAGUACUCUAAUCACCCCCUCUAGACAUACUUUCGAUCCUANNNNNNNNNNNNNNNNNNNNNNNNNNNNNNNNNNNNNNNNNNNNNNNNNNNNNNNNNNNNNNNNNNNNNNNNNNNNNNNNNNNNNNNNNNNNNNNNNNNNNNNNNNNNNNNNNNNNNNNNNNNNNNNNNNNNNNNNNNNNNNNNNNNNNNNNNNNNNNNNNNNNNNNNNNNNNNNNNNNNNNNNNNNNNNNNNNNNNNNNNAUUCCUUGCGGAUUCGCCUCUGAUCACCAACGAUCGAGCGACGAGCACGGCUGGUAGACUUCACCCGUCGUGCACCGAACUCGAGCUAUAAAACGACCAUGGCAUUCCUCUCUUCUUCCUCACACCCGACCUCGCUCCUACUUCUUCCUCCGUCUUAUUUUUUGCUUGUAGGAGCUCGAGGCAAGGCUCUAUUGGCAGACAAGCUUCUCGGGUGGCUUACGAUCAUCCUAGCUGGAGCGGCAGCGGCGCUGAUCGGGUUCUCGAUGUUGUACUGCAUGAUCAUCCAGGAUGACCGUCGUGAUGAUGCUGCUCGAGUGGUGGCUCUCCGUGGCAGCAGUGUCCAUGAUGACUAGGAAAAUGUGUAGCGUGCGAGUGGGUGCUAGUGUGUCGGCACCAACUCUAGAAAAAUAAAAUACCCACAAUGUUUCCUUUUGAAAAACUGUGGCGUGCUAGAGAGGUAAUCAGUUAGGUGCUAAAUGCGUGCGUGGUUCUGCACUUAGUGCAUGUGUCAUAGUGAGUGUGGUUAUGAUUCAGUUGGAUGUAUGUUUCCGGUGUGCCUUCACACACUUGGUCUUCUAGCCUCUUUGUAGAAUUCUUGCAUAGUUGAUGUUGUCGGCAGGGGAGUGGUGGUGAACUCUUGUUGUCUCUUCUUCGUUGUCAUGGCUUAUCAGCCGUGGUCGCUCUUCACCUAACUUGCGUAGGAUUGUCUUCUGUUGCUUGGAGGGUGCUUCGAGGAGUCCAUCUCUACCAGGGUAAAACCUUACACUUCUGAGGCAUCGCGAUCGAGGUUUCCGAGGGCUUAUCCAAACAGGACUAAGGUGAUUCUCACUUCUCUUGGAUAAAUAAGCUUGUCAUCCAUAGGACAACACCCUAUUUUUCCAACCAUCACACAAGAAUUAUGAUCGUGGAAUGUGUGAGAGGAGCAGGUACUUCUCCUGUGUGGUCCCUUGCCCAGGGGUUUAGUGGCGGUCGAGGGGGAGUAUUGGCUACAGUCCAAUGACUUAGAACCAAAACCUACAGUCACAAUCCAGCCAUUUUUUGGCUAGGUAAAGCUUCGGGGUUUUAAGGAACUUAGGAUGUGAGUGAAGAUCCAUCACCUUAUCCUUGAGCACACUUAGUUAGAUGCCAAUGGUCCUACCAAAUCCUCCAAACCGAAUCAUCUAAUGUCAUAAAAGGUACCAUGCCAUAUAGGUCAGCUCCAGCAUCACUAUGCUACUCAACCCCAAGGUUUGAGAGAAGGACUAAACCAAAACCACGUAAGUAUGCUAUAACUGGCUCAUGUGUAUCCCUAUGUAAGAAUCCUCGGGAAGCAUACAAGCUACUAAUCUUGGCGAAUAUAGUACAAUCCAAGUGCUUAUUAAAAUUAUCCAAGGUCUAAGGUACUAUAUUUCUAUGCUAAGGAAACAUGUAUUAUACCAAUCCAAGAUCUUGUUCCUCACUAAAAAUCCAAUUAAGAGGUUCAUCAAUACCAUCAAUCCUCACUGGACCUAUCACUCCUAUAAAUUGAAUAUCGAUGGGGUUCUACCUAAUCACCUAGAGUCCUUUUAUUAAUCCACCUAUCCUAGCAAGGACUAUACCACAGUAUAUCCACCAAUUUUCCAUACCAUGACCAAUCAAGCUGGUCACGCUUAUAUAGAUUCAUAAUUCAAUUCAACUACUCAAAUUAAUUCUACUAUCACUCACGGAGGCACAUGCUAUCAUGACCAAGAUCAUCGGACCACAUCUAAUUUACUCUGAACCAUGUGGUAUCAUUUAUCAUCGACACUCUAUUAGAAUUACCUAUUUAAAUCCAAUUCGCAUGGCCGACGAGAACUCCCACUUGCUUCUCCAUGUCAUUAAUAAGCCAUGACUGCUACUUGACAAAGUCAAUUUAUUAUAUCACCAAGAGUUUUAACUCGCAAUCAUAAUUUCCGUAUGUACCCAAACUUACUCCAGGAACAUGUAGGUAUUGAUACUAUAUCACCUUAUUAAACCAAGUUCACCUACCAACUUAAGGGUCUUACGACCCGCUAAGAGAACCUAGCUACAUCAGCGAGACACUUACUGUAGUCAUCUCAAAUCAUUUUCUGUGGGUCGUAUACCCUUUGAACAAUCCUUCCUAUGGCGUCAAGGUCGUGGGGCUAGCUUAAUAGUGAAGGAUAUUUGUUCACUCUGAUCACUUGUUCCAUAAUAAACCCAAUGCUAAGCAAGGGGGGUUAUCGGGACUCAACGGGUGCUGUGGUAAACCCGUGUAUUAAUCACACGAUCAAAGGUUUAAGCUAGGGAAUCUUGUGGGGUUUUAGGUUGGUCUAGAGAGGGGCUUCCAACCUUGAGGGAAAAGGACAAAGCUACGGGGUUACGUCUGGUUGAGCACGUCGUAGUCAGAGUCUUGAUUGUUAGUAGUCCGUCGAGGUGGAUCCUUGGUGCAUCUUGUCCUUCUCGCCUUCGUUUGUCGAGGAAGGUGAGAGAGAGAGAAAGGAAGCAUAGAGGGGAGUGCCUAAGGGGGCAGUAUAGUGCAAGUGCAAUCAAACAAGUGCCGAAAGUCCAAACACAAACACCAAGAUGAUGUAGGUGAUAUAGUCGUGUGCUUGCUGCCUGGGAAAAAGUGCGAGUUAUAUCAAGGCACAAACAACAAGAAACACACAAUAUGGAUCCACUCGAACCAUCACACGGACUCGGCUUCUCAUAGGGGAUACACAGCUCAUCCUAUCCUAAGGGUUCUCGGACUCAAUAGUCAUGCUUACUUCGUGUAUCAUUGGGGGAGUCCACUUAGUCUUCUAGGUCUUCUUUAGGUGUCGCGUGCCUCAUGUUGUUGUCCGUCGAGACGACUCAAGUUGAGCUGGAAAGAGUCCUUGACAAUUUCUCAUCUGGUGAGCUGUCGACGAGGGUGGCUCUUCAUGGUUGUCGUUGGACAAGGACUUCUGUUGUCUUUGUAAUCCCGCCGAUAUCUCCUUGUCUUCGAAGGUGUCGAGUGUUCCAAGUGGACAAUCCUUUAUGCAAUGACAUCAAGAGGGCAUGGUAGAGUUUUGUCGUGACAGUUAUGUUGCUGACAAUAUCGACUUCAAGAGCGAGGGACAAAGAGAACCGCUUUUCCUUCUCACUAUGGUGAGUUUGACCAAAUGGCGAGGUUCUCAUCCACCGGUGGUUGUCGACACAACAACGGUAACGACAGGGUCACUCUAUUUGCGAUGCAUAUCAUGAUCUUGCAUAUCUUAUGUCCUGAUCAUCGUAGUCCAAGGUUGUACCGCUCUGAGGCGGGGUCGAGGGUGUCACCAUCUUCUCAGUCUCGAUGUACUCAUUUGUCGAGAGAGUAGCUUCUUUUGGUGUCGUCUGGUCGUAGCGUUCCCAAUCUUGUCUUAGAAACAUGUGAGUGAUCUUUUGGCAAGGUUGUUUCCUUUCAAGUUACCCACCAAGAUUUCAAGGAAACUAGUGGUUAGGGUCAUAAGGGUUCUAGCUACCGUUUGCUGCUUUGAAAAGCAAGUGAGGAGCGUUGAAGGAACAAGGGUGGAAGUGCUAAGGUAAAAACCUUGGCUUGCAAUGAAGAUUUAGGAGAGGUGAGAAAUAUUUAGGUUUUGAAAAUGAUUGGAAGGGCCUGAAAAACAAAUGUGUCCUAACUAACGUCUGUGCUAACUAAGGGCUUCCUCCAGUCAGGAUGGCUCGGAUACCAGCUCUGUGGGGACCCCGACUUGUAAGUCGAGAUCGUCGAAUGCACGUGUGCAGUGAUCCCAGAGAUCAAUGCUCACGGAACACACAUAAACUGGAUAACAAGUGUCUUGCAUCCAUACAUACCGCUUAUCUCGGAUAUGGCCGUUAUGGCCAAGUCUUCAUAUACACUCCAACGGAAAUCUUCAAGGAUAGUGUGAAUCCAUGCCACUUGUCUUAGCCCGACAUGCAUUCUGGAUGGGAAGCGUCCUAGCUCGCAGGAACGUCAGCAAGGUAUUCUUCACCAUCUAUUGUUCUCUCUUACCUGGUCAAUGAAAUCACCAGUUGCAAGCCAAUGAGUACUUCAAAUGUACUCGUAAACAAACAAUGUUUGGAAUGAGGCAACAACAAUACAUGAUAUAGUACUAAGCAGUUAAUUUGCGGAAAGCUAAUUUGAGUGCAAUGCCAUGAUCAAUCAGCUUGUAAGAGCGUGCAUCAACACGUAGACGAUAUACAUACGAUCAGAUAUCAGAUAUCAAUAUCAAUAGAGGGUUGAACAUCCCAUGUUCACCCAUCAUGCCAAGUCAUCUGACUUAGCUCAUCAUUCAUAUUGCCGCCAUACCCCCCCCACACACACACACAAACUUGGUUAAUACGAAAACUCCUGGACGUAGUUUAAGUAGCACCACCCAAAUGUCCUUGGCCAUGGACACGACUAUUCGAGUAGUUUUACACUCUGCGGAGGCUACAAACUUUACCCACAAGAUUCGAGAGAAUCCCGUGUUAGCACAUGACUCACGGUAUUUAUCAUACCCGGGGUAAGUACCCGAACAUCACCUUUCCCAUGACGAUACUAUCAAGGAGUCCACUCGUUGGUGAUAGUCCCUCGUGAUGUACAUCACACGUACCAUCCACGAGGGCACGCAACUGUGUGCUCGAUGUUUGUAAAAACAUCACAUGGUCUCCCUUUAUCUUGUCACGACCCCGUCUCGAGAGUGACCACGUCACUCCUGCCACUAGUAAUGUAGGCUCUCUACUAGCACCGACCAUAGUAAUCAAUAAAGCCCCAUCCCAUAAGGGGUAUUGUGGUCGUACUUGUAAGGUUGGUACGGGUGAGGAAUCUUAAAUCUAAUCCGGUUUUUAGAAAACCCACUCACACAACUGGCCUCGGUAUACAACUCUCUGAUCAAGUGGUUACCUAGAUCAAAAAAUCGCCCUCGAGCAUUAGUGGCACCCGACGGGGUUCUCGUGAAACAUUUGAAAUCACCUCCUUUUACCAUCUCCAUGCAUGCACCCAAUCCCAUGCGUAGCACUACCAACAACCUAACUACUUCGCACUCGUAGAACCCUGAUAGGAAGGUAGGGUCAUUCCUAGGUACAAGUAGCAACGAGGAGUUUCCACAGACAACCCAUUAAGAUGGUCACCAACUCAAUAUGAUUCAAUACAUCAGAACGAAGUGCAAAUUACCAUGCACAAAAGUAGUUUCUCAGACAUGGUCAAAGGGAUGCUUGCCUAGUUCAUCAAAGUCAUCGAGGUCUUCAUGAGCUUCUCGUCCACCCCGAGCGGCUUGCCUACUUCGUCAACAAUAAUCGAAAACAACCACGAUAAGCCACACUACAAGCAGAAACACAAACUGCUCAAUAAAUAGAUGUCUUAUUUUUCUUGGACAUCACUGGUCAUGAGGGAAAUCCCUAAGCUUGUUCUAAGAGAUUUGGAUCACCAUAGAAUUUUGAAUGGUGUAAAAGGAGGAAUUGGUGAUCCUAUAAGAAGUCGACAGAAAGCAUUUUUAUAAAUAGGAGUUGAUGUGCCCACCGAAGAGGGCAUGAUUUUUGAAACAUUUAGGAAGUGGUUUCAUUGGAUUUUGUGUUGGUAUGAAUUCGCUAUGGAUUUACUAAGAUGGAUUAAAUGGAAAUAUGUGCUAAUAAUCUGGCCUACCAGAAAUGAUGUAUGAGAAAAAUCUUCACCUAUGCUAGAAAAAUAGAGAAUGAUUUUAGACUCAUCUAGAAAUUGGAAUCACUCCAUUUGGAGUUGAUUUGGAUGAUGGAUGAAUUUUACAAAGUGGGGUUUGAAUAAAUCAAAUUUGAAUUUGAUCUCUAAAAAAAUGUUUCUGGACAAAUGUGCAAUGCACAUAUUUGAAUAUACCUUGAUUUUAGAAAAUCAUAGAAAUUUGAAUUAGUUAAUUUGGAGCUCAUAUGAUUUUAUUAUGAAUUAUAUGAGCUUUCAAAAAAAGAAAAAAGGGGAAAAGGGGGGGUAUGCCAGAGGACUAUAAGGCGCGAGGGUGCCUAGUAGGCAGCUGGGCCGUCCCAGCGGGUCCAGCCGCGUGCGCAGGAGGCCACGCCAAAGGCACCUUCCUGGAAGAUGAUUUCUUCGUGGGGAGGCACGAUCCAGCGGGAGGUGCGACCACUUAAAUAGGGGGCCCGGAUCUUAGCCACUGAACGGCGAGCCCCACUGUCAGAUCCAUCCCUACCACCCACCAGAGUAGGGAGAGGCAAGGGAGCUCGACCGAGCGCGUGUCGGCGCCCGCCUCGGCUGCUCCAGCCGCCUCCGGUGGAUCUACGGCCACCGUUGGGCCCUGGGGGCGGCCUGCCACACCCGCCAGGGUGUCUCCUGAUCCCGGGGACGGCCGGGGACGACCAUAGCUCCGGCCAUGGCGGAGAGAAGCGACAGCGGAGCUGGGCAUGGAGGAGCGGCCGUCGGGAGGAGGAAAACGGUCCAUGGGGAGGAGGGAGGAGGCAGUGGAGGGUCCAAGCGAGUCUUGGAGGAGAGGAUGGGGUCGGGGAAGCCUGAAUUCGAGCUAGGUCGUGGCGUUGCUAGGGAGGCCAUGGGAGGAGGAGGAGAGGGUGGGAGCCCUGAAGUCUUGACCCACGAGCUGCAUGGGAAAGAGAUGGGUGCAUCGGGGGGGUUGAGGGGGCUUAGGAGAGGAAUAAAGCAGGUGGGGACGAUGUGUGAGCUUGAGAGCACCUCGUGUGGUCUGGGCACGGCGGGACACG
Molecule: long non-coding RNA, 97815 nt
Filed under: Hordeum vulgare
Lineage: Eukaryota; Viridiplantae; Streptophyta; Magnoliopsida; Poales; Poaceae
Description: long non-coding RNA (HVUL_LNC019357)
Source: RNAcentral